GAACAGCGUGUCGUGCCGUGCGGAAUGCAGGGUCUGCAUUGGCUACUGCCAUACCGUUGCUCCAACGUCACAGCCGCCGCAUGUUGUGCUCCGGUACGGUACCUCCUGCCCCGCCUGUCAUUCCAUGCCGUCACGCCGUGGCCACGGCUUUCAACACAGCGCCCCAACCUCACGUGCAGCACGUCACCGGCAUUACCGCUCCUGCACGCACAACGCCGUCGCUGACGCCGGGGGCCUUGCCCCGUUCUUGGUGGCAGUGUGUGUGGUGGUGGUGAUGGUGAUGAGGGUGUGGCGCACCCUGCUACAGUUAAAUGCGCGUACCGUAGCUUGCGGCAGCAUCCAGCCGUCGCUGCCGCCAGGGGUCAUGCCACGUUGCGACGUUGUGGUCUGGUCUUGGUGGUGCUGGUGAUGGCAGUGAUGGCGUUAAUGAUGGGGUGUGUGGCGUGCCAAUGCGGCAAAGAAGCAGAAACGUGCGUGGGCUGCCGAUAGUGCCGAAUGCGCGGAGAUGGGCCACGGCCAGCGCCACUGGUGGGCAGCAAGUGCGGGCUUAGACGGAUGAAGGGGAAGACACGAGGGCGGGCAGGGGAAGCAAUGAUCGAUUGCCUUUGUCUUGCCUUUCAGUCUUAGCCACUUUGAACCUCGUUCUACAGCACUAUGUCGGCCUGUUGCCCAAUGCCUCACGCCCGCAUCCGAUGCUUUGGGCGCGCCAACAGGCACGGGUGAACCUGUCGGCGUGAACCUGUCGGCGUCUUGCACCCUCCGCACCUAGCCCUCUUCCGCCGCCCUAGAGCCGCAAUCCCAAGCGUCUCUCCCCGCCCGCUGCUGCGGUGCUGCGCAGCCCUUGGCGCGCCCUGGCCUGGCCCGCUGCCGUGGCGCCCUCCGCUGCCCCCGUGCCUUGGCACCCUCACCUGGUCCACAUCGCAACAGCCCCGGCUCCACGUGGACGAGCGGGGCCAGGACCGGACGAGCCGCCAAGCAGCAGUGCCAAUGUCACCGGGGCCUGUGUCCAUGCAGUCCCAGGUUGCAGCUGAUGUAGCUGCUGUCAGGCCUACUCGGGCAUGCGCCGCGCACGCACGGUCCUCACGGCGCGGAGAACACGGAGAACACGGCUGCACAGGAGAACCUACCAAGAGUUGCAGUCCUCAGGCAAUCCUCAGGUACCAAAACCAAGCCCGAACCUGCAAUCACUUGGGCCUGAUGCUCCCGGUUGCAGCUGAUCCAGCUGAGGCUUGCGGGGCGUGCACAACGCAUCGCCGCCAACCUGUGGUGGCAUACAGAGGCGGGAGGCCCUCAGACCCGACCAGGCUCUGCCGUGCUCUCUGGCUUAUGAGUGCUUGCAAUUUGUUCUUAGCGGGAAAGGGAUACGCGCUAGCUGCCUCCUCCAGGGUUUGCCAAAAGUUUGCGCGUGUGAAAAGCAAGACGCCUGUAACGCGUAAUCCUAUUCGUUGGAGCAAAUGGAUCUUAUACAUAAAGAAGUUGCAGGUGUGAAUCGCAGGCCGAGGGGCUUCAUACUAAUGCCGACCGGGGCCCCAUCAUGCAAGUUGUACACCUGGAUGCCCUUUUGCCCAGUCCCGCACAAUUCUAAGGUGUUUCUCGCUCUGAGCUUUUACCUUAGUACUUUAGGGGGGCCUUCCGACUUGGGCACGUGCUAACUAACAUAGGAGCAUCCCUUGACUUGUUGAUCAUUAUGGGAGGACCUGAUUUUGACGUAGUUCGUGUCACGCAGUGGCGGUGCUCCUGUCCGCGUGGCGUAAUGGCGUUGCGGGCUUGCGGAGUUGCGGGCUUGCGGCCGUGGCCGUGGUCCUGGCGUGGAUUCCACUGGAUUCCACUGGAUCGAGACCCGGUGCAAGGCGUGCAUUCUUUUCUAUUUUGAAUUAUCGCGUCGUGUGUGUAUGUGUGUGUCAGGGCAUGUGAACACACCCCGACUGUGAACACACAAGCAGCUAGCUGUUCACGCGGUCGAGAUGCCUCCAGGCGCCGUGUCAAUUGCUGGCGCUACAUGCAAGUGCUGUUUACUUAGGACAUGUUUAUUCCCAGCAACCCAACACAGGGCAUGCCCCGCCAAUUUAUUAGCGUACGACGGGGGAUGAGCCCCGCGUCUCAAAAUUGUAAAGCCAACUUGGCUCAGACUGCUUAUAGCAUACUUUUAUCCGCGUUAGCUGCCUUCGCGCCCACGCCGAGUACAGUCCCGCAGCGAGAGAUGUGCCUGCAGCCUUAUUUGCAACAUAUUGCCCCGCAAACUGUCUACAGUACUCGCUCGCUACGUUCAAUACCGCGUAGGCCAUAAUAGCGCCAAAGCGAGCCUGCGGGCCGCAAACUCUGAGCCGACUCUGCGCCGAUUCUACCGAACCAGCUGAGCUGAGCCUCGGAUAGCCUGAUGGGUGACCUGGACCGCAACUACCGCUAUAGUUAUGAUGAAACCGAUGUCAGCAUGUUGGGGGAGGAGGGCAACGCGAGCGAUGCGAUGAGCUGGGAUGGGCCCGAUGGCGCUGCGGGAGCUGGCCACGGUGAUGCCGACAGCGUCGUGCUUAGGGGUGACGCCGAAGCAGAUGUUACGGAUGGCUACGCCGAUCUGCGCGUGGAUUCCUGCCACGAGGAGGCAGCGGACCCAGACUCGUCCGCUGUGCUUGCGGUGCGCAAUUCAAAACGUGACCUGCGUGUGCAGCAAGCAAUUGUGUACUGUAAAUUUAGCGAGGUGGCUGGGUGCGGGCACGACGGGCGUUGGGGUAAACAACUUGCCGCUGCAUAUGUGGUGCUUGUGCCUGGGAGUCGUACAUCAAUAUGCCCACACUGCAAACCGCCGUGCCGACGCAGGAAGUCCCGAAAGUUGACUGCCAGUGCACAAUUUUGACAGCAGCAGCGCCAGGCACCCGCGUCACCCGUGCUGAGGUGGGUACGCUUCGAGGUAGACAGGAUGCCGUUGAUUUGCAGCCUCCCGUGUAGGAACCUUGUCGUGCGAGGAAUGCUGGAGGGGGGUCAUAUCUGGCAUUUGCCGCGUCGUGCGUGAUUAAGACUUGGCCAUACGCGUGCCAUACGUGAUGCAGGAUGUGCUCACCGGGUACUUGUCCAAGUGCGGCGCCACAGCUCAAGGUGGUGAGCGUGCGCAAUCAAUAGCUGUUCGCAACGUCUUGAGCCUCGGGCACCACUUCAAAUGAGCAGGGGCAAGGGCUACAGUGCAGCGCGCGUAGGCGUGCAUCACCAGCUAGCGUGAUCCUCUGUUGCUCUUUUAGAGACUGCGAUUUGGGUUUCCACCUGAGGUCCUGACGCUACCCGCUUUCCUGUUGUCGUCCUGUUCCUACCUGCAGGCGAAGGCAACGGCGCCACAGGCCGUGAUGUGUUCCCUGGGCCGCACCCUGGCAGGACCGCCACACAGCCACCGCCUGCUGCAGCUGGUGGCACGGUGAGCUGCGUAAUGCUGUUGCGGGGGCUUGCUCCAUCCAUUGAAUGUACGGGCCGUGCAGGGCAAACGCCCAAGAGGUGGGCAGGGCCGGCGGCAGGGACGUACCGUGUUGCUUGAAUGCUGGCAGCUGAUGGCAUGACUAAGGUUGGGGGUACUGCGCACAACCGCAACCGUACCACACACUGCUGCGAUGCCGUUUGAUAAGUGUGUAACUCCCGCCACCCCUCGUCCCUUCACUGCUUCCGCAGGACGCCACGGAUGCAGGGAGCUCGGGCGGCCCGUCUGCCGCUGCGUCAUGGGAGCGGCUGGGGGCCCGGCGGAGCGCGCUGGCAGCCGCGGAGCACAGCGAGGCGGGCAUCGCGGCAGUGGCACCCGCGACCGCCGACAUGCUGGAUACGGAGGAGGGCGCGCAGGUCCAGCGCGGCGCGGCAACGCCGGCCAGUGGCGCAGUGAGUUCUGCAGGCGUGCAGGGUUGGGGAGCAGGCUGUGUGGCUGUAUCCUGCGAGUCUGCCUGCACAUGUGAAGGCGAGGCCGACUUGAGCGGGGCUGGUAAAGGCCAUAACGGGCAGGAGCAUCAGCGAGGGUGGGGAGGUAGCGGUGUCGGCGGCAUCCUGCAUGGGGUCAGCUGAUGACCCAGUUUCAUACUGCAUGCCGGCGCGGCAUCCUGAUCGCAUUGUCCGGCUUGGCGCUACAGGAAUUGCCGCGGCAGGAGGGCGGCGAGGACGGCGUGGCCGCUGAGGAGGGGCUGUGGCCCACCACGGCGUAUGAGGAGUGGUUGCGCGCCCGGCUGCGUUAUGCGCUGUGGCGCAGCCAUGUGGCAUGCUGCUCUAUGCUGCACGGCAUGCCGGGGGGCCCGGCAGCGGAGGAAGGGGAGGCGGCGAAGGCGGCGGAGGCACCCGCCGCCGCCGCCAUGCUGCUGGACGCAGAGGAGGGCGAGGAGGGGCGGCAAGCCAUGGCACCGCCGGCCAGUGGCGCAGUGAGUACCGCGAGCAAGGGUUGGGCAGAGGGCUGCAUGGCUGUGUCCUGAGAGUCUGCCGCGAGGCCCCUGAAGGACAAGGGGCGGACGGCUUGGCUGCGUGUGGAAAAGCAUGUUCGGUUUGGCUGGCGCGAGCAUGAAGAUACCAUGUGCAUGGGCCCAAACUUUCUUGCUUCCUUAUGCGCCGGAUCGGCGCUACACGCCCGCACCGAUGUCAGCUGGCGCAUGCCGCUGGGCUUUUUCAUCUAUGCCACUCGUCGCCAAUUCAUAGCGGCCCCAGCAGUCGGUAACUAUCCGCCCUUGACGAUGCCCUUGCACCCUCUCCCGCCCUCUUUAUGUUCUUCGUGUCACGACCAGGCGGCAAGCGGUGGCGGCGGCGGAGAGCUCCUCUUUGAUGACCUGCGGGCGGCGCUUGCAUCGGUGUCGUCCUCCUUGGGGCGGGGCUCGGCGCCAUUCGCGGCGUGCGCCUGUGACCCCGGCCAGCAUGGCGAGGCCCGGCCGUCAUCAGACCCUGUGCGCACGCCGCAGCCGCCACAGCCUGCAGCCGCGCUGGAACUGCUGUCCCCGGUCACCUGCUGCAGCGGCUCAUCCGCAGAUCUUGCAGCGGUGCAGCGGCAAGGUGCGGCGUGUGCUGCGGCUGCUUCGGCAGCAGCGCCAAGCCCACGCCCACUGCCGUCAGUGGCGGCGGAGGUCCAGACGCAGCAUCCGGCGGCAGCAGCAGACAACGAGCCGGCUGACGGCACCACGCCGCAGCGCUCGGCUAAAGAGGUGACGCCCCAGCAGCCGAACGCGCAGCAGAGAGGAGUCGCGCCGGUGCGGCUGCUGCCUCGGGUGGACCGGCUGCCCCGUAUCGCCAUGACGCCGGUAGGCGCGCGCAUGCAUGGGCGGGAUGGACAGCGGGCCGAUGACACGCAUGCAUGGGCACGCCGCCUAUGCUAUCUUUGGGCUUGCGUGAAGCAUGGGGCGCAUGGGGGUGCUGCUGUUGUUGCUGCAUCGUCCUUCGCACUCCCUAUGGCAAAUCGAACCUGUCCUUAUCUAUGGCGUUCUCUUACGCAUGUUAUAGAAUGCAAAGCUGUGGCAGCACAACGCGCGGUAUAACACAGCCGCCAAGGCUGUGGUGGACAUCGUGCUGGGCGUGGUGGCGACAGCAGAGGAGCAGCAGGGCUCGGACCUGGGCCCUUGCUUCUACCUGACGGCCACCGCCGUCCUGCUGCUGAGCCUGGUGCUAUUGCACGGCCUCGAAGAUCCAUCCACGCAGCCCUGGCUUAAACGGGGCACCCAGAAUAUGGAGGAACUGGUGGCGCAGCUGGAGAGGUGGGCGUCCUUCAAGGACCUCAACCUCGACACGUGCAUCCGGUACCUGUGGGCAGGCGCGCCAGACUGGCCCAAGGUGGCGCAGACCCUGGCCGCGGUCAGGGAAGGCCUCACCCUCAACCACAUUUGUAAGGUGUGUUCGGCCAUCGGAAUGACGUGGCGCGCGCUCGUGUCGUGGAAGCAAUUGCCGGCCCGCAUUCUGACCCGCUAAACGUGCCCUGUCCUGUGUGUGCAUUUACACAGGGCAGCUACAACGCAGUUUUUUGGGUGGUGGGCAGGGGUGACUUGCUCACGAGACAGCCGCUGCAUAAUAUCGAUUCGGACCUGCUGGCGGCCGUCUACAACCAAGGGCCAGCGCUGCUCCGCCACCUGCGUGCGGCCUGCGCGAUUCACCGCGACAGUAAGCAGCCCAUCGGUGUGCGCGUCAUGGGCCUGCUGCCGGUGGUCAACAGGCGCGUCCCGGACCUCACCACCGGCGAGGCGCUGCGGAGCCUGUGCGCAGCGAAGGGUAAAGUGGCGAUUGCCAUGGUGUUGGAGCGACUGACGACCGUGGAGGAGGUCGCGAAGGCGCUGGCAGCGUACACCGUGGCCCGUGGCCCGUGGCAGGUGAUUGGGCGGGUUGCACGCGCUUCAUUCAUGCCCGGUGCCAGCAAGCGUUUAGCCCGCAGCUUGCGCACAGGGCAGCUUGUGCAGCGUCUUCGUUCCAUUGCCAUACAUCGAUGGCAAACCGUAUGAUCCCUCGUGCACCGCGUGCAGGAGGGUGUGUGGCCGCUGGGCUUGGGGCUGGCGCUGACGAGAGGCGUGCUGAGCGCGACGGGUCAUUUGAUCAAGCUGGGGCUGCACCACGGCGAUAUCAAGGUUAACAACGUGGGGUUCACCGACCUCAAGCAGCAGCCGUUCCGCGACGCGACGUUUCUAGACAACGACGACCUGAGCCAGGACCCAAAUGGGCGUGUGCACAGGUACCACACCUCUCGGUUCACGGCCCUGGGGGCGCAGCAGUGUAUAAACAGCGGCAACAUGUGGUGCCGCCCGAGCUUGCGGCUACAGGGCAUGGACCUGCACCAGGUAGAUGUGUCUGUUGUGUCGGUCCGACGCACGCAUGGACACUAAGCACUGCUUGCUUGGCCGUAAGUGCUUGCAAGCUGGCGCAUUCGCCUGGCUUGGCUGACUAGCUAUGGCCCCGGCUCUCUCCUGCGCAGGUGCAAGGCUUUCAGGCCACGCUGAUAGUGCUGCUGCUGCCGGAGGCGGUGCUUUACCAUGCCAACGACGGCUGCGUCAAUUUCUUUAGUUUUGUCCCGGCGCUGUGGAACACCGGCCACGGCGGCCUAGGCGUGCUGUAUCCCAGCCAGCUGAUGUCCGCCGUGCUGGCGGGUGUGCUGGGGACUCUAAUGCACCCGCUUGCCGACAAGCGCAAGGGCCUGCCGGAGCUCAUGCCGCGCGUCCACAGCCUGUGCAGCGCCAUGGACGAGUGCGAUUUCUGCCUUCGCGGGCUCACUGACGCCGGCGGGUGCCUGCGCGUGCCGGUGCGUGGUGCCCAACCGAUGUGUUAGUUAAGGUUGGAUUCGCAUGCCGUGAUCCUGCCGCUCGGGCAUGGGUGAAACCCUACGUGGUUGUGCUGCUGCUGUCUUUCAUUGUGGCCACACAUGCACAUCGGUGGCCCCUGGUUGCAGAUCGGCGCCGGGCCGCUGGCCCACCUGUGCAGCCCGCCACAGACCGACGUGCUGCUGCGCCAGCUGCUCUCGGCGCUGGAGGAGUGGCGCGAGGACCCGUUCAUGGCGGCCAACCUGUUCCAGGUGAUUACGCUGCUGCACAAGGCGGCCCACUGCACCUGGCCCGCCGGCCCCGUCAACGACUUCAUGCAGCGGGUGCUGCUGCUGGCGGUGCUGUGCGACAUUGUGCGCGUGGAACGCCAGGCGGAGGCUGGGCUAGAGCGACCGGAGCUGCUGCUGCUGUACAAGGUGCGCGCUGCUGUACAUAUUGGGCCCCUUACAUGUCAUGACACCCUUGGUAGAUUGUCUGGAUGGGUUGCGAAUUGAGUGCGUGCGUGCGUGCUUGGCCUGCUGUUUGUGCUGCAGGGCAAGCAAGGCGACCGCGAGCGCACGCUACUGCACCUGCUGGGCGCCACCGGAAGCACGCAGGGCUACCUCACCAUUCUGCGGGCUCUGGCCAUGGCUGGCCUUUGCUUUGACCGCUAUAAACGUGUCAUGAACGCGGUCGACCAGGUGAGUGUCCGAGACACCGGGGCGGGGUGCUGGCUUGAUUGCUCGUCACCUAUGCCUGAUGACCCAAGCUGGUGUGCUGGAUCCCGUCACCCACUGCAGAACGGAUACUCGCCGCUCAUGCUGGCGGCCGUGCAUGGGCAGCACGCGCUCGUCAUGGCGCACAUCAGCUUUGCAAAGGAGCAGCUGGACGAGGAGGCGCAGCAGCUGCUGAACGAGGCCCUGUCACCCGACCUACGUAAGGUCAGCGAGCGUGCGGUGUUACAGCUGCUGGACGGGCUGGUCCCGCAGCCGGCCGCCCUGGGAGGCCUGCUCACCAUCCUGUGCUCUCAGUUCAACGGACACAACGACCAGCUUCAGAAGCUCCUGGCGUACGUGCCGCCGGUACUGCGGCUGCCAGAGGUGACCGGCGGGCAGGGCGGCGGGGCAAGCAGCAGCGGGGCGGGCGGCGAGGUGGCUGCGGGCGGGCUGCUGGCAGCCGCACAUGCGCACCUGGGCGCGUCCCAGGAGAAGCUGGAGCAGGCGCUCGAGGACUCCCGCCUGCAGCCGCUGCUGCGCUGCCUGCGUGGGCCGGUUCAGCCGGCGGCAGGCCAGGAGGCGGGACCCCACAUUGUGGAGCAGGUGGCGCGCGGCGCGCUCAAGCUGUUUGCGACGGCCGCAGAGCUGCCGCUGACAGACGCGGUCGUGAAUAUUGGAGUCUAUGUACUGCCGGCUCGGUUACUCACGGCAAAGGUGACUGGCGCCCGUAUGGAUUUAGACAGGUCGCGCCCUGAUGCAACUAGCUAUACAGAUGCCGCAACGGUCUGGGAAACGUCGGGCGUUGCGCGGAUGCAUCCAUACCCAUUCGCACGUGUGCGUCUUGCUCUGCAGACCGCUCGGGAGCUGGGCGCGGACACCCCCUUCCAUGCAGCGGCUGCGAUGGCUGGUCCCCUGCCCGGGCUCUAUGCUGCGGUCGAGGAGACGUUUGGAUGCAAGCUUGCCGACAAAUGCCUGGCGGAGUUGAACGCGGUAGGUGCGAGGAGCAUAGUGCCACAGCAGUGGAUGACGGCGUGUGGUUGAGGCUAUCCAAUUCAGUGCAUACCAUACCGUCACAGUGGCAGAACGCUCCCACUCCUCCCACUACUUUCCCCGCCCGACCAAGUCCUCCGACCCUCCAUACCGUUACCGAUUUCCCCUGUUUCGCCUAUCCCUCCCCUCUUCAGUCGCGCGAACAGCAAGUCCAAUCGCUCCCUCCUCCGGUCCGCACUGGCUCAUCUGUCUUUUCAGGCACCCCCAUCAAUUACCGUGCCUGCCGCACAGAUCCCGCACGAACUGUCCUCUCCCACCCAUCCGCAAGGACUGUCCCGAACGUCCACCGUGUACCCCUGAACGCGCACAACCCCCCCCCCAUUGACGUUCAGUGAUGGCGUGUGCGCAGAGGAGACAAUUAGCGGAACUCACAGCCGCGACACGGGUAUACAAUUGUACAUUCUAUGGCGCUCAUUGGGCACAGCUAACUGUGUACUUCUUUGCAUUUGUGUCCACGCAGGACGGCCGCACGCCGCUGCAGGUGCUGCUGCAGUGCCACCCAGUGCUGAUGUCCGCACCCAGCAGGGCGUUUGGAAAGGUGGACGACCACCGCACGGAAGAGGGACGCGCCAAGCUCGCCGCGAUCGCCGUCGGUCUGCGCGACUUCAUGGCGGAACGGGUCAAGGACUCCGCCACUCAAUCGCUGCAAGCGGAGCUGGGCAUGGCGGUUCCCAACCUGCUGCCAGGAUGCUGGUCGUGAGCGCCGCCAUUCGGUAGGUCGGGCUUCGUGACGGUCAGGUGGUAGCUUUGCCCCGCUUCUGGUGUGCCUAGCGGCGGUGUUGCGUCAAGAGGGGGUAUCCGAUGGUCUCUCAUGGCCUGGGAGGAAGGUGUGGAUGGCGUAUGUAUGCCCUGUGUUCCUCUUUCCGAAGGAUAUGCAUGUGUUUCCCGCGGAUGCACCGAGCGCUAUGCACAAUGCCCGGCGUGAUCCAGGCCCAUCCCAUUUACAGGGGCGGGUGGCGGCUGGCGCUGCGGCGAGUGAAGGCGCGGCGGGUGGUGGCGGUGGUGGUGGCUGUAUUAGUCGCUGUACCCGCCCGUGUACGGCACUGUCGAUCUUGAGCUGCUGCGCCUGGGCAACUGUGGCGGCCGCGCGUGCUUGGGCGUCGUGCGUGACAUUGGAUGGGUGCGGGCGGCGGCACCUCCUGUCUUUCCGCAAGACUGCAGUGCUUAAGCGGGAGCCCUGACGUGACUUAAAUACUUGUCUGCUAUGGCUUCGGAUCAUGUGCCUGAUACGCGGAUGCCGACACAAAAGGUGAAAGCUCUGGCCGGUACUCUUGCCCCACUGUCACCAGUGGAGUAAAGCUGUAACAACGGAGGCGUUAUGGAUUGUUGCUGCUGCCCACGCAUGCUGGGGCUCCCCGGUGCGUGCGUGUGACAAGUAGACAUGCAGGGCAGGGGGGCACGGACCGUUGCUUUAAGUGCGCCAUCAGGCACGGGUGAAAACCAAAGAACGACGUGUUGCAGGGUCUGCAUUCCCACAUGCGCUUGCACUUGCUCUUCGGGCCACGUGCCCCAGAUUGCCGCCUGACCUACCGGGCGUGCACAACCUGACCUGGCAGUGGGAACUUAGGUCUACAUUAGAGGCGUUGCACGUAUUAUCAAUGAAACUAUGAAAGCCCCUCAGUAGUGCCCAGCGGUGCCGCGGUGGUCGCGAACAGGGCCAUGGCUAAAAGCAGAAACGUGCGUGGGCUGCCGAUAGUGCCGAAUAUGCGGAGAUGGGCCGCGGCCAGCGCCACUGGUGGGCAGCAAGUGCGGGUUUAGACGGAUGAAGGGGAAGAAUCACCACAAGGGCGGGCAGGGGAAGCAAUGAUGGAUUGCGUCUUGCCUUUCAGCCUGAGCAACUCUGAACUUCAUCUUACAGCACCAUAUCGGCCGGUUGCCCAAUACCUCACGCCCGCAUCCGAUGCUUUAAGCGCGCCAACAGGCACGGGUGAAACCAAGGACAUGUGGGAGCUGCUGCUGCCAUGCCUGAUUCGACGUGGGCGGCCGCGUCCCGUUGUCCGGGCCAGCCAACCCUCAUUCAUACCUGCUUUUUACAAUGCGACCCAGCCUGUACAUACGUACGGGACGGUAGGGGGCUCCUGCAAAGAGUUCGUGUGAUUGGGGCGCCGGCCGGACCAGGCCGGAGGCCCUCACGGGUCCCCUCUCGCCCACUUCAGCUGUGCGGAUGACCCGACCGUGCAAACCCAGCUAACCGGGUUCCGGAGCAAUCAGCUACCGGGGGCACCGGUGACUCAGUCGGCGGGGCAGACAGGCCAGCGCAUCUGCACCACAGGAAGCCGCCUGCCGGCAUCUUCUCGGUUGUCGCACCCUCCUCACCUAGCCCUCUUCCCCGGCCCAAGAACCUCGCCUGGCCCACAUCGCAACAGCCCCCGCUCCACGUGGACGUAGGUGGAUGAGCGGGACCGAGCCGCCAAGCAGCAGUGCCAAUGCCACCGGGGCCUGUGUCCAUGCAGUCCCAGGUUGCAGCCGAUGUAGCUGCUGUCAGGCCUACUCGGGCAUGCGCCGCGCACGCACGGUUCGUGUGGCGCAGAGAACACGGAGAACAAGGCUGCACAGGAGAACCUACAAAGAGUUGCAGUCCUCAGGCAAUCCUAAGGUGCCAAAACCCAGCCCUAACCUGCAAUCGCUUGGGCCUCAUGCUCCCGGUUGCAGCUGAUCCAGCUGAGGCUUGCGGGGCGUGCAUCGCCGCCAACCUCAACGCGGGUGGCACGGAGGCCCCAAGCCCCGACCAGGCUCCGCCGUGCUCUCUGGCUCAUGAGUGCUUGCAAUUUGUCCUUUACGGGAAAGGGAUACGCGCUACAGUAGUUGCCUCCUUCAGGUUUGCCAUAAGUUUGCGCGUGUGAAAUCAAGACGCCUGUAACGCGUAAUCAUAUUCGUUUUUGGAGCAAAUGGAUCUUAUACAUAAGAAUGUGCAGGUGUAAAUCGCAGACCCAGGGACCGCUUUGACUAAAUGCCGACCGGGCCCCCAUCAUGCAAGUUGUGCACCUGGAUGCCCUUUUGCCCAGUCCCGCUAAAUUCUAAGUUGUUUCUCGCUCUGAGCUUUUACCUUAGUACUCUAGGGGCGCCUGCCGACUUGGGCACGUGCUGAGAAAGAUGCAGGCUUCUUUGCGCGCGCGGGCUAGGCCCUUUACCUCGGGUAUGUGACUCUAGAGCUGGACGUAGAUCUAGGAUUGAUGCGACUAAAAUUGUGGGCUUGCUCUGCAGGCGCCCAGCCAUCGCUGCGGCGAGCGCCCGCUCGCGUCUGCCGCCCCGUGGCGUCAGCAGCGGCUGCUAAAGGACCCGUUGUUGUUGUGGACAACUACGAUAGCUUCACAUACAACUUGUGUCAGGUGGGGCGGUCGCUGCAUGUUUGCCGCGAGGCAUCGGCACGUCUCAGCGCCUCACCGCUGCCCUCUCUGACGCCAAUUGCAGUAUCUGGGUGACUUUGGGGUUGACUAUGUGGUGUACAAAAACGACGAGAAAACCGUGGAUGAGAUCAGGGCCAUGAACCCUCGCGGUAUCCUCGUGUCGCCCGGCCCCGGUGAGUGCUCGCCUCGCAGCCCCAGCGCCACGUUCUUGGCUUGGCGCGUCCCGCCUUUGAUACGCCCAAACAGGGCUAACUUGUGUCAGCUAGCCCUUUCCGCAUCUUGUGCAUGGAAUGCUGGGCUGUGCAACUGACGGUGAUGCGGUUUCCUGUCAUGUGCGCGCAGGCCGGCCCAUCGACUCGGGCAUCUCCCUACAAACAGUGCGGGAGCUGGGUCCCGACUUCCCACUAUUUGGUGUGUGCAUGGGGCAUCAAUGCAUUGGCGAGGCAUUCGGAGGUGCGUCGUGCUGGGGCUGCUGCGAUGAUGGUGGAGGGAUGAUGGAGGGUAGCAUGGGUCAGGAACGGGGAGGAGGCCAGGGGCGGAACACGCCGCACACGCCGCACCAGUGAGGGCCGCGCACGCCAAACCUGGCUGAGGGCAGGCACCAGGCAGCAUAUGUACGUGAGGAUGAGCAUCAACCCGUUCAGGCGCCUGAAGCAUUGCCGUGCGUCGUGUGAGGGUCGUGGUGGGGCAGCCGCAGCCACAUACCGCUACCUGCAGCGGGCGGCAACAGCGGGCGGCCACUGCGGGCGUGGCGACAGUGGCAGCGGGGCGCCGGCGCCGCCCGCACCCAGGCCGCAGAAGUUGCAAUUGAGGGAAUCCAGUGACCUCAUACAGCGGCCUGGCGCAGCCCUCAGGCCGCCGCGCCAGGACCUGCAACAUUCCCCCUGGGGCGGCAGGCGACUGCAGAGCCGGUCGUCCGCGCAUGGGCGGUAGCUGCUGCCGUGGCUGCCACCCGUCAGACUGCCGCCCCGUCAGACUGGCUCCCUGGUGUGCUGCGCUGCAGGUGACGUGGUGCGCGCGCCGUGCGGGGUGAUGCACGGCAAGACGUCGCCGGUGUUCCACACCAACGUGGGGCUCCUGGAGGGCCUGCCCAAGUAGGUGUGGCGUGCCGCGUGACGUGUCGCGAGCGGCGUGGGAUGGGGAGGGGAGGGGAGGGCGAGGGGAGAAGCGAGGGGUAGGAGGACAGGGGAGGGGGGGGGAAAGGGGGGGAGCAUUGGACCCGAUACAGAGGGUAGCCUGCAGCUUCGGCGUGGUGGCAGGGCAAUACGGUAGAGUAGAGAGGAGGGGAUCGUGCGCGAUGGUCUUGCGGGUUGGAAGUGAGGGCUACUGGAUCGGGGCUGGAAAGCAGCUUCAGGGGUGCAUGCGGGAGAGGGUGAAACAUGGCAAUGAGAUGGCGCGGCAUCCGACCGAGCAGCUCGGGCGGCGUGGCAGCAACAGGAUGGCUUUGGGGGCGCAGCUGGAGCGCGGGCCUGCAGCGGAGGCCGUCAGCUGGAGGGCAGGCAGCGGGUGGCAGAGCAGAUCUGGUGGUCCAGAUGGAGAUGCACGCGGGGAUGGGCAGGGGCGUUGAAGGGCGGGCGGCACGGGGUGGGCGGAGCGCAGCGGGAAAGGGGGACUGCUCGUGGCAUGACGUGACAUGGCUCGUGGGGUGGGUGGUGGGGCUGGGGCGGGUGUCGACAGUGUUGUGCUCGCUGCCUUCCCGCCCCGGCUCCUGCGUCCUGCUUACGCACGCGUCACAGCACACCCACAACUGCGUUCUCCAACACCUCCACCUGCAACGCGACUCGCUAACCACCCCCACCCCCGUGGCCCGAAUUCCUCUUGACCCUGCGCGCCAUCCCAACCGGGGCACAUGUUCUCCGCUCUGGCACGUACACCCCGCUUUCACCAGAAUCGCACGCCUAAACCGUGUCAUCAAUCCCCCCCAUCGCCCUUCACCCGCGGCCCACGCCCCACUCCCGCAGCCCCUUCGAGGCGUGCCGCUACCACAGCCUGGUCAUCAAGCGCGACACCAUCCCGGAGGACCUGGAGGUCACGGCCUGGACGGAGGACGGCACCAUCAUGGGCGUGCGCCACAAGAAGUACCCGCACAUCCAGGGGGUGCAGUUCCACCCCGAGUCCAUCAUCACGCAGGUGCGCGGCAGGGGUGUGUGGGAAGGAAGGGGGUUGUAAGUGCCAGCCUGAACUAAACCAAACCACGCCAAACUAGCGGAGCACAGGCAGAGGCGCGGGCACUAGGGGGCGCUAGGGCAACUGUCAAGGACUUGCACCCGGCGCCGUGGAUAUGAACAUAGUCCUGUCACCAACAUUGCUGUACCCUCGCCACUGCAGAGUGGCAAGAAGAUUGUGGAGAACUUCGUGAAGACUCUGUAACGCCCUGUUGUGACGGUGAAGGUGGCGAGGAGUUUGGCGAGCAGCGUUUAGCGGCGAGGAGCUGCGUGGAGCUAUUGCCAUGAGCGACUUGCGUGGAGGCACUGCCUUCUCUGAAACUGUGAAAGUCAUGUUGCGGCGGUGCCUGGCCAAGUGGUGGCGCAGGGCGUGGCCCCAGCUGUUGCCAGUGAGGGCGGUGUGCUGCAGCUGAGGUGAACACGUGGUGCAUGCGCCUCGGGAACCUCCGGUGGAAAUGAAGUGAAGUGAAGGAGCGUGCUGGAGGCGUGGCAGUGUGAGGACAGGGCAGCUGAGACGUGAGGGUUGUGGAGUGGAGCAUGUGACUGGGUAGCAAGGUGUGAUUGGGGCGCGUAGCUAGGGGUGCGUGAGAGCGUGGGUUGCAUGGUCUGCAUCUUGACGCGGGUUGGGCACAAUUGCAGAGAGUGUGAAAGGAGGGCAUGCGUGCAGGCUGUGCAGGCCCCACGCCUCUGAACAACUGGGCAAAGCCGGGGAGGUGGCUUCGGGUUUGGUGUGGGGUUAAGUCGUGGCUGCCCAUGGAGCGGCGGGUGUGAUUGCAAAGUGGGCCACGGAAGUAGCUAUGAGACACCGUGUGUUAUGCUGCUACUGCGUGCAAGGGGUUUAUAGACACGGGUUAUUGAGGUUAGGGUUGUUGGUGGACGGCGCUUAAUAGUCGGGCAGUCGGACAAGAACCCUGGUUUGGGCCCUGCAUGAAAGGUGAGCGCCGAACAAAGCAUGCAAGCGAGCCAUGUCUUACGACAUCAACGCUACCGCUUUUAAACGUGUAUCUUGGAAUCCACAGCGGUGUCCUAACUGCAGUCCUGGGUCGCCUCGCCUGGAGAAAUCGGCUUUGCCAGAACUGUCAUCCCGCUUACCCAAGCUUCCCGCACAUGCUUUUUGUACAAUUCGGCUUGCCCAAGCUUUCUUUAGGCCAUAUUGAAUUUACUUCCAUCCGCUGCGCGCGAUAAGAAGGCUCCUGGCCGCCGACUCAUAGUUUACCUCGCUUUUCGUUUGCUUGUUUAGUCGGUCGCUCGCCACGAUGCUGGCUAAGUUUGCCUCUGGGCAAUUACUGGGGGCAACGGCGGGCUGCUCUACGCGGCAGGCGGCAAUGCCCGCACGUUGCCUCAGCGGUGUCUCCUCGCGCGCCCAACAGCCUCUGUUAUCCUCGGGCCAGACUAGCGCCCAAUUGCCUAUUCAAAGUCAUCGCUGCGCUGUAAUUACGCAAGGCCAGGCAAACAGCUCGCUGCGCCUGCCGAUUGAGUUGGACCUUGAGACGCCGUUGCCCGGCUUUGAUAGCAUUUCGUCGGCGCUGGCGGACCUUGCAGCUGGAAAGGUUGUGGUGGUAAUUGACGACGAGGAUCGGGAGAAUGAGGGCGAUCUCAUCAUGAACGCGGACAAGGUCACCACGGAGACCAUGGCAUUCUUCGUCGAGUACACCAGCGGUGUGGUGUGCAUUUCCAUGGAAGGCCAGGACCUGGACCGCCUCAAGCUGCCGCUGAUGAUUAACAGCGCGGAGAACGAGGAGGCCAUGUACACCGCCUUCACGGUGACCGUGGACCUGCGCGACGACAUCACCACCGGCAUCUCCGCCUCCGACCGCGCCAAGACCAUCCGCCGCCUGGCUGACCCCUCCGCCACCUGGACUGACUUCCGCCGCCCCGGCCACAUCUUCCCGCUGCGCUACCGCCCCGGCGGCGUCAUCGUGCGGCCCGGCCACACGGAGGCCGCCGUGGACCUAGCGCGCCUGUCCGGCUCCUUCCCCGCCGGCGUGCUCUGCGAAAUCGUCAACAAGGAGGACGGCAGCAUGUCGCGCACGCCGCAGCUGCUGGAGUUCGCCAAGCGCCACGGCCUCAAGUGCAUCACCAUCGCCGACCUCAUCCGCUACCGCCUCCGCAACGAGGCGAUCGUGACGCCCGCCGGCGAGCCCACGCCGCUCACCGCUGCCUCCGGCGCGCGCCUCACCGCGCAGGCCUUCCGCAACGCCGUGGACGGCACCGAGCACGUGGCCUUCGUGCACGGCGCUGUGGCCGACUCGGCCUCGGACGUGCUGCUGCACGUGCACCACGAGCGCACCGUGGCGGACCUGCUGGACUGCGCCGCGCCCGGCACCAGCGCCGGCGGCGCUGCCGACUGCAGCCUGCCCGCAGCCAACGCGAGCUCGCUGGACGGCGCGCUGCGGUCCGUGGCGGCGGCGGGCGCGGGCGUGGUGGUGUACCUGCGCGGGCAGAGCGCGCGCGGGCUGCCGCCGUCGGCGGAGCUCGCGGCGCUUGGCAGCGGCGGCGCGGGCGCGGGCGCGCUGUACUCGUGCGACCUGAAGGACGCGGCGGUGGUGGCGCAGAUGCUGCGGCAGCUGGGCGUGCGCUCCGUGUCGCUGGCGGGUGGCGAGGGCGCGAUGGCGACGGCGCUGCGCAGCUGCGGCCUGGCGGUGCGGCCCGCGGCGGCGGCGGCGGGAGGCGCGGGCGCGGCGACGCAGCACGUGAACGGCAACGGUGCCAGCAGCAACGGGCACGUGCACAGCUCGCCGCUGCAGACCGCGGGCAUGCGGUGAGCGGCGGCUGUGCGCCGGAACGCAGGGCCGGGGGGCGGGGGGCGGGGGUCGGGAGCGGGAACGAGAGCGUUUAGGGUGGCGCCGUGAGGCACCGUGUUAGGAGCGCGGCAACUUGGUCACGACUGACUGACGUGUGCGGUUGACAUGACGGCGUGGUAGUGCGCAGAUCCCACGGGCAGCGGGCAUGCGGGUUCGGGACAUGGGCGGUGUGCACGGCAGCGCGGGUCUGCAACGCGGGUCUGUACGCAGGUUCACAUGUGUCGGCAUGGGCAUGGGCAUUGUAUUUGCCAGUAGCAACCGGGUGUGACGGGAACAGGUCGCAUAGCGAGGAGGCAGGACGGCCCCCGCGGGCACGGAAAUACUCUACCUGAAGGUGCGGAAUCGAAGGCGCGGCUCGGGCCUGUGCCCAGCCAGCCAGCGGGCACGGCUGUGAGCGUGUGAGGUUGCCGUGAUGGAAUGUUCUGCUUGGGGGCUAUGCGAUUCGGGUUGGCCCGCGCCCAACGAGAGACUAGGCUGAGUAAUUGAGAGGACAAGCAACGUGAGGGUGCGUGGAUGCGACCGACUCUGCUGCGCAUGCGGGUCCUGCGGAAGGUGUUGACUGUUACAUGGCAUGUCUGAGUUGUAGCUAGGAUAAUGACUGCUUGGUGAGUGAGCGCGUAGGUUGACGUGUUACGUGUGCAUGCCUACAUACAAUUGACCGCUGACAGAACUGUCGUGUUUUGGUUUGACUACGGUAGUGUUAGUGUACAUGAUGUCGCUACGGUAACACCUACGUUACAGGCGUGUCGCGGACUGUGUGUGGAGGGGGGCGGUGUGUGACCGCAGUGCCCGGGCCAUGGGCAAGUGCAAUAGCAAGGGGGCGGACAUUCGGACGCACGUGUGCAAGAUGGCCCAAGCCUAAUGAGAGACGGGUGAGAGUGUGAGAAGCAAGGAUUGUGCGUGCAGUGAGUAUGAGUCCAGCAGGUGGACAGGAACAGGCGGGUGCUUACGGCGCGGCGUGUGGUCCGAUGGCCCACGGCCAGUCGCAAGAGGUGUUAGCGGCACGAUCGCAUCUACAGCAGCAACGGCCAGGAGAUUGCGGCGGGCACAUACGGUACGCGCGGAGGCAUGACGCGUCAAGCUGGUGCGUGCGGUCCUUGUGAUAGACUGCAUUGGCAUGUGCUGUAAUGUGGAAAGUACCGUACCCAAAUAGCGGACCUCCUGGAUUAUGAGUCAGAACGGCUGCAGGUGCGAGCAACGCGGACGCAUGCUGGAUACAGUCACGCGAUUGCAAGUGCUGCCAGCGGCAUCAAAGAGUGUAGUGCAGCGGGAGCCCAGUGUCACGCGAUUGCAAGUAGGGACCAGUGUCGGGGCACGCGAGCACGGCAUCAGCACACGGUAUCGCGUGACACCAGGGACGCAGCGCAAAACAUAAUUACAAGACCUUUCAGGAGGCCGCGGUCGAGCGACAGCAUUCCACACCGCAUACGACCUCCAGCUUGUGGCUCCUCAUGCCGCUCCAGCGCGCGUAUCACGUACUCGCCCGCGGUCAUUGCACCACCGCCUCACCAUCCGGCACACAAGAUUCCCCCUGUCGCGCAACCAUGCUCUCCGUAGGCCCGUUCACACAGCCCGUCCAAACAAGCCACCUACGUGGCCCAUCACAGCGCCACACCUUGUCGCAUGCAGGUAUACCAGCCCGCAGUCCUGACACACAACGGGUUUGCGCGCAGGGGCCUUCCGGCACCGGCCAAGCCGCCCAGCGCUGUCUUGCCCACGCAAGGACUCAUCCUACUAGGCAGCACCCAGCGCCGCUCGCCUCUCCACCUCCGCAGCCGGCCGAAGCGCCCCGUCUCCCAGGCUCUUCCUUCAUGCAGCAUCUCCCGCCCUGCGCUCCAGUCAGCCGCUAUGGCCAGGUUGUCCAGCCGCUUCGCGCUGCGGGUGCGCCUUCUUCCGCAGUCCGCUUAGAUGUAUGUCGCUGCGAGGGGCAACACACAAGGACCGAGGCGAAAAUGUCGUAAACCGACGGACCCGCCGGUGUAGCACCGGUGUGAGACCAACCAGAGCCAGCGCCCGGCGCACAUCGCACGCUCCAUUCCUCCGCCCCGUCAACUGUACUGCUGGUUGAUAGGUGUUGCUUGGCAGGAACGCCGUGCCAAGCCAGCUGCUGUCCAAGCUGGAUCCAACAGGACGGCCUCCCCUUCCCUCCCACACACACGCCCCUCUUGUCCCGCCUCAUCGCCCCUUCUUAAGGCUGAAUACGUGUUCCCUGCGCUUCCCACCCUUUUCCUUCCCUUCCUUGCUUUUCCUAUCCCACCCUUUCCCGCUCUCACCAGGCAUCUUGCCGACGGACACCGUGUGCCGCUCCGUGUACAUGCGGCCUGCAGGCGCAGCAGCAGGAGCCGCAGCAGGAGGCAGGGGCGGGGCAGAGCAGCUGAGGCAGCGCAGCAGACAGUGCAACUGGGGCCGACGCAACGCACGCAGGGCGCCUGGGCCCGGCCGGUCAUGUCCUGCAGCGCCUCUCCCUACGCCGCUCAGGCAGCGUGCAGGCGGCGUGCGUUUGCACGCCCCAGCAGCAUGCCCCAGUGGUCUGCCACGUGCCAACUACUGUGAGGCCCCCUUCGUUCCCGGCGCAGCCCGCCAAAUCCGGAUCCAGAAGGACUCACCCACUCGAGGCAUGACGCACCACACCAGCGUCAGGUUCACGUCCCGCCCGCGCAGGUUGUGCCCGGGGUCGAUGAACGCGUACUUUGUUUUAUGGUUGGACAGCUUGAAUACCGCCUUGUCCUAUGGAAUUUGGUUGUGAUGUUGGGGCCAAAGAAGGGGUUGGGUUGGUUGGGAUUGGCUUCACCUGGAAGCUUAGCUUGUUCGUGUUCAGGCAGCAGCGCUGACGGUUCAGUCUCAGACCCUAAGCAAGGCCCCAGCGCUCCCUCAAGCCUCGUCACUGUGUAAGGUAGGGGCCUUUCGUGCGCCUGCAGCGAGAGCCCGGCGGCCAACAACGGCUGCCGCACCAGCUACAGCACGGCACGCAGGUGCCCCUCUUCCCCGCGUCCUCUCCCCUACGCGCCCGCCGCUUGCCUUCUGCUGCACAAUGGAGUCCCACAGCACCACCUCGUUGAUGCGGUUCUCCUGCGUCUCAUACUCCGCCUGAACGUAGACGAACAGCUGCUUCGUGUUCCAUGUGAACACGCUGCGAAGAUCGGCGUUGACGUCAAACGUCACGACCGCCUGCGAAGACACACGUGAGAUUCAGUGUGGCGAACCGCACUGGCAGUAUGCCAAUAAUCGGGUGCGGCGAGCUCAGCAUGGUCGGCCAAGCCCUUACUUGGUCUUUUCCGCCGUGGUGCUGCACAAGGCGCCGAACUUCCCGCAGUCCUAGCUUAAUGUUUGGAUUGGACUUAUGGAGUAGAUCUGCGCAGACGCUGCAUGUUAUCGCCUGUCCCAAGAAAAUGCCCUGCCCGAUCACUCGUGUAUUCGCGUCUUGCCUGUUGAUGACGUAAGGAUGCAUAGCACAGCUGCUACCGUUCCAAAGAACGUUACAGCCGUAUUCAGGCGGUGGUAUAUCGAGUGCAUUUCUCUUGCGACCUAGCCUACUGACUGAGAGACACCUGAGUCUCAAGGGCAGUAUAUUUAUUUGCCAACACUUGUACACUGUCCUGCUUUCUGGUGUCGAGCGGAUGAGUGUGCCAAAUUGGGGCUUACAUUCCGCCUGCGUGUCCCGCCUGCUUAGCCCCCCUCCGCGGCUUCGCCCACGAGGUCUGUCUCGCCUAGUCGCCUUCCUCUGCACCUCCGCCACUCCCGCCCAGCAUCAAAACAACUGCAUCUUGGUCACCGCUCCAUCGCAGAACCGAAUGACCUUGACGUCACGCUCCACCGGCAGCCACCACACCGACGACAAGUACGACGACACGCCAACCGCCUCCGCCUCUUUCGCACCCCCGCUUCCCCCCGCCCUUGCCCUUGCCACAUCGGCCGGCGCCGGCCCGCCCAGCAGGCACCGCACACUGUCUGCCCGGCACCGAGCCAGCAUAACGUACGAUAGCGCGCCAUAUGGCGACGGCUGCGCCUCGAAGCCGCAGGCGGGCAGGUCGCACUCGUCCAACAUCAGCUGCUCCAGGCGGGGGCAGGCGGCCGCCAGGCGGGACACCACGUCGGGCGACAGCUGCGUAAGGAAGGGGCAGGUUGGCGCGUGGGGACGGAGCAAGCAAGGGCACGGGGCGGCGCGUGCUUGGUGCAGUGUCCGCUUGGAGUGGUAUGGGCAUGGUCAGAUCUGGCCCACGUGACCCCUUUCCGUGCCCACCCUACCCACAAACUAUUCCGAACCCAUCCUACCCACCCCAUCCAGUGCUCACCUGGCAGCAGUGCCGCAGCCGCAGGUUGCUCAGCGCCCCACAGGUCGUAAGCCAUCCCAGCAGCGCCUCGCAGCUAAACGGCCGCCGCCCCGCGUCCCCCACCUCCCCUUCUCUCUGUCCUUGCUGUGUUCCCCCCUCCUCCGCCUCCGCCACCUGUGAUGCCGCAGCGGCGGCCGCACCACCCCUGCCACUGCCCUCCUCCACCGCCACCACACCAGCGGCGCGGCCACGCCCCGCCUGGGCCUGAACACGACCCACACGCGGUCGCUGGUAGCCGGUCUGCUCCAGCCGCAGCUGACUCAGUGCAGGCGUGCCGCGGCGGCGCAGCUCCCCUAGCAGCCCCACCGACAGCCCCGCCACGCCCACCAGCGCCAGCGUGCGCAGCCGGCGCAGGGGAGGCAGCGAAGGCGGCAGCGGCAGCGGCAGCGGCAGCGGCAGCGGUAUCCGCGCCGCGUGCUCAGCACCAGCAGCACCAUCGGUGCGCGCGCUGCCGCCGCCGCCGCCUGUUCCAACCUCGCUGCCUCCUGCUGCCAGCUGCCCGACCGGCCUGCCGUACAGGAGUGAGAGCAGGUCGUCGUCGUACAGCUCCGUGGCACUGCCGCCCACCAGCUGCAGGUCAGACAUGGCCCACCGCCGUACACAGCGCCGCCGUACGCACUGCCGUACACACCGCCGCCGCUGCUGUGGCGGUGCUUCUUCUUCUUCUUCUGCCUCCGCGGCCGCGGCAGCUUCCAACCCCUCCCUCUGCCCCUCCUGCCCCUCGUGCCCCUCCGCCUCAUGCCCCUGCAUCGCCAGUCCUUGCUGCCCCCCCACCGCCGCCUUCUGCUCCGCCAGCCAGCCCAGCGGCCGCAGCAGGUCCUCCCGCCGGAAGGGGCCCAGGCAGUGGAUGAGGUGCAGCUCGUGCAGCUGGACCAGGUGGGGAGAAGCGGGGUGGGAGAGGGGUCGGGCUACUCCAAUCCCAACCAACGGGGGUUGUAAUCGAAUUAUCGAAACCAUACCCAAUAAGAGGAGCUGCAGGGAUAAGUAGACGCAGAAGACACACCACGCAGGAAGGCAAGUCGACACAGGAAGGCCAGACACACGCCGCACGCCCCUAGCAAGCCCGAUUGCGUUGUGGCCCGGACACACAGGCGACGUGUCCGCCGCAAGUACUGCAGCCUUUCCGCCGUUGCCCGAAUGCACCGUUUGCGCCCUUCCUCCCUUCCUCCCUUCCUCCCCAUCCCCAUCCCCUCAUCUCUUCCAACCUUCCACCCUUCCUCCCUUCCAUCCCCUGCCCGCCCACCUUGCAGCACGCCGCCAGCAGCUCCCCCAGCCCGGCGCCCGACACGCCCGCCAUCUCCAGCCGCAGCGCCUGCAGGUGCGGGCAGGCGGCGGCCAGCGCCCGCAGCCCCACGUCGUCCACGGCCGCCCCCACCCCCAGCUCCAGGCGCGAGAGCACCAGAGAGCGGUGCGGCGGAGGGGGCGGGCACGGGGCGGGCGCAGGAGGCGAGGCGGCGGCGGUGGUGGAGGUGGUGGAGGGAGUGGCGGUGGAUGAUGGCAGGGAAGAGGAGGCAGAGAAGGCGGAGGAGGAGGGGUGCGUGGAGGCGGGGACCGCUGGUCUGCCGCAGCCGCACAGGCGCAGCACGGCGGCGGUGUUGAAGCCCCACCCCACGGCCAGGCUUCUCAGGCCGUGCAAGCCUGCAAGCUGCUGCCCCUGAGCCACCUCCGCCGCCACCUCAGCCCUCUCCGCCACCGCCGCCUCAACCUCCACUUCCGCUUCCUCCUUUGCAUCUCCCUCCUCUCCAGACGAGUCGCUCGCCGAAGGGGUUUGCGCUGCAACCGGUGCCGCCUCUGCCUGAGGCAGGCGCGCGCCGCACCCAGGAGGCACCCGGUGUGGCACACACUCCGUCGGAAGUGGCGCCAGUGGCGGCGCCGCCGCCGCCGCCCGAGGUAUCGGCGGCGCCGCCGUCCGCAGCAUCGGCGGCGGCAGUGCCGCGGGCGCCAGGUCGCGACAGCGGCUGAGCCCCAGGUGCUGCAGCCGCAGCCGGCAGCCACAGGGAUCCCUGGCCUCACCGCUGCCAGCCCCCACUGCCACUGCCACUCCCGCCGCCGUAAAAUCCCCGCCAGCCGCGGCCCCGGCUACAGCCUCCGGCACCGCAGUAAGCUGUAGCAGCGCCAUCAGCUGCUCUGGCCCAACGCCCGAAGAGCCGUUCAGCUCCAGGCGCUGGAGGCGGCGCAGCGCCGGCUGUAGCACCGUCAGCCAGUCGUCGGCAGCUGUAGCAGCCGCCGUGGUGGCCGCAGCAGCCCUGGAAGAUGAGAUGGCUGUAGCAGAUGGCCGGCUCGCUGUGGCGCUUGCGGCCUUGGCACUAGCGGUUCCAUUGGGGGGCAAGCCCUUGGCAGUAGCCGCACCCUUGGUGGCAGCAGCAGCGCUCUUGGCAGAAGCAGCAGCGCCACCACGAGCAACGCUGCUACUGCUGCUGCGGCUGUUGCUACUGCCGCUUCGGUUGCCGUUGUCGAAGAAGCCGCCCAGCUCGAGGUCACACAGGCGCAGGUCUGCAUACGGUAACGGGCAGUUGGUGUUGCUUCCAGCGCUCUGCUCAAACCCACGCCGCUCCGACAUGGAAAUGAAAAUUUAUUCGGCCCUUUGAUGCUUGUUCCUAACCCCGCUCUUCCGUUCUGGGCUUUGGGGAGUUUGGGAUGAGGGCUCUGUCCCCGUCAACCGCCCACCUUGCAAGCACUCCAGUCGCGCCACCGCCUGUCGCAGCUCGCCGCCCCAGGCCCGUGCCACCACCGCUGCCGCCGCCAGCGCCUCCGCCCCCGCCGGCUGCCCAGCCGCUGCCGCUGUAGCUGCUGCCGCCGCCGCCGCCGCCACGCCGCCUGCCCACCUGUUCACAGGUGGCAUGGCAGCCCCCAGCGCACCCGCCGGGUCUCUGCCACCCCCGCCGUUAGCUCGCCUGGAGGAUGACCCGUUGCGGCUGCCCGCAGCAGCCCUUGCUGCUACAGCCGCGGAUGCGGCUGCUGAGUGCGCGGCUACUGCCGCCGCAGCUAAAAUGCCUGGCGGCGCGAGCGGGCAGCCGGACAGGUCGAGGGCGGUGAGGUUGCGGCAACAGCCCUGUGUGGCAUAAGGACAGGAUCAUGACCAUUGUCCCGACGGAAAUCCAUACAGUUAGAAUGACAGGCUGAACACAACCGCUGGCAUAAUGCCAAGCUGCACCUAGGCCCCCAAUCAGCUGGAAUUGGAUGACACAACACCGCACACGCACACACUUCGCACGGACACGCAUGCUCUGUUGUUCUCUUGCCCUGUCUCUCCCGAACACGAACACCACCAAUCGGAUCCCCCACGCACCGCUCUCCCCAGCAGCCGCAGCUCUUGCAGACCCGCAGCCGCCGAGUGUGUGGCCACCAGAGUGUGCAGGUGCGGCAGCAGUACACUGCCGCCACCCUCGGGGGGCAUCUCCGCCGCCGCCAGGAGCGCCAAAGCAAGCGGCGAGCCUUCAUGGCUCCGAUGUGCAACCUGUACAGAGGGGCACGGGCCAAAGCCUCUUCAAGCCCUCCACCUGUACUGUACAAUUCCAUUGCCAGGUUUCAUCCUGGAAAGGCUUCAAUCUAGACCCUCCCAAAGACGGUGAUUCAAUGCUUUUUGACGCCGUGGAGCUGGUCAAGCGCAGCGGGCAAAGCUGAAACCGUAACCAAACCCAAUGCUGCGAGCGCGGCCGUGACCGCUCUAAUCACCUGCAGGAGGGCCGCUAGUGCCGCGCUGUCGCCGUCGGGCUCAGCGACGCCGUCACCAUGGUCACUGCCCCCCUCCCCCUCAAAGGCCGACGGCCACUGGUUCCCAACCGCCAACGCAGCUGUGGUCAGGGCUACACCCGUCGCCCUGCCGUACAGCCCAUGGUACGACAGAUCCACGUAGGUCGGCGCCACCGGCUCCAACUGACCCUGCUGCCGCUGGCGCCGCUGCGGGACCGCGGCCGCGCCGCGCGCGUGCUGCGCGAGGCGCGUGACGAAGGAAGCGAACAGCUGCACCGCCUGCCAUUGCGGAUGCGGAGAUGAGCGAGAGCCCGAUUUGAAGAGGAUUACCGCAGGGGCCGCAGAGGCAGCACAAAGUGUCUGUGGAUGGUCUGGGCCCUGGUCUGGGCCCAAAAGGAUCUGCCGUCUAGAGCUCCCGCACCAGACCCGAGUUCCAACUGCUGCUGGCGGCGCCUGCACGCUACGCUCAGUGCCCCUCCACCUGCGCCUGCACACCCACGCGCUCCCUGACACCAAACACCGACGCGCUCGCGCUCGGCCCGCCACACCCUCCAUACUAACCUCCCUCUGAUGCUCCUCCCGCCCGCCCCCCUUCGGCACGCCCUCACCUCUGCGCUGCAGGCUGGGCUGGUCGGGUGCGCCGGCAGGCACGCCGCCCCCGACCCCAACACCAGGCCACCACCUCCAUCCGCACCCGCACCAUCGCCAGCCACACCGUCACCUGGACAGCCGCCUCUCGCCUCCAACCCCACCCGGGCCCCGGCCCCCGGCCCCGCCCCCGCGCCCGCCUCCGCUCCUGACCCCGCAGCCCUGGUUCCAAGGGGCCGCAUGGGCCCCGACUGGCUCGCCGCCCCCGCGUCCGUGACCACGGAUUCUCCGAGCAGCGGGGGCACCAGCGGCGGCUGCAGCGCGGGCCGGUAGGUGGACGGCUGGGGCCAUGCGGCGGGGGCCAGAUGCGCGGCCGCGGGCAGCUCGGGUGCCAGCCACAGCGUGUGGGCGGCCGGCAGGUGCGUCACGUGCGUCACCGGCAGCCCCGGAACCUGCAGCGUGGCGUGGCGAGCGUGUGGGUGUCGGUGGUAGGCAGUUGCAGCGGUCGUCAUGCCAACCAGGGAUGGGGUGGGGCAGCGACCGUGCAGGUAGCGUGGCGGCGUGUAAACUGGGAUUGAUAUACCGUACGGGUUGUGACGACAGGGCUGCGGGCUGCUCGUACAGUCAGGAAGUACUCACCGGCCAAGUGCCGGGGUCGCCAUGCCUGCCCUUCCCACCGACGGAGGCCGGCGCUGCAGGGGCGGGAAGCGCAUGGUCGCGAUCGCCUGCGGCGGCGACCGCCACCGCCGUCGCCGCCGCCUCGCCGUCGCGCGGCGGAUGGUGGGCGGCCAGCACGGCAGCAUGGCUGUCAGCGAGCAUCGCCACCCGCCCAUCACUCAACAGCACCGCCGCUGCCGCCGCGGCUUCGGCAGGGGGCUGAAACAUGUGUCCGCGCUCGAGCCUGAGCCGCGCUGCGCCAGCACCGCAGCGUGCUGGCGAGGUCGGCUUGUGGCGGCUUGCGGCGGCGGCGGCGCCGCCAGCUGCGCUGGGCAAGGCGCUGGGCUGAGUGAAGGGCGUGUCAGGCCGAAGGCUGUGCGCCGGAUGAGGAUGGCAGGCCAGGGCCUGCGACGUGGGGUUUUGGGUCGGCUGUGGGGCGGUUGCGUGGAGCAAGGCACGCCAGUCGCCAUCGAUGACGGCUCGGUGGCGCUCCGCCCUCUGCCGCCAGGCCUCCAGCCCACCAAGCCCGGCGCCGGCGCCACCUGUGCAGCCAGAGUUCAGCGAGCGUUGUGUGUUUAUGCAGGCCAGGCGUCACAGUUGGAUUUAUGAGCAACGCGCAUGUGGGUCGGGUGCAGGAAGCCACGGCGCCGCCCAGCCCGCCCUAAGAGGCGGCCGCGUACCUUGACACGACAGGCGGCCGUGUGUUUAGGGAGAGCCCGGGUCACAGCAACGACUGAGCCGGCCGCGAAGCGGGACUUGCCUGUUGUAUCCGUUACCAGAAAUAGUAGCGUGUGGCAUGUGGCUGCCACCGCGGCCUUAUCCAAGGGCCGCAGGCGGCGCAGCACAUCGGCGAGUAUGGCUGUAGGGAGGUCGCAAAAGGACCGCGCCAGCACGCCAGCAGCCUCCGGCACGCACUUACCAUCUUCAGGCAGCAUGGCUGUUAAAGCUGUUGCUAUAGCAUAAUUAUAUCCGCAUCAUCGUUCGGCAACCGGGAGUGCCCCUUCACGCCUAAGACGCGCAAACUCGAAACCUCGCCAACUGCGCCCGCGAGGUGGACGUGAGCUACGCAUGUGAAGUUGAUGAAAUUAAAUGAUCUACGAGUGCAGCUGGCGCUGGAAGGGUCGGUAGGAAUGCUUGAUGGGGCUGGCGCGGGUUCUCAUCCAUCGCGGUUCUCCUUCUAUUAAUCGAGUCCGCCCGGCUCCCAAAGCAUUUGCUUUCGACACACCAACACCACAACUGUCACGACCAAACUACGUACUACCUCAAUUACAUAUCAAACCCCGCGGCGUGCUACCUCCUUGCAUUCGCCUCUCAGAGUUUCCCUGCUCCCGCCAGCGCUACCAGGCCUGGAUUUUGAUCCUUUGGAAGGAUGGAGACGCUGUGGCCGGCUCCAUACGCCCUACCGUAAGUAGGAACGCAGAAGAAGCCGAGGAGACACGCAGUUGGGCCGCGCGAAAGUCGGUUGAAACGCAGCUCAAGCUGCAUUGAUAGAAAGUAAUUUGUGCUGCAAACUGCGUUCGGAUUUGGUGGGAAGGCAGUCGGGCGUUGUCGGGGAGAACGCGGCAAAACUCUGCAGACGCGGCCAAGCCUUUGCGUGCUGCGCCCUAGUCCAGGUUCCUGUCUGAUAUCACGGCGUAUUGAUUGGGCCGGUCAGAUAGACAUAAUUGCGCCUGGCGUGCGCCGAGCGGGCAGUUGACGCGCGACUGCUUUUAUGCGCAGGCUCCAGUCUGCGGCGAUGGCGCUGUCCGAACAGCAGCUUGGCCAACACAUUGAUUCUGGCAGCGAGGAGGACCACAUCGCGGUCGUGGCGCAGGUCCAGACUGGCAAGAAGCGACGCAGUGUGAGCGCGGAAGAGGACCCAGACUAUGAGGACGCCGCGCAAGGCGCGCAAGGCAUAACGCAUGAUGGUAAGCAAUUCGGGGAGGGCCUGGACAGAUUCUUGGUGCUGGACCCUGCUCGCCAUUCAAAUGCUCGAGGGCAGCUCGAGUUUCCUUCCAGCUCUGACUCCCAAGGCGAUGCUUAGAAGCGGUUCAAAUCCUCUUUUUCUAUCUAAGGAAAUCGCGUUGGGAUCGUUUUAGGUCCUGUCAGGCGCAGCCCUGUCAGCUCCGACUGGGCACGCCACCGCCACCUGGCACGAACCACCCGGUUUCAUUUUACCCCCGCCCCACUCUGGCUGUCCGCUUGCCAACGCAUUCAGCCAUAUGCCAGUUUUGACCACUAACACGAUGCUCUCUUCUCUUUCUUUUGCAUUGUGGUGGCUACUCGUCUGUAGGUACAUCAAACAAGGCCGGCUACCGAGGCGUACGGCGCCGGCCAUGGGGCUCCUACGCCGCCGAGAUUCGGGACGCAGGCUGCGGCAAGCGCCGGUGAGCAUUUGCUCCUUGACAUGUAUGGAACAUGUCCUACUCGUUUCGCCAUGCGGUAUGCUUGUACGGGGAUUGUCCUGGCCUGUCUGGCCCUAAGCCACCUGCCUCCUGAGCCAGCGGCCUCGAAGCCUGUCGAGGAAUCUUGUGGGAACUUUGGCUACAGGUGGAUUGGCACGUUCAAGACUGCUGAGGAGGCUGCACGGGCGUACGAUGAGGCCGCCAUUGCGCUGCAUGGGCCUCGCGCCAAGGUGAGACGCGCUCGAAUGCACAGUUUCGCUUGUCUUGAUCUGGGUCGGAUGACUUGCACGUCGCCCUGAUAUUGCUUGCACCCACCGUAACUGUGCGAUUCAAGCCAAGUCCGCGCGUCAGUUAUGCCAGCUAUCCGAUCACAGCGUGCCCGCCUGCGAGCCCCCGCGUCAACCUUCAGGCCGCUGACGCAACCCCGCUGCGCCCCCUUUGCAGACCAACUUCACCUACCCCUGCCAGCAGCAGAGCGCCGCCGCCGCGCCAGCCGCCGCACACAAGGCCCACAAGCCGCACGCCGCCGCCGCGCCGCAGCACCACAAGCCGGCGCACCACAGCCAGCAACCUGCUCAGCCGCGCAAGCAGCCGCUGCACCCCCGGCAGCCGUACCAGCAGCACCAGCCCCCCCAGCUGCCGACGCAUCAGGAGGAGGAGCAGUACCGGCGCAAGUCGGACGACUCAGACACCUCUAUGACCGCUGCGCUGCCGCUGCCGCUGUCGCUGACGGGGCAGCUGGGCCUGCCGCCGCUGACGCUGCCGGGGCUUGAGGGUCUGGACCUGAUGGCGCUGCAGUCCAACCCCGCGCUGCUAGCCGCGCUGCUCGCCGCCACGCGGCAGCACCUCCCGGGGUUGGCCGGGCCGGAUGCGCAGCCCGCCUGCCUGCCGGAGCAGCAGCUGUCGGAGCGGGUCUGGGUCCAGGAGCAGCCGGUGCAGGGGUGCGAGGAGGAGGAGGACGGGUUGGAGGAGCCGGAGCCGCCGCAGGUGCUGCGGCCGGAGCAGCUUCGGUCGCUGCAGGUGCUGGCGGAGGUGGCGCACCUGUUCGGGCGCCGCGACUUCUGCAUGUCGUGACCUUCGCCGGCGUGCCAGGUUCGGCAGGGCGUUAGGUAGGCAGCCGUGCAGGCUCAGCCGGGGUGACGUGGGCGAAGAAGAUGGCAAAGUGAUCUGGGUCUAUGUGGUGGGGGCUUGGGCAGUCAUUCGCAGGCCCCCAAAUAGGUUGGGAAUGGGUUGCCAAGGUACUUUUCCCGUGGGGCAGCAGCUUGGUAGGCAGACCGCGGGUGGGUGCAGGCGGCGCGGCUCUGCAGUGCUGUGCCGGGCUCCCGGAGCACGCUCCAUUCUGCGCCAUGUGAGUCAUGUGCGUGGGACGCCAGCGUAGCAGUCUUACGGUGCGCCUCAGCUGUUUCCUGUGUUUGUCGACAGCCUGGCGUCGAUUGUACUUUUCGGCUGUGCCACGGCGAGGCGGUGACUGCGCACAGACGAAGAACAAGGGGCGAGGGAUGAGACGACGACAGGACUGAGUGUGUUGGGCAUGGACUUCGUGCGGGAUGAACUUAUCAGGGGCAGUAGCCCAUGUUGGUGGGCACAUGUUUGGUGCGGUACCAAUCAUGCAUAGAUGCAUAACAUGAGGCUACCACAGACACGACCGCAGGUGGACGGCUGCAUGUCCGAUUAUUUUGGUUUCGAAGCCGAAGCUGUGUGUGGUGCGUUUUGAGUGGAUGACAACGCACGCGAUAGCGUGCCGGUGAUUCUUGCCGCUACAUGGCGCAGGCGCUGUGCAAUCGGUACAUGGUGAGGCACGCUCCCGACUCAUGGGAGCUGAGAUGGGGACUGAUGGUGUUAAGGCCUUUAUACAUAUUCUACGGCAGCACAACGUCAUCAGGAUUAAGGCGAAUCCAAUGUGUGGCUGCAAGCGGCUCUUGACCACGCAAGCCACAGCCAACGAUUGACGCUUCAUAAGGAGUGUGUAUGGGUACCGCAUGUGGAUGAUAAUCCUACCGAGAGGGACUGUGGUGGUGUCUGACACCUUCGCAAGACGGGCGUAUGCGUGAGAAAGUGAGGGUGCAAUUAGUGAUGCCAGUGAGGUUACAGGUGGCACGCGCCAUAUUCGUUUCCGCCAACUUGAAAGACGUUGGGAGGCGAGGAGAGACAGGACAAAGCUUAGGCGACUAGAUAUACUGCCAACGGCAUUGCAUGGUCGGGCUCAAUUUCCCCUGCCACAAUAAUUCGUGUAUCUAGCACGCACGUGAGCAUGGCAUCGUCAAUGCAAUGUGCGGCUGAGGUUGCCUGCAGGCGGGUGAAUGGGCUGUGAUUACUUUUGUUUGGACUCCCCUGUACGCCCGCCGAGCUCAGGCCUAGCUCUUUCAUUUUUCUUUCUUUGGGGGUCCAUGCGUUGCUUGGGGCCUGAACGGUAUGGGCCCCGAAGUGGGCGUAGAGCCACUGGGGCGGGUAAAAGACCCCCGACAGCAACACGGUACAAUUCAUCCCUGUGCAAGGGGCAACACGGUGUAACACAGCUGCCCACCUCGACUGCUCUCAUGAACCCGACCCCCUGACCCCAACCACAGCACAGCUGCUCCCUGGUUCGAAUACAUGUCUGCGGCCAUUUCAUCUUCUCCUACUCUCCUAGUCUCGGGGUUAACCAAUGGCCUCGCCCCCCCCCCUCCCGGGCGCCGCGACCCACCGUCCAGUGACUUACGGUUAGACGCUUUAUGUCGGUGGCAGGUGUAUGGGUGCUUCGGGGCAAUCAGCCGAUGAAGCAGCCUCCCCUCGGUUGCGGACUUGAAAUCCGGACGGCGUGUGCCAUAUGCACCGCCGCCCUGCUGCAGAGUGGCUGCGCCGGGCGCCCGCCUGCGUCCUCCUCCUUCACCUCCCCCGCCGCGCACAGCAGCUGCAGUCCGAUUGCGCGGCUUGCAUCAUUGCAUGUUUGCUGAGGGUACCUGUAUGCGGCAUGCAGCAUGCCUGACUGGGCGCUCUAUGCAUGCGACAUUACAAGAAAGGACAGUCCGACCAAGCAUGGGUGCCCAGCACCCAGGUCAGGAGGGAACCAUCUCCGGCCCGAAGGGAAACCGCCCUCCCCCCAGCUGGCUGCCGACCUUCACCAAACCGUGCAUUGUUUCUGCGCAAAAAGCGUGUCUCAGCUGCUACACCGGCAUACGGUAAGUCGAAGUCGCCCUAUGCUGUCAAGGGACAAGAAAAGGUGGCUCUCCCUCGCAAGGGAAAAGUGGGCUGCGCCAAAGGGGGAAUGGUAGAAGCUCAGGAUCUUGCCCCAUGCAUUAGAUAAGAGAGCGUUAGGGGAGCAUCACGCACGUACUUAUGGUUCUUCGGGGGUGGUCUGGUGAGCAAGUUCUGGGCCGUCAAAGUUGGGAGGUCAGUCGUGAUCGGGUUUCAGGAGCCCAUCCUGGCGGAUUUUGAGAAGCGCCCCACAACCAGGGGAUCUAGGCAUUUCAAUAACCAGAGCUAGGGGCCGAUCGCAGCACCGUGUGGCUCAAUUAUGCAUGUUACGAUGUGCACAAACAAAGCGUGGGAGGUCCAUUUGCGCGUCCUGGCGUGGACAAGUCGGGACAUGUCCGCACAUGCGACGCCUGCACGCUGACAUGGCUGGGCUCUCAAGCUCCAGUGCACAUGAAUUUAUUUCAGCUGCCGGCGCACGCUAUCGAUACGUCACAUGACAAAGCGUGGAGCGGGGUGGGUCGUAGGGAUUUCCAUGAAUGCAUCUUCGAAUGCAGAGCAGGACUCGUCAAGGAAAGUCGAUUGGGACCACUUUGGAUGGGUUGAAGGGUUUAAGGGUUUAACCCCUACACGAUAAGUCUGUGUCCGUGAGCAUGAGCAUUUACAUGGCGUCGAAGUCCAUGUGGCCCCACUAACUCUUCUGAGUCCGGAGGCGCUUGAUAGCAAAAAGCAAAGUGUCUUCUAAAGCGUCUAUACGCUGUUUACGCGCCUGAGCACGUAAUGCCCGCUCCACCUUUCCAUCGGGGUCGGAGCCCCUUCUCACGAAGAUCCUCAAAAGCCUUCAGUUGCUCCUUGCGCAUCUCACACCCUACCCGGGUCAGAUACGGUGCGACAACGGCACCAGCCGCACGGACCUGCUGCGCCACCCGAAUGAGCGCGCUCCGCUCCUGCUGUGUCACCUCCACCACGACAUGCCACACCUCCCUACCCUUUGACCGCCACGCGCGCACGUAUCGUCCGGAGACGUUUGCGCCACUCGCACUGGCCACCGCCUCCAGAUUUCCAGCCGCCUUGAGUUUCUCGAGCAGCUCACGGCUAACCGACUUCAGCAGGACUUUACCCUCGUCGACCCCCCCGGAGCACCCUGCUCGGGCCAGGGCGCGCUGAGUGUCCUCUAGCGCGCAACGUUGCUCCUCCAUCUGGACUUGCAGCGCUGCGACCGUGCCUUGCAGCUCCUUCUGCCGCCGUUCAGCUGCAAGCGCAGCGCCCUGGGCCUCUGAGACAGAGGCGUGGAGCGCCAGCGCUUGUAGCUGCAGCUGCUGUAUGCUGUCGCCGUGCUGCGUGGCUGCUGAUGUUUGCUGCUCUAGCUGCCCAAGUGCCUCCUCCAAGGCCGCUAGGUACUCCUGGAUGGUCGCGAGCGCUGGUGUUGUGGCGAGAUCGAACAGGCGGGUCGUGUAAGACAGGCGCGUGAGACGCUGCAGCAGUUUCGUAGCGCGCUGAAAUGGGAAGGCCGCGCCAGAGUCCGGAGUGCCGAUGCUCAUCGCACUAGUGCUGGCAACCGGGCAGGAGUCCUGCUGGUCGCUGACACUACUGAAGCUCCCAAAGCUUUCCAAACGGCACCCAGGCCCACUGCUCGCCGUGCUCGGCGGCAGCUCGGGCUGGGGCGACGAUCGGGCUGAGGUUCCUGCGAAAGCGGCGGCCACCGCCCUGUCGGUAGCUUCACGCAUUUUUGCCUGAAAUGUUUCGUAGAAAUUGUGCUCGGCCAUGUUUUGUUAUCUCGUGUCGUGUUUGGUCAGGUGGCCACUUUGAGUCGUUGUGUUGUGUUGUGUUGUGUUGUGUUGUGUUGUGUUGUGUCCUGGGGGUGGUCCAGAUUGGUCGUACCCGAAUUCGGGUCUGGCACUAUCUUUCUUCAAUCCCCCCCCUGGCGCCCAAGCCAUGUUGGUGCAUGCCUCUUCAUCUCUUUCACAAGCAUAUAGUGACAUCUGCUUCCAUGCCGUGACAAUCUGGUCCGCUUCAGUCGAUGCACCCCGUCAGCGUCACCGCGGUCACUCCGGUACGCCAACACGUAGAAAUUCUGCCGCAGGUGUCGUGCAACACAGAAGCUGUCUGCACUACUGGGAUUCUGGGCGCGGUGGCAACUGCUGUGUUUCCCAGGGCUUUUUUGCUUCUUGGCCGCUGGCCCCUUCCCCAACGCAACUUAGCUGUGCACAGUACAAAAGCCGCCCACCCCCUGAUACGGAGCGACACGUGCCUCCCGAAACGCCAGUUACAGGGAAUGUUCCCGUAACGUAUAAUCCACUCGGUCCGCUUUUUCAGGCACGCAAGGAGUCGACACGCGGCUGUGCAGCCCGAAACAGCGCUUUUUGCACUCUUGCAAGCUCACAUGCGCCAUCUGCCUGUGCAUCGUUCAUUCUUUCUACAUCAUCUUCCGAAUCUGCUCUCCUGCAUGUCUCGUCUAUGACCUAACAGGCAUCCCGCGAGUCUCUGCAUUGGCGGCUACCACACGACAUACCCGCAUCAACACAACCAUCAACGGUUUGCAAGUAUUGCAACGUUUUAAAGCAAACAAUCAAGUCAUAGACGUCAAGAAGGUGUGCAUUCCAUCUGAAUGCAACACCUAGAAGUUCCAAGAGAGAGGGACGGGCAGUGACGCCCAUCGUAUUGUAUGUCCGCCCGCUCCUAGCCCGCUAACAAUGUACAUGGGAUCAUCUUGUAAUGAUCGACGGUCAAGCUGCUGCUUGUCCUGCCGCUUACGGCUGGGCAGCGGCGAACAGAGGGCAGCUGCAAAGCAGAAUGAAAAAUGGAGGGACAAGAUCAGAACCACAACCGAAGGCGUGUCGAGGGGGGGCACGGCGCAACCCAUAGCUAGCCAUUUCUACAUGCCAUGCCAACCCCAUAGCAGCACACAGUACUGCUUUUUAGACAUUAGGACAAGCAAACCUCAAGCAGUCACAUCCCAACUCACCAGUUCUUCGUGUCGUCAAACACGUUGCCCCAGCACACGCCAUCGUUGGCAGGCAGGCAGAAGUCCGACAGGGGGGUGUCGUUCUUCAGCUCCAGGCAGAUCUUGCCGCCAUUCGCCUGGUCCUUGCUCCAGUUCAGGGGGGUAGCCUUAACGGUCUGCUCGUCCACAGCGCCCCAGGUGGCGGACAGCCACUUGCCGGUGCCGGUCUUGGGCUGCACGUACACGCCGGUGAUGGCGCGGCGCUUCUUGUCGUCGGCGUAGAACUCGGCCUUGAGCAGGCUGGUGCUCCGGCCGCAGGGGCUGGUGGCGCUGUUGGGGGUCACCAGGGUGAUGCUGAAGCAGUAAGCAGUGGUGUCCUUGGUGCGGCCGGCCAUGCUCGACAUCGCGGGCGCAAUGGCGAAGGGGGUGGCGCCGGGAGUGGUGACGCACUGGCACUUGGGGAAGUCGGGGGUCUGCAGGGCGCAGGCGGCCGAGGCCUGGGCGUUGAUGCACGACUGGGGCAGGCCGGCGACGGCGUCGCCCAUGCCGCCAACAGAGACGACCACGGUGUAUCCGGCCAGGGCGGGGCGGCAGCCCUGAGUCACCAUGUCCAGCCAGAAGUUGAUCUGGGUGUCAACGAAGCUCUGCAGCUUGGCGCCCUCCUCGUUGGAGAAGAAGGUGGCGCACACCAUCACCAGGUUGCCGGCGCAGCUGGUGGACCCAGGGGUCACGGUCACGCCGAGGUCGGAGGCCUGGGUGGCCACGUCGUCCUGAAUGGUGGCGAUGUAGCCCUGGCACUCGUCGUUGCUGAUGGAGUAGGGGAACAGAACGCGGCUGGCGUCGCUAACGGUCAGCGAGAUGUAGACGCAAACCUGGCAAGGAGGAGGGGGGCUGGGGGGAGGAGGGCUCGGGAUGCCGGGCGUGGAGAUAGGGCAGCAGUCGUUCUGGCUGUCGAACAGCGCAGCCGAGCACACACCCUUGGGCAGGCCAGGGGGAGGAAUGCACAGCUCCUCAAGGGUGGUGCAGCCCUUGCCGUUCUUGUUCAUCGACAGGGUGAUGCAAAUCUCAGCACCGUCGCUGGCCAGGCCCAGGCCCAGCUGGGUCAGGACCAGGGUGGUCGAGCCAACGGGGCCAUCGGUGGGCUCGUGGAACGAGACACCGACCUUGGUGGGCACGCCGUUGAUGGUGGCCUUCACCACCUCGCCGAAGACGUCGCACGCCUCGUAGACGUUGAACUGUGUACAUCAAAAUGAGGAACAAACUCAGAGAACUUCUUGAAAAAAGAACUCACACUGUGGGUUGCUGGCUGCUGCGACUUUGAAACCGCGACCCGAUGCGCCGACAACCCACCUCGAUCUUCUUGAGGUCUGCCUUGGAGCAGCAGUAAUCGGUGCAGCCAGCCGGCACCUUGGCGCUCAGCUUGAAGCAGUACUGGUUGUUGCCCUUGGCAACGACAACAUCACCCAGCUUGUAGGCCGAGGGAGACUUCUUGCACUGGCAGUAAGGGAACGAGGUGUACAAGCCCGACUGAGCACCCUGGGCGGCCCUGCAGAUUCAGAACGAAGGGCACACGCGGCACGGAGUUACUGCCAGCGGAGCAAGCGGAGUCUCGGCGACGGGAUAGCCUGCUUGCAACUUGCUGUCAAAUCCGGUGGUGGCGCUACGAUCACUGUUACGCUAUGCUGAAAUCAUGAAAAUAGCCCGAGCAUGCUGUAAGAGCGCCGGUUGCAAGAAGGCCGACCGCAUUCAAGCUGCGCAGCGGACCCACACGACCACUAUUUACGCCGUGAGCGUAAAUGAUUAUCUUUGACUAGAGUCAGCGAUGCUCGUCUAUUCUACAACUCAGGAGCUUCCCGAAGCGACAAAUCUGUGAAACGCGCGGUCUUGCUACUCACGCAAUUGCGGCCGCGAAAAGAACGGAGACUAGAAUGCUGCACCUCAUUGUCACAGAGGUGGUUCAGCUAUAAAGAAAUUGUGAGGCACGCGGGCUUAUCAUGGGGGGCCCGGCUGGUCGAACGAGUCGUACGCCCGCCAUUAACCGCGGGCGCGUUAGUUUGGCGUGCGAUGCAAUCAUUCAUGCAACCGCGCCACUUCGACAGUGCCGGAAACAACUUUUAUUUUUGUGGGUAUGCAUCCGGCUAUUCGGUAGGACAGCAGCUGCGUUACGCUCAAACUCGGGCAAACAAUUGGGCUAGCGGCGUGAGCUUGCACCUCACAACUAUCAUCACACAAGUUAUUUAGAUACUGGCCUACCUUGGGCCAUCUCCAAAACUGCCUGUCCAGCCCGGGAGCGGCGGAGCUGUUUCGCCCGCGGUUUGGAGUGGCUUUACUCGUGCCGACGCAAGUCCUUGAUUUUUGCAUUAUAAAAAAAUUAUAGAGUACAGCUAUAGCAACCAACUUGGCAAUGGAGCUGCUGGCAUGGUCCAAACGCGGGAAGCUGGCGCCUUCUAGGCUCUUUGGAGCCCUGUCGGCUUCACAAGUGGCUGAUGCUCAAGUUGUGCAUCGCUUUGGCCGGACAAAUGUCUCCUAGUAACCCGGUUCACAAGCGAAGCGUGAAACGAAAGCAAAGGAUGCUGCGCGCCGGAAGCGAAACGUUCGAUGCACCUAAUUGGGCGCCAAGCGCGGAACCUUGCAGUCUCAGAUGCGUGUGUGCAUGGAAGGAGAAGGCUGGCGGAGGCGAGAGGAGCGGGGGCAGGGAUUGGCUUUCGUGGGGGGGGCGGGGCAAGUGGCGCGGGCGGGGCUGGGGGGGCGAAGAACGGUGAAGACCGGUGCGAUGGCACAGGGUAAGGGGCAGGUUGGCGUAGUCCCGAGUCCCGAGAAACAACUUACGCCCAACCCAGGCGCCAAUGAAACAGGUGAAGAGCUUGAGGACCCCCCUCCCGCUGUCCGGGCCUUACACACAAGCAGGCCAAGUGCGGGGGGAGCCGUAGCGCACACCAUAUACCGUACUGUCACUGUGCUCGAUUUCGUCGCUAGUGACGCCCCUGCUGGCUAGGGUAGCAAGGGUAAUGGGGGUGAACGAGCCGGUUGCUUAGGCUGUGCCAGCUUUCCCCGGGUUUCAUUGGGGUCACACACUUCACUGAUGCACAACUUUCAGAGCCAGGGGGCUGCAUCCUCCGGCAAGCAGACGCCAGGAGGGUGUCCCUGGCCGCAUGCGCUGGGUCCUGGAGUCUACGGUACGCGUUGCCGCACGCGUCGGUUGGCCAUCCAUUCCCCAUCCUUAGACACAAUGACUGUGUCAUGUGUGCACGUUGCGCUUUAGGCUCGGCCAGCGGCACCCUGGGUUGGGUGUGUGAUGGGUUGGGUCUCGGUUUGAGAGGUGUGACCCUUGCAGAAAGCAGGACUCUCCACACUCCCCUCCCGUGCUGUGCAUGUAUGUUCCUGCAUGCACGUGUGUGUAUGAAGUGAAUGGCUCAGCCAACGGCUGUGUGUGCAUGUGGCCCGCGUAAAAUGCAAUUUACCAGUGAUGGGCACUUCUAUCAGGGAGGGGUAGGAAACAAAGUGCCAGACCCCAUGCCCCGAAAUCCCCCGGGACCCCCCUUGAGGGGACGACCGACCCCCCGACGGACAAAACCUUGUUGUUCAGCGGUUAAAACCCCUCCAUUUAAUACCAAAGUAGUGUCAAUCGACUCCUCUUGACGAGCACUAUCACUCCGUGCCAUCAGCGGUCCUGUUCUGAGACUUCGGUCACGGGCGGGAUCCUAUCCAUGGAAAUCCCCUCGACCCAGACCACCCCGCGCUCAACUCUUUGCCGCGUGACGAAUGGACAAUGUGCAUCGGCAGCCUUGUUAGACGUGAACUCAUGCGCAUCAGCGCUUCAGAGCCCAGCUGUGUCAGUGCGCAUAUGUUGAAUGUGGAGACAUGUCCCGACAUGUCCACGUCCGGACGCGCAACUUAGCCCUCCCACGCUUUGUUUGUGCUUAUUACGUCAUAACGUACACAUAUGAGCCUCGCACUGCUGCGUUUGGCCCCUAGUUCUGCUUGUGGGGCGCUUCCCGAAAUCCGCCAGGAUGGGCUCCCGAAACCCGACGGACCCCCAGGGACGAGGACCGACCCCCAACUUUGGCGGCCCAGAACUUCCUCACCAGACCCCCCUUUAAAAAACUAAAAGUACGUGCAUAAUGCUCUCCUGAAGCUCUCUAAUAUUGAGCAUGGGGUAAGAACCUGAGCUUUCUAACCCCCCCCUGCCAUGGCGGCCACAAUGCCAAGAUGCUACCUGGCGGCGCCACGCACAGCAGAGCCCUGUGCUCCGCAAGGAUGCACACGUGCACACACGCACACACAUGUGCGAACACACGUGCACCUGCCCUCCAUGCCACUCGCCCCGCCCCUUCCCCCUUCCCUCACCUCAGUUAUGGCUGACUGGAUGCGGUUGAUCUCAAACAGCCGGCUGCGCCCCUCCUGGGAGCCGCCGCCGCCGCCGCCAGACAGGAGGUCUGGAGUGCGUGUGAGGAAGGGGAGGGGGGGGAUGUGCCCGAGCCCGAGGUCUCAAGCGUCAAGGAAUUGUUUCCAAACCAGGGGGAGGAAGCGGUAGGGGGGCGCGAAGUGUGAUGUUUGUCGGGGUAAGGUGUGAGGCAUUGGGCAUGGAGCGUAAGGCGGGCAUCAAGGCGGGUAGGGUGUCGGCCUGUGCGCUGUCACCCAAGCCACGGGCGCACCGUUAGCACGCACGCACGCGCACACGCUCACACUACGCACCUGCGGCCGCCUCCUGCCCCUUGCUGGUGGCGCCGCUCCCGCCGCCGCCCCCACCUGCACCCCCAGCAGCCGCCCCGCCCGGCACCGGAGCGCUCACCACCACCUGCGCCUCCGCCGCACCCUCCACCGCUGACUCUGCUCCUGCUCCCCCUCCUGCUGCGGAUGCUUCCGCUGGUAGCUGCACCACUGGCGUGUGCCGUGGAUGCGGUGGGUGCGGCGCCGCCAAGCCAGUCACCGCCGCCACCACCGGCGCCAGCGCCGCCGCCACGGCAGCCGCCGGCUCCCCUCCCGAAAUCCGCCAGACACCCCCUUAAAAAGUUAAAAGUACGUGCAUAAUGCUCUCCUAAAGCUCUGUAAUUUUGAGCAUGGGGUAAGAAACUGAGCUUUCUACCCCCCCCCUGCUUCUAUCAACCGGUUGUGCUUUCGGGGUUACAUGGAAGAGAUUAGGCUGGUGGGGCACAGUGGUGCACGGUGACAGAGACAGCCUUUCUUCCCUGUCUGGGUCAGGGGACAGGUUGUGCCGCCCUCGAGUCCGAAUCAAAUCGUUCUUUGCAGCAUCCCUCUUCAGGAUGCUGAGUGGAGUUGGUGUCGGUAGUAAAGGCCAAGCCCAACGCCCAUUGCGGCAGGGCCCAGGUGUGGGCGGAACGCCCGCCAAGAUGAGACACGAUGAGAGGCACGGCCGAUCGCGCCGAGUUAAGCCAUCACCACGCCCAGUGUUCCGGCCGGUUGUAACAGAUCAACUGUUACGAUCCCUGUUCGAGACAGGGCUGGGCCCUAACUUAUGCCUCUUACGAGUCUUCUAGUGAAUACGCGGUCACCCAAGUCUCAUCCGUUGGACAUCUCCAACCCCUUGCCAGGCUCUACAGUGAGUUAUGUCCGGGGUGGGCUAGGUACUGCUACCCCAGGGGAGAGCCUUCCCUGGCAGAGCCCAGGCCCUGCCGUAUUCCUUACCGGGUCGCACACCCACCGAAGUACCGAACCACGCGUCACGGUCUGGGAAUCAGCUGCACCCUACGGGACUUCACCAACCUGCCUUAACACUGUCCCAUACCACGCGUUACGUUUCUCCACGAUCCGCGGAACGGCGGAAACACGUAUUGACAUGUGUACACCCGCAAGGAGACCGCGGGUGGGUGAGAAUACUGCGCCUGCGCCUGAGAGCCCCGGGGCAAGCUGUCUCAUCCCCGAACGUAGAACUCAUAGAGUGCAGUCUGUGCAAAAGGGAAAGCGAGAUGCAAAGGACGAAGCAGGAGUCGUGUGACGCGUUAGCGUGGAUAAACGCCUGGCGGAUGAGAUCGGACAUGGCAACUUGGAAAUGGGCAGGUUGGUGUUAGUCCUGUGGACCUGAUAUACCCGAGCCGGUUGAGGGCCUCAUGUGCAAAACCGCCAGCGCCGGUCUGCUGGCCUUAUCUGGGUACACGCAGUACCGGUGCGGUAGCUGACGAUGCCAGCGUUAUUGACGAGUGUUGCGGAACUAAUGCGUACGUAGACCAGAGCGGAAGGCGGAGUGGGCUUGCAGGCGGCACGAGAGUAGGCAGUCAGUAGCGCAAGUUGCGAAUUCACAUGUUACCUCGUAACCGACGGUAAACGCUGCGGACGGUCGCGCCCAUGGCUGGCUGACGGAAGGUGGCUGCUGUAUUGGGAUGGCUGGGCUGGACGACGCCGGCCGGGCUGGCGUGCACGAUGUGCACAAACCGUUCCGCCUGCAGAUUGCAGAAAGCCCUGACGCCAGCUGCGCAUCCUGACGGAUGACACGUUGGGGGCUGUCACUCAGCUGCUGACUCGGGACCACCGUGCUGUCCCCUGCCGCAGUUACCGCCGCAGCCUGGCUGGCAUUCAACUUAUGUUGAAAAUUAUAUCAAUAUGACGCGUUCGUACUGUGCCCCCAAACCGGUUUACAGGGGCAACAGGCAAUAGCCCUGCGCACAAACUCCUGCUUCUCACCAGAGCUUUCGCCGUUAUGCACGGCCACGGGAACAAUGGUCCCGGCCAACCACAUCUAUGAACCGUGUCCGUUAGCCUCUCCUGAGGCUUGUAACCGGAACGCGGCUCCGCUGAUUGCAGUCCCAGGAUGACGCUAACCUAAGCAAACAGUCAAUGCGCAUGAUCAUUUACACACACGAGUGCUCUUAUGUACUGCCCAUAUUAAACACAGUCGAGUUGUGGAUCAGUUGCACGAUUCACCGCGCCAGCCCUCGCGGCGGUGCUUCACGCAAUCCGCAUUCAGCUGGUGGCGAGUCGCCAAGCCGCCCCCAACAAAACCCGCACCGCACCAAGUGCCAUGCCGUUUAGACACACGCGCACAACACUAAUCCUGCGAGGCAGUGAUCUCAUCUGUCACUUUGUCAACUACCCAAUCAAGCCAUUUUUCCGAACCCAAUUCAAAACACGCGCCCACGGGCGAAGCUGUGCGCCGUGGCUGUAGCGGCUGCUGCCUCUGCUGCCAACGCCUCACAAAAUCCACCCGUGGCCGUCUGCCACAUAAGCUCCAGCGGUCACCAGCUAUGCUCCGUGCCAGCUCGCGAUAUUGCCAGGCCGUGUGGCCGCAGCAGCUGUUUGCACAGCUGCCGCGAAGCAAGUCCGCUGCCACAAGAACUCAAACAGGGUGGGUCAGCCGCGCGGCUUCCAAGCGGCUUCCACCUUGUGUGUAUGGACACGCGACGCCUCGGCUGCUGCGGGCUGUGCCAUUUACGGCAGGCUCGCCUGGUACAGCGGGCAGCUGCGGGCAAGACACGGGAGGGGUGAGGAAUGGCGGUCAGAUACGUGACAACGUCGAGGCAGAUGUCCGCGGGGAAGUCCGUGGGCGAAGCCUAUUGAUUUAGAUCCCGCAAGACAACCCACAUUGGCAAGUACGUUGUUGCGAGCGUGUCAAUGCAAACCCAACUCACCAGUUCUUGCUGUCGUCGAACAAGUUGCCGUAGCACGAGCCGCCGGGCGCGGGCAGGCAGAAGUCCGACAGGGGGGUGUCGUUCUUCAGCUCCAGGCAGAUAGUACCGCCAUUCGCCUGGUCCUUGCUCCAGUUCAGGGGGGUAGCCUUGACGGUCUGCUCGUCCACAGCGCCCCAGGUGGCGGACAGCCACUUGCCGGUGCCGGUCUUGGGCUGCACGUACACGCCGGUGAUGGCGCGGCGCUUCUUGUCGUCGGCGUAGAACUCGGCCUUGAGCAGGCUGGUGCUCCGGCCGCAGGGGCUGGUGGCGCUGUUGGGGGUCACAAGGGUGAUGCUGAAGCAGUAAGAGGUGGUGUCCUUGGUGCGGCCGGCCAUAGUGGAAAUGACGGGCGUGAAGGCGAAGGGGGUGGCGCCGGGCGUGGUGACGCAAGCGCACUUGGGGAAGUCCACAGGCUCGGGGGCGCAGGCCUGGGACUGGAAGCCGCUCAGGCAAGACGCAUCCGGGGCCUGUGCGGAGCCGCCGAUGCCGCCGACGGCGGCGUAAGCGCUGUAGCCAGUCAGGAAGGCGGGGCAGCCCUGGACGCCGGUGAUCAGCUGCAGCCAGAAGGGCAGGCGCUCAUCGAUGAAGGGCUGCAGCUCGGCGCCCUGCUCCGAUGAGAAGAAGGUGGCGCACAGCUUGAUCACGUCGCCAGAGCAAACAGCCGGGGCGAAGUUGAUCGCGACGCCCAGGUUCUCGGCCUCGGUCUGGAGCUCGUCGCCGAUCAUAGCAGCGUAGUCGUCGCAGUCCUGCUGGGAGAACUCGUAAGGGAAGACAACGUUGCCGGUCUCAAGGAUGGAGAGGUACACGCAAGCCGUGCAGGGAGGAGGAGGAGACGGAGGAGGCGGGCUGGGGGGAGGAGGGCUCGGGAUGCCGGGCGUGGAGAUAGGGCAGCAGUCGUUCUGGCUGUCGAACAGCGCAGCCGAGCACACACCCUUGGGCAGGCCAGGGGGAGGAAUGCACAGCUCCUCAAGGGAGGUGCAGCCCUUGCCGUUCUUGUUCAGCGACAGGGUGAUGCAAAUCUCAGCACCGUCGCUGGCCAGGCCCAGGCCCAGCUGGGUCAGCACCAGAGUGGUGGAGCCGACGGGGCCAUCGAUGGGCUCGUGGAACGAGACACCAACCUUGGUGGGCACGCCGUUGAUGGUGGCCUUCACCACCUCGCCGAAGACGUCGCACGCCUCGUAGACGUUGAACUGUGGAGAAAGAAAACCAGAAGGGUGAGAAUGGUUUGGACAAGCACGCUAGCAGACGCCAGCAACUCUGCUAGCGACAAGCCGCGAGCGUCGGUUACUGUGAUGCUCUUCGACAUUCCCGCUCGACUUUCUGGCAUAGUCGCAACCACGUGCUUACCUCGAUCUUCUUCAGGUCCGCCUUGGUGCAGCAGUAGUCAGUGCAGCCAGCCGGCACCUUGGCGCUCAGCUUGAAGCAGUACUGGUUGUUGCCCUUGGCAACGACGACAUCACCCAGCUUGUAGGCCGAGGGAGACUUCUUGCACUGGCAGUAGGGGAACGAGGUGUACAAGCCCGACUGAGCACCCUGGGCGGCCCUGCAUUCCGAAGGCACAAGGGCAAAAGAUGUGUUGGUUCGCAUGUGUGCAUCGGCGUGCAGUCUUGAACCCAUGUGUGCAUGACGUCCUAGAGAAGAUGACACUGCCAUGUACUGAUCGAUUGCGCUCCAGGCUCCAUCAAAGGCCCGCCGGCCUAAGCUGGGGAAUGCUGGCGUGCUCCAGUGGCUGUCGAGCGUCCAGGAAAGGCUGAGCUGCCACCGUGAGCUGGGGAUGCUUUCACGUUAUGACCAACACAUCUGUCUGUGACAUACAUCAAGCUAGGGGCUGGAUCGCCUACGCCGCGACAAAAAUGGCGCGACUCCGAGAGAGCCAUCACAGACACUACUCACGCGAAUGCGGCAGCCACGAGAACGGCAACCAGCGAAUAGCUGGACCUCAUUGUUACAGAGGUCGUUCAGCUAAUUAUGGUGACCAUUUGCGCGCCGAGGGCUAUAAAUUCUGCUGGCCGAUUCCGUACGACGGCCCGCCCGCCGUCUGCCUCGACUUCGACUCGCCUCCUGGCACGCUCGACUGGCUUGCUGGCAUUGGUAACAGCCGAAUGCCGAUGCGAUUUAAUCACCAAGCCAAAAUCCACACGCAAUGUCAGCGGGCGGCGAGCGCCCACCAGGUUUUCGCGAUGAACAUGUUUUCGCGAGGCCAGUUUUACUAUAAUAUAAAACAAACUACAAGGUGUGAGCCAUCAAUAGCUUGAUCAAGGAAACACAGGAGUUGGUCGGCCGGAUUGCGGCCUGCCAUAAAUGGAAGGCAAUUUUAGGGUUGAGCCUUGUAACAAAACUGUUAGCAACAAACAGUUUCUACGCAUCUUAAGGGCCCUCUACAGGGCCCUUAAGAAUCGCGACAGCUUAUUCCUCUCAACGGUCGCUCGCUGCCUCUAGGGAUUCUGAGCCGGUCUCCUUUCUUAAAAGCAUUUGUAUCUAUACUGACUGUGGGUCUUCUAUAGACGACGGCCUGCUGUCCUGUACGCCAUUCAUAUGUUCUGGGUCUCUGCGGCCGGGAAGGGCCCGGGCAUACUCUCCUUAAUGGUCAAAGAUAAUGGGUAGACAACCGUCACCGUAAAACUCCAGCUUCGGGGCUGACUUCCGGCAAGGUAGUUAUUGGCGCGUCGAACAUCGUGCGGUCGACCUGACCGCGCUCGCUCGCCAGCCUGAAAAAGGACUACGUUUGUGGUGCUUAAUACAGCUUUCAUACGACAUGCUGUGCUGCCUCCAUCGCGUACUGCCAGCUGACAGUCUGAAGGGCAAACGACCAUGUUGUGGUUUUGGUGGCCGCGUGGCGCCCGUUCGCCUGCGCGCCCGCCCACCGCGCCCCCGGCCAAGCUUGAGUUUCUGUGGCAUCCUUGAACUGCAUGCCCCAACAGCUCACCUAAGUAGCUUCGGUUAGUCUGCAGGUGCCAAGACGCCUUCGCGGCACUUGGCGCAGCCGGGGCUGGCCGUGCCGUUGAACACCAGGGCCAGGGCUCCCCCUCCAGCUUCCCUGCGCCAGGGCUUUGGGGGCGCAUUUAAGUGGGCGGGUCCGCAAGUGGGUGGGUCUGCUGUGAAGCCCUUCAUGGGCUGAGUCCGCUUGUUGCCUUGCUCAACAAGGGCUGCCAGGUUUGGAGUGGCCGAGGGUAUGGGCCUUUGCAUGUAGUGUCACAAGGGUGUGACUACAGCACCCGAUGUGAAGAGUCUGACGCGGGAUUGGCCCGUCAGGCACGCCACGCACCGGCAGGCACGUGCGGGAGCUGGAGCUUCACAUGUUCAUUGUGGCAAUAUGCAGCUAGUUAUUUACAUAUUCUGCAAGGGGCACGUUCCGACUCCCAUGCUCCCAUAUGCAGUUGAGAAAUGCGUCUAACCUGACAGGCUCAGGUCUCAGCAUGACUGCGCGCAUGCUUUUACUGAAGUCCAAGCCACUGCUCCACACCACACGCAACGCCUCACGUUGAUGCCCUGUGCCGCGACAAAACUGAAGAGCUGCGCGCGCCAUCUAUCUCCCGCCGGGUUCACCCAUGCCAUCGGUGAGUGAUUAUCGCACUGCAGUGUAACAAGCGAUCCGCCAAAACCCCACUCCAUGAGUCAAGUUGGGCCCUGAUAGCAUGUGAUGGCUCGGCGUCUUCGGGUGCUGGGACUGUCCCCUCUGUAACAUCCGCAUUCAUGAGUCUGAUUCCGCUCAUUCAAUGCGAAUCUGACACAGUCCACACGCCAACAAAACCUUCUUCAUCAGAACUGCCCCCUAAAGCCUCAUGGUGCAAGAUGUGUGGUCCCCCCCGCAUGGGAAAAGUGGGCUGAGCCCACGCGACGUCUCUAGUCUGAGGCCGCAAGCGUCUACCUCACCUCCCUGACAUAGCCGGGGUCGGUUCGUACAGGCACGGCCCGCCAUGUGUCCAGCCACGUCCCGCUGCCAAGCAACAGCACAGCCAGCAAUCAACCAAACAGCAGGAAACCCUCUAACAUUCCUCACUGCCCCGGCCUACCACAUACUGCCCAGCCAUCCCAAUACAGCCGCCACCUUCUGUCAGCCAGCCAUGGGCGCGACCGUCCACAGCGUUUACCGUCGGUUACGAGGUAACAUGUGAAUUCGCAACUUGCGCUACUGACUGCCUACUCUCGUGCCGCCUGCAAGCCCACUCCGCCUUCCGCUCUGGUCCACGUACGCAUUAGUUCCGCAACACACGUCAAAUACUGUGCGGUGCUAUGCUCGCCAGCAAAGACCCUAACCAGACACCGGCCGACCUCAACCUGCGCGCCGGCGCCGGUGCCGCUUGUUGGGCGCCUCAAGGUGAAAACAACAACCCAAAGCGCAACUUACCGCGUAUACGCAUAGGAUGAAUAAGACCCGUAAGUUCAGAUCUCCACCUCAAACCUCACCAGCCCAGAGUUUGCUUGGCAUGCAUGAAGCAUUUCGACGCCCUUCCGACCGCUCCAGUACCCACAAAUCAAGUUGAAUGGGGUUUCUCCAGAGCAGCUGAGGCUGGCUAUGGGCAUGGGUUGACCAGCAGCCAGGUACAGAUAGAGAUCUUUUGCCUCAGCAGUUUGUACGACCAGACUGCAUGACGCCUGAUGACAAAGUCGUAUGCACGAAACCAAACUAACUGCGAACUGCGAUCCAAGUUGUAGGUAUCCGGAGUACCGUACCUGACCCGGAUACCACACUGUUCAUAUCGCGCAGGGGCCGAAGGGGUUGCGGAGCCAACCGCCACCGGUGCCAUGUGUGAUCCAGUCAUAACGCAUUUUAGUAGACUUGAAUAAAGCUUGUUGGCCUGUUUACCAUUAAUAUGGCAUGGUUCGGCCUUACGGAAAAUGCACAGCAAUGCUGAACACGCUGGGGUGGCAACCGUGGCGCAUGUACUGCGCAACAGCCCUAGCCUGCCCCCAGUAGCACUCGCAUGCCUGCGCCCGAACUCUUGCAUCGCACACCACACUCAACCGUGUAUUGUUGCAGCAACUCAAGUCCUCGUCACGCCCCACUUGGCCCUCAUUCGGGUCAGCAGUGAUGCAUACAAGUACAUGGUAGCGCUGUCGCUGCAACCUCCAGCGCUCGCAGCUUCCGGCGGCGGCACACGCUCCCGGCGGCGGUGGGAGUACGAAGGAGGGCACGGGCCCACGCCAGCCUUGCCGCCGGCAUGACUGGCCACUCCGCCAUGUCUGUCUGCGGCGCUACCCGCAGCUGCCCCUCAACCCUUACACAGGCGCCGUCGCUGCCACCGGCUCCGCAGCAAUAGCUCAAGGGGCAGACGCCGCUGCCGCCGCUGCCGCCGUGUCACCAGCCUCAGCGCCGCUGGCGGCGGCAGCCGCCCUCCCUGCCGGCGAUGCAUCUGUAGCACCCGCGCCACCGCCGCCGUAGCUACCGCCCGUGGCGGCGGCGGAGCCGGCAGAAGCGGUUGACGCCGGAUACAGCAACGGCAGCGUCACGCUCUCCGACGGUGCCAACACGGGCAGGACGCCGCCACCGCCGCCGCCGCCGCCGCCGGUGCCCACGAGCGAGAGGUGUGACGACGAUGCAAUCCCCAGACCCAGUGACGGCAUGAGGCCGGCGAAGCUGGGGGCCUGCGAUGAGAAGGACAGCAGCCCACCCACGCCCAGGCCCGUGCCGGCGCCGCUGACCUCGCCGCCCGCCGCCGCGGCGGCAGCGGCGGCGGCCGCAACCGCGGUGGCGGCGGCCGCCGAGACGCUGGUCGCCGUCGCUGCAACCGACACGCCCAUGGCCUCAGCUGCGCUGGCGAACGCUGGCAGGGCCCGCGGCCUUGCUGCGAAGGCGGAGGUGCUGCCGACGCCUGCGGCGCCUGUAGCGCCGGUAGCUGCUGCGGCUGCAUCGCCACCGUUGCCUCCGGUGCUGGCGUCAGAGGCAGGCGGCGCAGCCGGCGGCGGCGCGUGUGACGGGGCUGCAGGCGUUGGCGAAGCGGGAGCACCAGAAGGCGCGGCGGCCGCGGCGCGGCCGAGGGCGCGCAAAGGCGUUGGUGUGCCGCCGCCGAUGGCAGCGUACGGCAGUUGGUUGCUGCCUGUGCGGAUGGGCGGUGCUGGCGGCGACGGCGGAGCUCCCAUUGCCGCCGCGAGUCCUAGGUCCGGUGCGCUGUUGAGCGCCGCCGCCGCCGCCGGCGGCAGCAGCCCGUUAUGUGUGACCCCUGCCGCUGCCCCCGCUACCGCCGCCGAGCCCGCUUCCGACACCGUGUUCAGUCCUGCAGCCGCCGCCGCCGCCACCGCCUCUGCCGCCGCCUCUGCUGCCGCCCCCAUCUGUCUGAGCGCGCGGGGUGAUAGCGGUGAGCCCAGCAAUGACGGCGCUGGCGCCGCCGCUGCCGCUACCGUCGAUGCCUCAGCAGAUGCCAGCAUCACGCGCGAGCUGCUACUGCUUCCAGCACCGCCGCCGCCGUCGCCACCAACACUGCUGGCUGCUGCAACGUUCCUGCUACUGCCACUGCCCCCCGGAAACAAGCCGUGCGGCAGCGUCCCCGGCGGCACGGGGCUUCCCGGCGGCCCCGAGCCCGAGGCGACUGCCGCCGCGCCCUUGGCACUGCUGGCGCCGCUGCCGCCGCCGCCAGGGCUGACGCCGCCGCCGCCGCCGCCGCGCGGGCGGCUGGUAAUUCGUUUCAGCACUGGACCGCCGCCGCCAAGCAGCCCGCCCAACGCCCCCCCCAGUAGUACUGGCGGCGCCAUGCCAUCCUCAUCAUCCGAAUCGUCCAGGACCACAGCCGCCGGCGGCACCGCCAGUGACAGCGGCGGCGGCGGCUCCGCGCCGCCGCCACUGACCGCUCGCGCCAUGGCUAGACGCGACGCGCUGCUGCUGCCGCCUGGCUCGUGAACUGCGUCAGCAGGUCCCUCUUGUAACCAAUGCAAUCUGCCGCCGCCGCCGGCGCUCGUGCCAAUGCCGCCGGAACGCGCGGCGGCGGCGGUACUACGGCCGCUGCCGCUGCCGACGCUGCCUCGCGCGACGCGAACCGCUGCGUCCGUUGCCGCGCCUGCCUCCGCCGACUGCGCCACCCCCGCGGCGGCCGCCAGGCCGCCGCCGCCGCCGCCGCCCUCCGGCUGCGCCGGCGCAGCCGCCGGCUGCCGCGCCGCGGCGGCGGCGGCCUGCGCCAGCAGCGCCUGCUGCUGCUGCUGCUGCUGCUGCUUCCGGGCCUUCUUUGCCGCCAACAGGUCAUUCAGCAGCCGCGUCAGCACGUCCAGAGCGUCCAGGAAGCGCGGCCGGGCAGCGGGUGAGGCGGACAGGCAGGCGGUGGCGAGGUCGCGGUAGGCGGGCGGGCAGGCGGAGGGCUCGGCGGGCCAGGUGUAGAACUCGGCGGGCAGGUUGGGGAUGCGGCGGCGCAGCGGCAGGCGGCGGGCCACUGUGGAGCCGUGGAGCAGCUCCCACAGGAUCACGCCGAAAGAGUAGCUGCCGGGGGGAAAGGGGGGAGGAGCGGGAGGGAGGCUGGGGUUAGCCAUUCAUCCAAUCCCAACGGGGCACCAGUCCAAUGAAUCGCAGCCCGCUGUCGGCUUGGGCGUACAGCGUGUACUCCGCCCCUUCCCCCUGCCCCUUCCCCUGGCCGCUCUGUGCCCCAUCCCGUCCCCCUGCCGCUCCCUGCCCCCUGCCCCUUCCCCCUGCCCCUCCCCCUGCCGCUCCCUGCCUCCCGAGCACGCCCCCCUCCCCCUCCAGCCCCACCCACAGGUCUGAGGCGGUGGUGGCUCGGCCGUCCUCCACCAGCUCCGCGGCGAUGUAGAAGGGCGUGCCGCGGCUGCGGGGUGAGGCAGCGGUGCGGGGGGAGGGGGCUACAUUCAUGACUAAUUCAACAUGACAAGGGGUGUAAUUGGGUGUGCGGGUGAAGGCCGGAGUCCCCAACUGACACGUGUGAAGUAUGGGGGGGCGGGGUUGGGUGUGCGGGCGGCAUGUGGGGCCGGGCUCACGGGCUGGUGUGAGUGGCGUGUUGCAGGACUGGCGCGAGCGGCGGGAUCAGCAGCAGCAAAGGCAGGAAGGCGGACACGUCACACGCGCGCGCUGACCUCACUCGGGCCCCCAUGACCUCCGCCCCGCAACACCGCAAUCACUCCGUCUCGCAUGUUCGGCUACCCUUCCUCCGGCUGCCUCCUCCGUCUUGCGUGCACGGCUACCCCCGCCCACACCCCGCCCCCCACUCUCACCAACCUGUUCCUACUGCCCCAACCUCGCAGCCCCCCUCCCAUCACCCCCAUGGCCCCCGCCCCCCCCCCCAUCUCACCACUCCGGUCUCCACAUGAACGUCCCCCCUACUUGGUAACGACUUCGUCUGCAGCCUUCCGUGCCGCUCCUGUACCGCUUCUCCAAACAUCCUUGCAAUCCCCCCCCCGCCCUCACCGGAUGUUGCUGAUGUGGCUCUCUCCCGCCUUGAGUUUCAGCGCCAGUCCAAAGUCCGCAAUCUUGGCUGUGAAGCCGUACCCACUGGCGGCGUUGGAGCGAAGCAGGAUGUUGGCGGGCUUCUACGGAGGGCGGGAGGGGGCGGCGGAGGGGAGCUGUUGAUGUAAGGAACGUGAUGAUAAGAUAAUUAAUAGGUCACAAGUCAUGGUCACAAGUUUCAAAGUGCCCACGUCUAGUGGGAACAGGGGAUGGGGGAGCCGUUCAUGUGAAGGACGGAGUGGUUAGGUCACAAGUGUGAAGUGCCGACGUCCAGAGGGAACAAGGGGGGAAGGGAGGGAGGGUUGGAUGAUGGGAGUUGGUGGGAUGCUGUGGAGGGUGGGGUGAAAGCGAAGCAGGAGGAGGCAGCAGGGGUAGUGGGCGGAGCGGGACGCAGCUGCGUGGCGCGGUACGGAGCGGGAAUGGCACGGGCUGGGGGACAGAGAGGGAAGGAGGCGGAGGCGGGGGCGCGGAAGGGCGGGUUCCCAAGGGGCUGGCUGGGUGUUGGUUUCGUUUGGGGUUUACCUCAUCACACACACACAUGCACUCGCGCGCGCUCCGCACCAGGUCUCCGUGUAUGAUGCUGCGGGCGUGUAUGUAGCUCAUGCCGCUGGCCACCUCGAUGCCGAUGCGCAGCGCCGUCUCCAGGUCCGCCAGCCCGCUACUGCCGCCGCCGCCGCCGCCGCCGUCAGUGUGGGUCGCUGCGAAGCGGCCGCCGUCCAGCGCGUCCUUAAGCGUGCCGCCGUCGCAGUACUCCUGAGGGCGGGCGGAGGGGAGCGGACCGGUGGGUUACAUUCAUAAUUAGGUAAGGAAAUGGUAUAAGNNNNNNNNNNNNNNNNNNNNNNNNNNNNNNNNNNNNNNNNNNNNNNNNNNNNNNNNNNNNNNNNNNNNNNNNNNNNNNNNNNNNNNNNNNNNNNNNNNNNUGGAAAGUACAACACCCCUCCCCCCCUUACAACAUUUCUCCCCCCCUACAACACCCCUCCCCCCUUACAACACCCCUCCCCCCCGCACCUGCUCCUUGAAAGAGUUGCCUCCGCCUCCGCCGCCACCUCCGCCCCUCUCGCCUCCCUCGCCUCCCUCCCCGGCGCCGCCGCCGCCGCUGCCGCCCACAAAGGCCUGGAACAGCAGCGUCUUCACCGCCACCUCCAGCCCGCGCCACUCGCCUGCGAGACACACACACGCAUGCACACAUGGACAUGGUCACGUUCGUGCACAGUGCCAACCCUUCCCAACACACUCAGUCACAACACACGCCACGCAGGAGCCCAAGCCGCUUUGGAAGCAGCCCUCUACCCCCGCAACAGGUUGCUGUCUGUCCCUGCCCCCCUUGCUGCCCCCACCCCCCCAUCGGCCCUCGGCCCGGACGUCAGCCCUGCAAACCAUCACAUCCCAUCCUUCAGCCCCCCCUCCCUCCUUUCCCUACCCAUCCAUCCCCAUCGCUUCCUCUCCCCUGGCUGGUAUCUCGUCCUCGCUCCUUUGCAUUGCGUUCGGUUCAGUUUGAGCUGGUAUCUACAACCCCCCCUCUCCAGCCCCUCUCCAGCCCCCCACCCACCCUUGUAGACCACCCCGUGCGCGCCCGCUCCCAGCUGGCACGUGAUGCUGAUCUGCUGCUGCUGCGCCCCCAGCUCCGACUGAAACGCCGCAAGCGCCGCAUACAGCUCCGUGCGUGGAUUGCUGCUCGCAGCCGCAUCGCUGCCGCCGCCGCCGCCGCCGCCGCCAGUGCCGCCGGUGCCGCCAGUGCCAGUGCCCGCGCUGCGGCCGCUCAGGCUGCUGCCGGCGACGCUGCCGGGCUUUCCGGCGCCGCCGCUGCCGCCGCUGGCAACGCUGGUUCCAGAGACGCGCGGCUUGCGGCCAGUGGCGGCGGCGCCGCCGCCGCCACCGCCCUGUGGCGGGCGCUGCGCGCCGCCCGGUCCGGCGCCGCCGCUGAUGCCGCCGCUGCCACUGGCACUACCGGGUCCAGGCGAGCUCGCAGUGAGCGGAUUGCUGCCAGAGGCUACAGAGCCCGCGCCCACCUCGCUCCCCGGGGUCCGCCGCGUCCCCGCCGCCGCCGCCGCCGCCGCCGUCACGUCGCCAGCAGCGCCCGGCGGCGAUUGCAGCGCGCGCCGCCCCGACCGGGAUCUCUGCCGUUCACGUGACGUCGCCACCGCCGCCGCCGCCGCUAGCGUGACGCCCACGCCCGCCGCCACCGCGCCGGCGCCAUUGCCACUGCCGCCGUCGCCGCCGCCGCCACUCUCCAAGUCGAGGUGCGGCUCUAUUUCCGGGAAGGCACGUGACGCCGCGCUAGAUGGCAGGCCGCUGCCGCCGCCGGCGGGGCUGGCGGCGCCGCCGGUACGGUGGUUGUACGGCCCGUGCUCGGAUCCAACCACCGACCGUGGCGGUGACGUGGCUCCGGAUCCAGGUGUGGCGGCGCCGCCGGCUGACGCAGCCGCCGCUGCGGCGGCGGCGCGUUCCCGGUGCGAGCGCAGCAGUGGCGUUGGCGUCUGCGGGGGAGCGCCGGACGAUUGCGUUGUGUCAACAGGCAUCACCAUACCCGCCCUGCAUGCUGAACACACACACACACACACACACACACACACACACACGCGCACACACACACACCUAUACACACACACACACACACACACACACACACACACAUCAAAACACACGCAUACCCACGUGCUCGCCGCUGGUGCCGCCGCCGCACCUCCCGCGGCUGCUGCGCCCGCUGCCGCCGCCGCUGCGCCGCCCAGUGCCGCCCUUGUCACUGCCCACAAAGCUCCCGCCACCGCCGCCGCCGCCGCCCGCCGCCCGCUCCUGCGCCCGCCGCCGGGCGCGGCGGCGGUGCAGGAACACUAUGCCCGCCGCCACCGCCGCCGCCAGGGCAAUGAGGCCGGCGGCGGCGCCUACGGCGGGGCCAAUCACCGCCCCGAUGUCGGUUGAGGCGGGUGCCGCCGGCACAACCACCACAACCGCCGCGGGCUGGGCGGGCGGCGGCGGCGGCGCUGCGCCGCCGGCGAGGCCGCCGGCUCCUGCUGCGGUACGGCGAUGGUACGGUGGGUACGGUUAGACGAUUGGUACCGCAGGAGAUGUACCGUAACCUAGAGGCAUGUGUCCAGGAACUGAACACUGCCUGACGGUGUUGCACGGCCUUCGUACAGCUUCGUGAGGUCGAAUGCCGAACGGCCGACUGCACCACCGUACAACGACUCUGCAGCGUGUCCGCAGUUGGCUACUCAGGCACCCCACCAGUCGACCCAGGCACCCACCCGGUGGCGGGACAGCUUGUCCGAAGAUGGCUACCCAGGCAUCCCCCCCCUCGCUCAGUAGCCCCUCGCUCAAUAGCCCCUCGCUCAAUAGCCCCUCGCUCAAUAGCCCCUCGCUCAGUAGCCCCUCGCUCAGUAGCCCCUCGCUCUAUUGCAUUGGGUUCGGUUUAGUUUGGGCUGGUAUCUACACACACAUACACACACACACACGCACACACACACACACACACCAGCCGACCCAGGUACCCACCCGGCGGUGGCACAGCGGCCGUGGGUCCCCCUCCGCCACCGCCGCCGCCGCCUGGCCCCCCGGGCAGCGGCAGCAGCGGCGCGUUGGAGCCGGGCACGGAGGCGGCGGCGGGCGGCAGCGGGCUGGCACGUGGCGGGUCGGGCGGCGGCGGCGGCGGCGGAGGCCGCGGCGGCGGGGGCGGUUCUGUGGUGGACGGGUGGUGGGAGUGGGAGUGUGGAUGCAGGGGGCCCAAGGGGGACAGCUCGGCAGCGCGUGGGCACAUCCCACACACCGGAAUGCCUGAANNNNNNNNNNNNNNNNNNNNNNNNNNNNNNNNNNNNNNNNNNNNNNNNNNNNNNNNNNNNNNNNNNNNNNNNNNNNNNNNNNNNNNNNNNNNNNNNNNNNNNNNNNNNNNNNNNNNNNNNNNNNNNNNNNNNNNNNNNNNNNNNNNNNNNNNNNNNNNNNNNNNNNNNNNNNNNNNNNNNNNNNNNNNNNNNNNNNNNNNNNNNNNNNNNNNNNNNNNNNNNNNNNNNNNNNNNNNNNNNNNNNNNNNNNNNNNNNNNNNNNNNNNNNNNNNNNNNNNNNNNNNNNNNNNNNNNNNNNNNNNNNNNNNNNNNNNNNNNNNNNNNNNNNNNNNNNNNNNNNNNNNNNNNNNNNNNNNNNNNNNNNNNNNNNNNNNNNNNNNNNNNNNNNNNNNNNNNNNNNNNNNNNNNNNNNNNNNNNNNNNNNNNNNNNNNNNNNNNNNNNNNNNNNNNNNNNNNNNNNNNNNNNNNNNNNNNNNNNNNNNNNNNNNNNNNNNNNNNNNNNNNNNNNNNNNNNNNNNNNNNNNNNNNNNNNNNNNNNNNNNNNNNNNNNNNNNNNNNNNNNNNNNNNNNNNNNNNNNNNNNNNNNNNNNNNNNNNNNNNNNNNNNNNNNNNNNNNNNNNNNNNNNNNNNNNNNNNNNNNNNNNNNNNNNNNNNNNNNNNNNNNNNNNNNNNNNNNNNNNNNNNNNNNNNNNNNNNNNNNNNNNNNNNNNNNNNNNNNNNNNNNNNNNNNNNNNNNNNNNNNNNNNNNNNNNNNNNNNNNNNNNNNNNNNNNNNNNNNNNNNNNNNNNNNNNNNNNNNNNNNNNNNNNNNNNNNNNNNNNNNCACCCGCACACGCCGCCCACCUGCAGCGCCGCCGGCUGCGCGCCCGGCCGGCCUAGCCCCAGGUUCAUGAGUGACAGGAAGCGCAGCCGCAACACCGAGUAGGGCGGCACAGCCACCGCGCCUGUGUGUGAUUUAAAGAGCACAAAGAAAACAUUACGCGUAGGACUGUGUGUGCGUGUUGGGAGGGGGAUUCCAGGCACGAUUAGUCAGGAGAAGACGGCAAAGAAGGGUUAAAUGCAGGCGCCAGCACACAUAGGUUGGAUGAGGACAAACCGCAUGGAGGGGGAGUAGCCGUUCAUGGGGAACAGAGUGAUUGAACCAGUCAGCCCCCCAUCCCCGUGCCUGGUUAUCCCCAAUUUUGGGUUGGCAACGACUCCUUGGUUAUUGGGACCUAAUCCGUUGGGCUCGGGCACAUCAUUCCCCCCUUUUCUGCAUUGAGUUCGGUUUAGUUUGGGCUGAUAUCUACAAACGCCCCUGCCUGCCUGCCUGCUCACCGCUGAUGGCCUGCAGGCUGAGCGCCCGCACGGCUGUGGUCUGGCCGUCGCCCCAGAUGGUCAGGUUGGAACUGAGGGCCAGGCCGGCGGAGGGGGCGUACAGCUGGGCCUGAGGGGCAGAGGGGGGGAUUUCAAGGUUACAACAUUAGGGGGGCUACAUUCAUGAUUAGUUAAGGAAGUGGUAGACGGUAGAGCAUCUUGGGGAACAUCAAGGGGGGCCGGGGGUUCCAUGCAUGUCAAGUCAAGACGAGAUGAUGUUGGCAGGUUGUUUCAGAGGUGGGCGGGCGGGUUGGCGAUGCGCCGUUGGGGUGAAUCGGAGGUUGAAUCGGGAAGGUUGGGUUGGGAACGUCGAGCAGACCACCUCCGCCACACGCCCACGCCCACGCCCACAUGCCCCAUUCACACAUGCCGCCCGCCUCCUCAACCCCCCUGCCUGCCUGUGCUCCGCUCGUUCUCGUUGGUUUUGGGUUAGUUUGGGCUGGUAUUUACAACCCCCCCUUAAUUAAUCAUGAAUGUAACCCCCCCCCCCCCCACACACACACACACACACACACCUCCCUCCCCUCUGGCGCUGGACCUGUGGACGCAGUCGGUCAUCGGUACGCGCACCCCUGCGCCCGCUGUCUACUCCGCUACAUUUGCCUGUACCAAUCUUUACAAUCCCCACCCCCCAACCCCUUGACAGUCCCCACUCCUCACCCACACCCCCACCUGCAGUGUGUUGUCCCCCCGCAGCACCACCACGGAGGCGGCGGUGAAGGCGGUGGGGUCGAGCAGCAGGCUGGAGGCGCGGACCGAGGACAGCGGCACAGGGCCCACCUGCGGGGGGAGGAGAGAAAAGGGGAAGGAGGCGGGCGUGGAGGGCUACCGUGAUCCAAAACCCAACCCCGAUCCCCGGUGCCCCCACGCACCUCCCCAAUACCCUCCUCCCCAGCACCUGUCCCCCCCCCCAGCUCCUCCCCAAUACCCUCCUCCCCAGUAUCCUCCUCCCCAUUACCCUCCUCCCCCCCGCCCCCACCCCCGCCCCCACCCCCAAUCUCACCCCCAAUCCCACCCCCACCGCACCGUGCCGUACGGCGCCAGUGUGUCGAGCAGGUCCUGGCGAGAGGCGGCGGCGGUCAGGGGGGCCAGCGCCGCCAGCGGCGUGGCGGUUAUGCGGCAGUUGGUCCACGUCAUGCUGCCGUACAUCCACUCCCAGUACGGCACCUGCAGCGGCGGGCGGCGGCGGCGGCGGCGCAUGCGAAAAAAACAGUUGGGCGUUCAUGCCUGACUGCGCCUUCCCCUCCUGCACCCGGCACAGCGGACACGACAUCCUCCAACCCUCAAAACACACAGGCACAUACACACACACGCACACGCGUCUCCCCCACCUGGAUGCUGCCGUCCCCCGCCAGCGCCAGCCCAGGGCUGUACGACCGGAUGAGGCUGUCGACGCCCUCCAUACCGCCCGCCAGCGCGGCGCCAACCGCCGCCCGCCACCAGGCCAGCUCGCUAACCGACACAACAAACGUCACGUCGGUUGCCGUCAUGCGCAGCGGAGACUCCAGAGAUGCCAGCGGUUGCCUGGUUGGGACGAUAACGGUACGUUUGCGGGUGAGCGCACGCCGAAAACGCAAACGCUUACCACUCAAGUCCACUCCACCCACCCCACCCCGUCCACCUCCUACAAAGCCCACAAUCCAAACCCUGCAAACCCCUCCCCCUCAUUCCAUACUACGGUACCUCCGUUUAUCCACUCCUCCUUGGCUGCCCACCCCCACAGCCACCCCACCCCAUCCCCGCAACCCCACCCCUACCCACCCCACCCGCACACACAACCCCACCCCACCCCACCCCACCCCACCCCACCCGCACACACAACCCCAACCCACCCCACCCCGCACCCCCACCCCACCCCACCCCGCACCCCGACCCCAUCCCCGCACCCCCACCCCACCCCGCAUCCCGCACGCCCAGCCCACCUCUUGAAGUCCAGCAGCCACAGUGCCGCCGUCACCAGCGCCGCCGGGUACUGCGCCGCCGGCCCCAGCGCCAGGCCCGCCACCGUCAGCCGCCGCAGCUCCAGUCGGUUGGCGUCGCCGUCGCCCGCCACCUGAUGGCCGGGAGGGGAGAGGGAGGGGGGAGGGGGAUGUCCGGAAGGGGAGAGGGAAGGGGUGACACUCAUGCUUGUUUAUGAAGUGACGGCGUAGCCAGGGGGGAGGGGGGAUGUUCGGAAGUCUCGGGGGGAGAGGGAGGGGAGGCAUCCCAAACCCAACCAACCCAAGGGGGGUUCCAGUCACACCAGUCCGAAGGGCCGACGGGGCCGGGGUUACGGCGAUCAGGGGAGCCGCAGGAGUGGUGGCACGGUACGACAGUACAGCACGGCACGGUGUGUUUGGACGCGGUGCGGUAGGGUUCGAUGAUGUUCAGCAAUGUAGUGCACAAAGCAGGCAUCCCGUACACACACACACACACACACACACACACGCGCGCGCGCGCCGUACACAGAUACACACACGCGCGCGCUCCCCUCUCUCACCACCAUGAUUCCCGCCAGCUGCCGCAGGUCCACCUGCACCGCCGCGUCGGGCGGGCCUGCGCGGGGGGGGGUACAUUCAUGAUUAGUAUAGGAAGUGAAGUCGUAGGCAGGUGCAGUCGCAUAGUAGACGGGCGGGGGGAAGAGGAGGGACAGGCGGGACAGGCGGGGCAACCGGACCGGACAGGCGGUCAGGGUGAAGUGCGGAGGAGCUUGAAACAACACCGAUACCGUCUGUGACACACCCGUGCAGUCGGGCACGGACGUAUGAUGGCACAAACCCAGCAGUUCCGCCUGUGUGGCGCCGCGCGUUCCCCCCUCCUCCCCCUCCUCCUCCCCCUCCUCCUCCCCCUCCUCCUCCCCCUCCUCCUCCCCCUCCUCCCCCUCCACCCUCCUCCUCCACCCCUCCCCCUCGCCCCCCUCCUUCCCCCACUCCUCCAACCCCCUCACCCGCUAUGACGGUGCGGUUCACGGCCGACAACGUGCCGGCUCGCAUAUAGCUGGUGUCGGCACUGAUGUUGGCGCCCACCAUCGCAUACAGCGACCCAAGGGACAGCAGCGGGUUGAUGCGCGCCAGGGAGCGGGCCAGCUGCUCGCCGCUGCCCACGUAGGAGGCCACGCAGGGCAGGUACAUGGGCUGCAGGGCGGCUGCGGGCGGGGAGGGGAAGGGGAGGGGAGGGGGGGAGGAGGGGGAGGGGGGAAUGGGAGGGGGAAGGCAGGGGGGUUUAGGGAAGGGGGGCAGAACGCCAGGCGGAGGGGAGAGGGGGCGGAAAGACGGCGGGCCUGCACGGUGGGCACGGCAGGGUGAAGGCACCAGAGGUGGGGGUUCUGCAAGAACGACUCCCAAACCCCAACCUCCAACCCCUCACCUGCGUUCGACAGUGGGUCCGUGGCCGCGGUGAAGAUGGCGGGGGCGGUGCUGUUGGUAGCCUCAGGGCCGCAGCGUAGUGACACGUUGUAAACCGACAGCGACACGCCCCCACCGCCUCCCCCCGCUACCCCCGCCGCCGCCGGCACAACCAGCCGCCGCACGCGCACGCUCCACGUGAACACCUGUUGUGUUGCGCCGUGCAGGGGGUGUAGAGUGGCGUCGGAGUCAGGCCAGGUUGGGGCCUUCUAGUGAGGGACGGAUAGUCGCGGUUGCCUUGAUUGUAUUCCAUGAAUUCACAGUGUUAGCAGCAGAUGCAAGCGGUGCCUGGUAUGCGCCGUGUGCGGUGUGAUGCGUGGGUGCCAAACCCUGUCUCGGAGUCAGCGUGCUUCACCCCACCCCAUCCCACCCCAGCCCCGGCCUUUCCCGGCCUCCGCGUCCUUUCCCGGCCCUCUCCUCCCGCCAGCAGCUUGCCUCGUAGCUGAAGUCUGGCAUUUGGUCGCACACGUAGUCGCGCAGUGCGCUGACAACGCUGCAGUUCACGUUGAUGGCGAUGUUCCGCAGCACCAUCUGGGAGGGCGGGGCGACGUCGAACAUGGGCAGCUGCAGGAACGACGCCGGGUUGGAAAGGUCCAACGAUGUGUCGUUCGCCAGCACCAGUCCCAUGUUUGCGAGCUCGAGCAAUGUACCUGACGGCAAAGUGCCACAGCAACAAUUCAGAAACCAUCGUUAUACGGUCGCCUUUGCGAGCCGAUGACCCCUCGUGUGCAAUUUCGCGAUAUCGCUGCACGAAGUUCAUACUGUAGCUGUUUAACCGUGUCGAAAGCAAAAUGCGACGGAACAAAGUCAACUUGCUUGCAACGAGCAACUCACCGUUCUGCAAGCGAAUCGUGCCGUUUAUCGACGGGAGUGACAACCAAACGCCACGGCUGCCGUUGAUUGUCAACGUGCGACCAUCGACGAUGACGGGCGUGGUGUCCACCGCCAAGCUGCGAUUCAGCGACACCACGCCCUGCACCUCCGAUGAUAGCAAAGACUCAAACGACUGAGUCUGGCUGCUCGCAAGCUGCAAUACGAGCACAAGGGCAAGCAGCGCCCAAACAAAAGCCGCUCCCCUGCUGCACCGUGGCUUCAUAUCCACCUGCUCAGCUACACUACGUCACUAUGCCAAAGCCUAACAUAGUCAUAGUCGCCAACCCCAUGGUGGGAUGGGCGCACGCGUCUGGAAAGUUACAAUAGCUUUGCUGGCGGUGUGUUGAAGUUUGUAUAAUUAUAGGCGAUACCGUGUAUCAAGAGCUGGCUGGGGAUGCUUCGACCACCCCGCCGGAUGUGUGACCUGGUCAUUGCAGGAUAGGGUUGCAGGGUCCCCCGCCCUUGCAGUCUGCCUGCCCGCGUGUCAAGUGUGGCGCUGACGCCGCUUGACGCACCCAGUAUCCCACACACACUCAAUGCGUCGCAAUGUCGAGCUACUACCGCGCACCACGCGCGCGCGGGUGGGCGUGGCUUAACUGUGCGGGCGCGCACAAGCGUCGAGGGAGCCUCAGCAGCUGAGGGCAAGGCCGGGGACGCCGCGUGCCCGAAGGCCCUGGUCACAAAUGCGCAGGUUCGCUGUUACAGGAUCACAGUCGGUCAGUCGCAACAUGCCGUGUUGCCAAUUUGGCAUUGAUUGCAACGUGGCGCUAUGGCGUCAGCUGGCAUGCUUGUGAUGACACCGACACGAGGCCAAGCAGCCCACAUCUUAGCUGGAGCUUAGCUAUUGCAACGCAUGUCAUCAGCCUGUGACACUCACGCAGUCAGGGUGUCCUGCUCACAGUGACGCAAUUGCAUGGCCAACAUUACCACUCAGAUUACCACUGCCUCCUUAUCUCCUCACGCAUGUGUACACAUUUACGUGCGCCCACACGCCCACACUGGUUACCCUGCGUCCCUGUCCAAGACCGGCCGGAUGGCCUACGAUGAACGUACAAUUUCCAGCAACUGACAGUACAGCCCAGCGCGCUUCGCUUGGACUCUGGGUCUGGUUCUGGUAGCCCCCACCGUUGCAGCCAAGUGCGUGGAAGGUGCAUGCUACUGCGCACGGCACCGCCACACGAUCCCCCAUUCCUCCCCGCCCCUGCCUACUGCCAGCGCUGUCUGCUCAUCUCUACGCUCACCAAGGGUAGAUCACUGUCGGACCCGUGGGGAGCGCUUGCCCGCCGGCGCUGCCAACUUGCGCUGAGCCGCUAUGCCGCGCAUCCUCCCCGCCGCUGCUAUCACUGCCAAUUCCACUGCCGCCGCCGCUAAAGCGCCAUGAGUCAUCCAGAGACAUGCGGCGUGCAAGCCGCCGCGGACCUCGACGCGUCGCGGCGGCGUCGCCCGCCCCGCCCCGGUACCCCUGCUCAUGCUCUUGCGCCGAGCCGCUGUGCCUCUCGCUGCUGCCCUCGCUACUGCUCUUGCUGCCGCUGCAGCCGCAGCUGUCGUCACUGGCACUGUCCGCCAUGUUUGCUGCCUCUGCCGCACCUCUCCGGCGGCCCGCCUGCCCCGUUAAGCAUCCAUGGCUAUCGCCACCGCCGGUGCUACUGCCACGUGCGUCAGUGGCUCUCGACCGCCCAUCAGCGCCGCCGCCGCCACCGCCGCUGCCGAAGACACCAGGUGCGCUGCUGGCGGCUGCGCUAGAAGGAGCCCCGAUGCCGUCACGAAGGCCCAACGUCGCAUGCGCGUCCACCGUCGCCGCUGCAGCCGGCGCCAUCACCUUGACUGCGAGCUGAGAGCGGCCCUCGUCUUUGUCCGCGUCUCCACCGCAGCGUUCGCUGCUGCUGGCGCCGCCGGCACCCAGACCACGACCCCGCUUCCAGCCGCACGGCCCCCCUGCCCCUCCGCCUCCGCCUCCGCCUUCCCACUCUGCUCCUGCAGCGCCCGCUGCUGAUGAUGCUACUGCUGCCAGUGAUGUUGCUGCUGCAGCCAGCAUUGGAGGUGCGAGUAAAGAGCCGCCGCAGCUGGCGCCCCACACGCCUGAGCCGCUGUGACGCCGCGGGCGCCACGCAGGUGCCGCCGCCGUCGACGUUGCAGCAGAGGCGGCGGCAGUCUGCACCUCCGCCGCCUCCUCCGCAUCUUCCUCGUCUUCUGAGGAUGGCUCGCUGCACGCCCAAGAGCCCCCGCCAUCGCUGUCGAAUGCUGGGGCAGCAGCCACGCCCGCGGCCGCGGCUGCUUCAUCCGGGGAAGCGAGGCGCGCGGCAAACGCGGAGCCGUGGGCCCAAGAAGCACGGCUGGCCGGGGCAGUGGCUGGCGCGUGCGCUGGCUCCUUGUAAGAUUGCAGCGACCUGCGAGUUUUGGGGUGAAUUACUAGAUUAGAGGUGGCAGCAAGUGCGGUUGGAGUUCAAACGAGCGGGCACGGUCAACCACAGGUGCCAACUGCAGGCGCCAACUGACGUGCACGCAACACCUGCAAACCCCUGCAUACUCGGCUUGGUGAGGAGUUGUCACGCCCGCGAUAGAUCACAGUAGCACACAGCAGCCCAAUGCGACGCGACGCCGCGACCCACAUGGCUUCCCGCGUCCAGGCGGCCACCUCCUCCGGGUGCUCACUUCGCACGCCGUAGCCCGCAGUGAGCAUGCCGCCCACGCGCUCCACCGCGUCGGCGUCGCCUUGCAGCGCUGCCUACAAACCCGCAAUAUGCAAAGUUUCAGAAUUCGUCCUGGCAAGUUUGCGUGCUGGAAAGGAGCGCCCACCUUCAAGUCUUCCAGAAGCCAUCUCGCCUCACACCGUGCCACGAUGCGCCCAAGCGGAGUUCCACGUCUGAAGAAUAUGUCAGGAGUUACAUCGAACGCACUUCAAUGCUGCAACAAACGACCAGGGCCCGGCCCUUCGCAGCUUGCGCAAUCCUUACUUGUCCGCUGCCGCUGUGGCCUGUUCUCGAAGUGUCUUACGACGAGCUCUUAUACGUAGCGGCUUUCCUAGCAGCCCAAGCAGCCCAUAGGCCGCCAUGCCCGUCGCUGCGACCAACACGAUUAGCGCGUGCUGCGCGAAAGGGCGCCUUGCUUGCUCCAUUCUACGCAGUUAAAACAUGCCAGGUAAUUCUUCGUGUGUUUCAGCUUUGGGGAGGGUUUGGCCUGGGCGACGGGUGGCCGAAUUGGGCACGAUCACCCUCGCUUGAGGGCUUCCCCAGCCCGUUUAAACAUCGCCCCUUUGCACAGUGGAGCAACGAACCUUCAUUUAAAAAACUGCCCCUGUCCCCCUCAAGCUUGUGUGAAAUGCAGCUUGCGCCGUCCUGGCUGUCCCGCGGGGCGCCCCGCGGUACCGGCGGCAGUCGCGCGGGCCUGCUGGCGCCCCGGCACCGCCUGCCUCUCCUGCCAGGCAGCCUGCGCCUCACCACAGCGCUAACCAGAGGCUUCAGAGAGGUAAGCGAGCGUCGGGACUUCGCCUGGAGCGCGCUUAAAAGCGGAGAACGGCUUGCGCGGUGGCGUUGCGCCUCUGUUCGAGGGACGAGUUUUGCUACCUCAUCCUCCUGCUAUCAGCCCAGGCCUUGUUUGCAAUGACCUUGCGGUAACGGGUGUUUUCCUGCUGCCUCCACAGAAUCGCGACGCAGGGCCAGGCGGGGGCGCUCAGCGCGAAGGCGGUGGCUCUGACGCAAGCACACCGGCGCCGCGGCAGCAGCAACAACAGCGGCAGAAGCAGCCACCACCGGCGCAGCAACACAGCCAGCAGCCGCCGCAGCAACAUUCUGCUGAUGUGCCCGAGCCGGCCGCAGCCGACGACAUCGUCACCGACUGCUUGCCAGCGCCGCCGUCCCAGCUUCCGCGAGAGCCGCAGCAGCCGCCGCAGCCACAGCCACAGGCGCAGCCGCAGGCGCAGCCACAGGCGCAGCAAAGGCGCAGCAAGCGGCGGGACAAGCGGGGUAAGGAGGCCAAGCUGCCGCGUGGGUCGGGCCCAGGCACCGUCCGCACCGGAGGCAGCAGCAGCGGCAGCGGCGGCAGCAACAGCGGGCCCGAAGGGCUGGAAGAAGAAGCUGCGGCGGCGGGCCAGCAGGGUUUGGAUGUGGGGGCUGGUGACGCACGAACGGCAGAGGCGGAGGGCGGAGGGCCAGAGGCGAUUGUGGCGUCGGCCGCCAUACCAGCGCCCCUGGGUGCGGUGGAGGCUGGCACCGAUGCUGAUGGCAGCAGCAGCGGCAGUAGCGGCAGCAGUAGCGGCAGUAGCGGCUUCCUCCAGGGCGCGGGUCCAGCUACUGCCGCCGCCGCCUCCGCUGCGGCUGCGGCGGCUGCGGCGCUGCGAGGGGCUCGGGAUGCGCCUGUUGCCAUUGCCGGUGUGGUGGUGCCGGCGGGUGUGCGCCAGCAGGUGCAGGAGCACGUGGAGGGGCUGCGGCAGGAGGGGCAGUGGCAGGAGGCGGAGCAGCAGCAGGGGGAGCAGCAGGAGGGGAAGCUGCAUGAGGAGGGGGAGCUGGAGCGGCUGCAGCAGGAGCAAGGGGGAGUCCAGCAAGCGCAGCAGCAACCAGAAGAGCUGCAGGCGCAGGCGGGCAGCAUGGGCGAGUCAAGGGCGGACGGGGCGGGGGAGGCAGAGCAGGUGGAGGCGGAGGAGGCGGAGGAGGCGGAGGAGGAGGCCGAGGUGGGGCGGGCGCAGUCGCAGAAGCCGCAGCCUGACAUUCCGCAGCUGAUCCAGCGGGACCAGCGGGAGCAGCGGGGCCAGCAGGAGGAAGAGGUGGAGCAGCAGGCGGCGGCAGCCGCAGGGGUGCGGCCCGCCGCCUCCCAGCCCACAGCCACAGCCACGGCGGCGGCGGCGUCAGGACUGAACGAGGUUGGCGACGUGGCCAAGCCGCUGGGUGGGCAGGGGCCACGCGGACCUGUGGCGGCACAAGCCGCCGCAGCCGCCGACGUGCAGCCGGGUGUGCAGCAGGAGCAACAGGAGGAGCAGGAACAGGAGGAGCAGGAGAGGAAGGAGCAGCAGGAGCAGGAGCAGGAGCAGGAGGAGGAGGCGAGGGAGGAGCAGGCGAGGGAGGGGCAGGCGCGGGCGCAGGCGAGGGAGGAGCAGGAGCAGGAGGAGCAGGCGAGCGAGGAGCUGGAGGCCUGGGCUGGGGCUGAGGCGACAGCGCCGCCGCACGAGCCCUAUGACCUGCUGCUCGGCAACAGCCCCGGGGCUGAGUCCGCCGCCGCCGCUGAGCCCAGUGUUGGGGUGGGAAGCCCCGGCACCACCAGUAGCAGCGGCAGUAGCAGUGGCAGCAGCAGUGGCAGUGGCAUCAGUGGCAGUAGCAGCUACAGCGGAGCUCACACCGGACUUGCUGAGGCGGUCCGACACGCCGCAGCCUCCAGCGCCUCCUCCGCCCCCGGCCCCGCUCCCGCCUCCCACUCACCCUCCGCCCAGCACGCCGACAGCCACGGCAGUGGCGAUGAUCAUGCCAGUCACGGAAGCAGCAGUGGAAUUAGCAGUGGCGGCGGUGGCGGCGGCGCCCAGGAGGCUGCCGCACGGCCGGCCUACGACCAGCUGCUGCCGAACACACCUUCCUCACCCGCCGGCAGUGGCUACCCACCCGAGCAGCAGCAAGGGCAGCAGUCACGAGGCCAGUCACACGCUCGGGUGCAGUCGGAGCAGCCGGAGCAGGCGCAGCAGCAGGAGCCGCAGGAGACGCAGGAGACGCAGGAGGAGCAGCAGGAGGAGCAGGGGCAGGCGCAAGAGCAGGCUCUGCCGCGGGCCCCUGCAGCCCAGGUGGGACCGCAGCAACAGCCGCCUCCGUCAGCGCCGCCGCAGCAGCAGGGGCAGCAGCAGGGGCAGCAGCAGCAGCAGCAGCAGCAGCAGCCUGAGGACUCGCCCGCCGCAGUGCAGCAGAGGGUGCCAGCGGAGGCCGAGGCGCCGCUGCAGCCGCAGCAGGUGCCGAUGCCGGCGCCCAGCGCUGCAGUGGCAGCGGGCGAGCAGCGGCACUGGCAGCAGGUGGAGGGGGAGGUGGAGGGGAAACGGGCUGGGAACGAGGCCCAGACCGAGGCAUCAGGGGUCCAGGCGGCGGGGGCCCAAAGGGCCCCGGACGUGCUUGCGGGUGCGGAGCAGCCUGAGGCUGUGUUGUCUCAGGUGGCAGCGCUGCCCCCUACUGGCGAGGUGGGUGAGGCGCCGGCACUGGUGGCGGUGGUGGUGCCGGCGGAGGUGCGGGAGGCGGCGCAGCAGCGGGCGGAGGCCGUGGCGGGGGCGGGAGUGGAAGUGGCGGAGCAGCCGCAGCUGCCACAACCUCAGGGGCAGGUCCCGGAGGGAACACUCCCCAGCGGUGCACAGCAGCAGCCGCUGGCGGGCGCGCCAGGCGCUGAGCAAGAGCGACAUCAGGCGCAGCAGCAGCCUCAGGCGCAACAGCAGCAGCCACAAGCGCAGGCGCAGCAGCAGGCUCAGGCGCAGCAGCAGCAGCCACAAGCGCAGCCUCAGGCGCAGCAGCCACAGGCGCAGCAGGAGGUCGGCGGGGACAGAGCCGGCCGCCAGUCGCAAGUGACCCUGCAGGGUGAGGAGCAGGAGCAGGCGCAGGCGCAGGGGCGGCUGCCGGAGCAGGGGCGGCCGCAGGAGCAGCAGCAGGGGCGGCUUCCGGCGCAGGAGCAGGCGCAGGAGCAGGGGCGGCCGCAGGAGCAGCCACACGAGCAGCCACACGAGCAGCAGGCGGCUGCGCUGCAGGGCACUGGGCGUCAAUCCCGGGCCACGCAACCUCAGGUGCCGGGUACAGGGGCAAGGGUCGAGGCGGUCAAGGAGAGUCUGGAGAAGGUGGAUGAGGGCGCGUCUCGCCGGCAGCAGCACCUGCAGCAGGAGCAGCUGCAACAGGAAAUCCCGCGGGAGCAGCUACAACAACAACAGCACCAGCACCAGCACCAGCACCAGCACCAGCAGCAGCCUCAGGCUGAGGAGCAGCAUGGGUCGGUGCUUCUGGCGCCGUUGCGCUUUGCGGGCUGGCUGGUGUCGGCUGUGCUGUGGGGGUUGGGCUGGGUGGUGGCGGGGCUGGGCAAGGCCACCUGGUGGACGGCCGCCUCCUCCGUCCGGGCCGUGCUGGCGGUGCCGCGAGCGGUGCUGGCGGCGGCGGCAGCGCUGGUGCGAGGGCUGGGCGAGGCUGCAGGUGCGUCGUGGGCUUGGUGGGAGGGCGGCGUGUGGGUUUGGCACGCGGCAGGACUGCGAUGGGCAGUCCCAGGUAUGUGCGUUACGUCACGGUGUAUCGCUUCAAAGCUAUUACAUUUAUGGGUUUCUCUUAGGCCUGGGCUAGGCUGCGGGUACAGUGUGUGGCCUUAGAGGCUUCGUUGUGCGGAUGGGCGUGCCGGGCCACGUGUGCGUCUUGGCAUGCGUGACGCUGCCUGGAGCAACACACGUGAACACCGCGCCCAAACCUCAUGCUCACGCCCGAUGCUGCACGCACAGGCCGGGCGGUCCUACCCCACCACGAGGCGGGACCCCUGGACCGGACCACCACCGCCGUACAGCCCGUCGGCGGCGGCGCGCUGCCGUCGGGCGCCGCCGCCACCGGCGGCCACGGCUCCGCCCUAGCCGCCGCCGCCGGCGCCACGCCCACCCUGCCCGCCGCCGCCGGCCCGCUGGGUAUGGGGUACGGCGGCCUGGCGGCGGCAGGGAUGCCGUACGGCGCCGCCGGCAUGGGCACGAUGCCGUACGGCAUGUACAACAACAUAACGCCGUACUCGGCGGGCGGCCUAGGAAUGUACGGGGGCCUGGGCGGCGGGGCGGCUGCCGCCGCAGCCGCCGCCACCCCAGGCGCCAUUGGUGCGGCGCCGGUGAACGUGCCAGCCUCGCCGUACGGCGCAGCCGGUACGACACUUGGCGGCGUACCGCCAGGUGGCGUGGCCGGCGGCAAUUACGGCGGCGGCGGGUACGGCGGCGCUGGCGGCGGAGUGGGCCUGGGAGGCGGCGGCGGCGGCGGACAUGCGGCGCCGCCGGUGGCGGGCGGUGCGAAUGCGGUGGAGGUGCCUGAUGCCAUGACGGCGGCGGCUCCGGACGGCAGCGGCGCUCCGGGUAGGAUGGUGGCGCAGCAUGAUGCCAGAACCGGGUGCAGAGGACAUACGGUACACACACGUACACACCCAGACCCUUCCUUUGCGCUAUUCUUACAAACACCAAAACACGCAUGCGCGGCUUGCUUGCGCAUCAACAUACACCAUGCCAAGUUUGCUAACCUUCUCCCCUUGUGCUUUUCCUGACAUGACACACGCUUCGUCUUCCCUGGCACGCACGCGCUCCCCGUGCCGCAGGUGUGAUCGCCACGGCCUACGACGCGAUGGUGCUGGGCUGGGGCCAGACACACCACCCGGGGCUGGGCGGCGCGGGCCAGAUGGUGCGGGACCAGGUGGGUGGGCAGGGAGGGGGGGUAGGGGGGCAGGUGUGUGUGUGUGUGGGGGGGGGGGGUUGGGCGGCGCGGGCCAGAUGGUGCGGGACCAGGUGGGUGGCCAGGGAGGGGGGGGGCAGGGAGGGGGGGGCAGCGGGGCGUGUGUGUGUGUGUGUGUGUGUGUGUGUGUGUGUGUGUGUGUGUGUGUGUGUGUGUGUGUGUGUGUGUGUGUGUGUGUGUGUGUGUGUGUGUGUGUGUGUGUGUGUGUGUGUGUGUGUGUGUGUGUGUGUGCGUGUGUGUGUGGGCUGGGCGGCGCGGGCCAGAUGGUGCGGGACCAGGUGAGUGGCCAGGGGGGCGUGUGCGUGUGCAGGGGACGUGUGGACAGGGGGGCGCGUGGGCAGGGGGCAGGGUGGGCAAGGUGGCGGGUGGGCAGGGACGUGUGGGCGUGGGCGAUGGAACUGCGAUGGCUAGGUGCCAGCACUAUGCAGGGUGCUGGUGGGGCAUGUGGGUUUACCGCCGGGGCCUGGGGAGGUUGCCCUCGAUCGCUCAUCACUGGUGGGGUGGCGGCUUGCUGGGGGUUGCUUACUAGGGCACAAUACCGCGGCACGCUGUUGCUGCACUACCCAGCUGCUACUUGUCAUUUAUGUUCACCCUCCGCCUAGGCAUGUUUCCAGGUGCCUGCCCGCUUCAUUCCUGGUAUGCUUAGAUCAAUAAUAACUGCUUUCCGACGCCCGACGCCUGACCUGCCUCCGCCCCCCACAGGAGAUCCUGGCUGACGGCUGGGGCGAGGAGGUGGCGGAGGCGGUGGAGGCGGUGGGCGGUGCGGCGCUGGGAGCAGGAGGCACAGCGCCCAUGGGCUCGGCCAUGGGCAUGGGCGGGUGAGCAGCCGGGCUACUCUAGUUUACUUGGGAGUUUGGGACGCACCCUUACUCGGAACGCCACGCAGGGUGACGCAAGCGGCAGGCCGAAGAUAGACCAGGCGACGAAACAGUGGCGUUUGCUCUGGUGCACAAACGCUUGUGUGGCGUGUGACGUGUGAUGUAUAAUGCUGCGUACUGCAACCGCGCACAACGCCAGGAACGGUUGCGUGAACGAUGUGCAUGCAGGCCGUACGGCGGCGGCGGCGCGGGGGGUCUGUACGGCAACUCGUACGGCAUGGUGACGCCCAUAACCACCAGCCCCAGCGCGGGUACGGUGCUGGGGGCGGCGGUGGGCGCGCUGGUGGGCGGCGCGGCCUCGGGUACGUGCCAGGUUCACGUGUGCGUGUGUGCUUCAUCAUGUGCCGGAUACCCCUGCGUGUGUGCUUCAUCGUGUGCCAGAUGCGUGCGUGUGCUUCGUCAUGUCGCGAGAUGCAUGACGAGAUGGGCUGCUGGCGUCGUCGGUGCAUGCGUGAUAGGGUACUGCGUCAGCCUCAACCAGUCAGCUGCGUGCUACGGCACCAGGGCAGCGACAGUGGCGCCUCACGCGGGCCCACCGUGCCCUUCCUGUGCGUGCGGCUGCACAGGUCCCUUCGGCGGCCCCCUGGGGGCGGCCCUGGGCGCGGCGGUGGGCGCGGCGGCGGGCGGCCAGGUCACAGGGGACGUGUCUGUGCGGCCCAUGCAGGUGCGCGUGUGUGCGGGCGUGUGUGGCGUUUGUGCGUGCACGUGUGCGUGUGGGCUUGCGCCUGUGUGACUGGGCUUCUAUGACUAAGCAUGCGUGUGUGCGUGCGUGUGCAUGUGCGUGGGCGUGGGCAUGGCGUGCGUGUGCGUGUUCACGUGCAGAUUUGGAGGCGGCAAAGGCACCUCUGUGGGGAGGGACGAGAUCGCGUGUUUCGCAUUACCGCGUUUGCAAAAGCGGGCGCCCAAAGCUUCUCCAGCAGACAUGCACGCACGUGCACCAAUCAGUCACAUGCGGUCUUGCGGCCAUGUGGCAUGCCUGCAUGCAGGUGUUCACGGGCCCAGGCGGGGAGGGCGUCGCCAUUGCGCCGCAGCCGCAGGUGUGUGGUGAAAACUGGGGCUCGGGCCGUGAGGGGGGUGGCGAGGGCGGGGUGGUUGCCCCCUCUCCCAUCACUCAUCAGGCCUUCAAUGGGCACCGCACGGUGCCGUCAUGAUCUGAUGGUCGAUUGGCCGGUGCCGUACUGCCGCUACACCACACGGCAGCACGCCGGGGCGCAAUUGAUGAUCUCCGCUGGUGUAUGUGAAGCGGUGUGAGCUCAAUAUACUUGCACAGCCCUUCUCCCGUUAGCUGAGUACCCUAAAGCCGAAUGCCGCCGCCAAGGCGCCAAGGGCGCAACUGCCACUCGUGCAUAACCACCAAUCAACUUACCCGUUCUUCACAGGUGGUGGUUGCCAACGACUCGCUCAACCUCCUGGGUGCCGUGGUCGGCGGUCUGGUCGGCAGCACGUCUGGUCUGGGCCCACGGGCCGUACUGGCGGGCGCCGCCGUCGGCGCCGCACUGGCCAUGCUGAUGGCAGUCACGGGCCGGCGGUACACGUACGUCAGCCGGUACGGCGCGCGUACGGCAGGCGACGCACGGCGGGCGGCGCGGCUGUUCGGCUGGCUGCCUGGCGGCGGGCUGCGGCUUCCUGGCGCGGGACUGCUGCCGCCGUUCCGGUUCUAGACUUCUAGUACGGUGUGCGAUGGGACAGUGUUUAGGCAGGUUGGCGGGGGCCUGUAGGGUGCAGCUGACGCCCAGAACCCAGCAGAUGGCAAACAAUUUGCAACGGCAGGGCAUUAAUGCGCGCCUGCGCGGCUGCGCGGCUGGUCGAACAGUCGAGUUAGUUGCUGGCUGGCUGGAGGUUUGCUGAUGCGCAUUCCUCACGCUCCGGGCGCCCGUCGGUAGUUGUACGGUACAUGGUCCUCCGUGCGGUGGUGUAGACAGUCAGAGAGAGAAGUGUUCGAGCGGACGCAACUGUGUUGUGAAGUUGAGCAGUGGUCUGGACUGCGGACUGACUGUCUGACUCUGGAGGAGUGGAGGGGCAGAGAAAAGGUGCCCCGACGCUUCCAGGCUCCAGGUCAGAGCGGCUCUUCUGCUGGAGUAUCGGAAGUUAGCAGUGGUCUGGAGCAGCAGGAGGUUGGAGAGUACCGUAGCGGCGGCGCAUUUGGCUGCCUUGUAGCGCAAGGAUGUUUCCGAGCAUGCGUGCAUUUGCCUGUGUGUUGGGCCCAACUCCGCACGCCGUUGAUUGACGCAGUUCGCACUCCUAUGUUUAGUGCUGGGGGAUUCAGGGCAGCCUGGUGCGGACGUGCAGCGGUGCGCGGCUAGGCGAUUGCUCGACAUUGACAGGUGUUUUAAACUGCAUCCGCACGAAGAGGCGGACAAGGGCGAGAGACAUGGGCGGAUAAUGCAAGGCGAGUUUACACGCUUACCCCCCUGCCAACAAUACCCAACAGCAACCAUUACCAUACUACCGUACUGUAUCAAGUGUACCGUUAUUUCUGUUCGCUGCCUCCUCCACCAGCCUUCUGUUUUGGCUUCAACGCCAGCUACCACCAGCAAUCCUACCACCAGCAUUUCUCAGUCUCAUGCCAAACACGGGUUUGCGGAGCCCCGCCCGCCUUGGCCUCAGUUCAUCAUCAGCACUCAUGGGUCAGCACUGCGUUCGUGUUCUGUUCGUUGCGCCUUAGCUAUGCGCACUCCCGGCCGGCUACAUACGUAUCAGGCAACGGCCGGGCGUUUGUGCUGAGAGUGCGCAGCUAGGUUGCUGCACCCAUAGCAGCCCGGCAGCCCCGUACAUCAGUGAAUAUCAACAUGACAAACAUAUCACCUCCGAAACCGGCUCUAUCUUAAUUCCACCGCAGCCGCGGCUCCGAACUGUGCCGGCAAAGGCAACACCGCUGCAGCGGCAAGCAGGUGGUCGGUAGUAUCAAUCCACUCUCGCGCACCCAAGGCCCAUGGCUCAAGCGACCCACCUGACCAGCCCGUUCGUUGGGCGUUCCCGUCGCGACAAUGCGCAGAGUCACGUGCGUCAGAAAGCAAGUAGGUACGGCCGUCCACACGUGAGAAGUUAUUGGACAGCUUGCAUAGCCACUCGAACCUCGAACCCUUCCACCCUCGCCUCCGUUCUCUCUGCAUGAUCCGAUAGGCCCCGCGCCAGCCCCGCCCAGGCGUCACACCCGGAAUCUGAAAUCGUCACGCCAUGUAGCCGCGUGCAACCACACUGCACCACUACACCUCUUAACACACGCGCUCCCCCUUUUCCCCUGACUUCCUCAUCAGUCUAGUACUACCGCUACCAGGGAGCAAGGAUGAAUCCAACAUCGUGAUACUACCUCGGCAUCAAUCCCAUCCACCGUGCAACCUUGCUCUAUGCUGCUGCAGACUCCUUGCACACCCGGCAUCUCCCUUGCAUGCUGACGCAUUGCAUCUACUACCUACACCAGCUUCCGCACCGCCCCAAUGCACACUGCGAAUGCCCAGGAGCGCGGCACCAAUGGCCGUGCAGCCUUCGCCUGCGCGCACACGUUGCCGCAGCCAAACAUGUGCGUCCCCGUUGCCGUACCCGCAUUAUCGCAUGCCAUGCCAUUUUUUUGAGGACACACAAUACCUCGCUCAAAUGGCUGAUCCACCCCCUCCUCUGAACCUUGAGCAUAUUGUACUAGUGUGAGUGCACAGCAUGAAACCCGCGCCAUUUUAGCCCCGUAUACCUACUACGUAUGCCGCCAGCCUCGCGUCUGUAUCUCAGGAUGUUGAUACGAGCGUGCGGGCGCACCGCUUUUCGCGGUGCUUGCCUGCACUGGUAAAUAUAUGGAGCCCGGUACCUCUACCUGCUACAACCGCGUGCGAAACUACGCACAUGCAAACAAAACCAUCAUAUAGGCAAAUAGCUCCAAAAGUGCCCGUGGAGUUGCUAGUCCUGCAACUGCAGCUCGUCGCAGCUGCAGCUCUCCGUAACCAGGUGCCCCACGAUUCUUAACGGCUGCGGCAAUCCGCCGCAUAAAAAAGUAUUGUGCCCGCCAUUCUCAGCCAUUGCCGCUUGGCUCUCGCAGAACCAGCGCGACUUGGCCUUACAGCACCAGCACUUUGCGCUUCUUCAGCGGCACGCCGCUCUCCUCGCUGGACACGGGAGAGCCCGACGCGGCCUUGCGCGCCAUCUCCACCUGCGAGCCGGAGGGAGGAGUGGGGAGGGGGGGGACACGGCAAACACCGGAGUCAGGACGGCGCCCACGGUACACUGCAUGACCGCACGACGAGCCCCGCAUUGCAGCCUCAAGGGACGCCUUAGCCCAAUCGCGCUGGCCCCCACGCCACCGCGCGUGACGCUGGCCCUAACAAUGCGACCUACUGGCCACCGCGCACGCGCCCACGUCCCUCGCUACGCGGCGUCACACGCGCGGCCACGCUGUCUCAUUCCAUGCGGUGCCGUGCCCUGCCAAGCUAAACCCCCACAGUCGCUAACCCGCGGCAUCCAUGCGCAGCGCAAGACCCAACGUUCACCUGGAGCAGCGUGUUCGAGUCCGCGGGCAGCUGCACGGUGGUCAGCUGGAGAGACGUGCUGGGCGUGGCGGCGGAGGCCGCGGCUGCACCCAGCAGGCUGCGCGCGGGUAGCGACAGCUCGGGCUUGCCGCUGAAGGCGUAGGCGUCCUCGUUGAAGUGCAGGAACGCCUUGUUGUUGGUGGGGUGGAACGUGGAUCCCGGGCGGGAACCGCCGCCGCCACCCGCGGCCGCGACCACCGCGGCGGCCGCCGCGUGCUGGUUGUGGUGCUGCUGCAGCGACUGCAUCAUUUGCAUGGCCUGCAGUUCGUUCAGCUGCGACGCGGUGACGUGGUGCGAGCCCAGGCUGAGGCCGGAGUGCUGCGACUGCGACUGCGAGUGGGACUGGCUGCCGGCGCCGUGCGACGCCGCGGCGGCGGCCGCGGCGGCCGCCUGCAGGUUGCCGGCGAACUGGGUCAGGCUGAUGCCGCUGGUGCCGUGGCCCAGGCCGCUGCCGCCCAGUGACAGGCCGGCGCCUGAGAGGGACAGGCCGCCCGACUGGGGGAAACCCAGCAGGCUCUGCUGCGCCGCCGAGAGCAGCCCCGCGCCGGCGCCGCCACUGGGCAGCGUCAGCUGUGACGGCAGGCCCUGCGAGCCGCCCGCCUGCCCGCCCGACUGCAUGAGCGAGAGCUGCUGGGAGGCCUGCUGCGCGGUCAUGGUAGGGGGCGGCGUGGUGGAGGGGCUGGCUAGGGAGCCCGCGCCCGCCCCGCCGGCGCCCGGCUGCCCCGAUGGCAGCGAGCCCGCGGGCCCGCCCUGCGACGAUGUCGCUGCGCCAACCAUGCGCGGGCUGGCGUUGGUGUUGUCCGCGCUGGUGGAGCCUCCGGCCAGCACCGACGGCAUGCCGGUGGGCAGCGCCAGCGACUUGGGCACCGGCUUGCCCGUCAGGGCCUCCACCUGCGACUCUAGAUCCAGUGUGCGCGCCUUCAGCGCCUCGAUGUACUUGAUGACCUCCUCCAGAAAGCACGCCGUGUUGGCGCGCUCCGCAUGCGGCACCAGCUUGCGCAGGAGCUCCAGCCUGCACAUAGUGCGAAAACCCAGCAUAACCGUGUCAAUCUGACGUCAACAAAGGCUUGCAUGUCAAAAACGCGAGCACUUGGGCUGUGUGCGCUGGCGCAGGACUCGCUGACUACGCGUAUACUUUACGAGACCUGACUGUGAAGUGUUCCGGUGCCGGCAGAGUCAAUAGGCAAUGCCUAGCGCAGUUGAAACAUGCUUGCGGACCGCUUGGAGCCCACAACGCAGCUUACCUCUCAUUGAUUCGAGUUCGGCGGCGUUGCUCAGCCGCUUGGUGCCUGCUCGCGUAGGCACUUGAGCUCCGGCUGUCAGAAGACUUCGUUUUGCCCACAUUACGCAGGCCGCCGAGCUGUAGGUCGCGGUCUCCCGACCCGUACUGCUGGGGGAAGAGCGCGGCCGGGAAUCCGCUGAGCAGAGCGAGCUGGUCAGGCAGCCCAAGCUGCGAAGACUGCUGCAUAGGAGCUUGCUGAGAAGUUUGCUGCAGCGACGAGGUCGGCAGGCUGCCCAGGCUUAAGUUAAGACUCUGACCGGACAGGGCCCCGCUUCCGAGCCCGCUCGUCUGCAGGUUAAACUGGCCCUGGCCAUUUAGCAACGCGGCUACGCGAGCUGCCUCUAACAUGUCCGGUUGUGUCCGCCCCGCUAAUCCCAGCAGACCGAGCUGCUGCUGUUGCCGUCCGGUCAGCGAUGUUGGCUGCAUUUUGGUGCUUUGGUCCUUGAAAGGUUCUAUAUGGUCAUACGGAGCAAAGUAAGACGGGUGUGGAAAAGAUACAACAGGAAACGGGCGUGUGCUGGCGUGAUGCAUGAGGCCCGGAUUGGGGCAUGCGUCACGACAGGCGCUCACAAGAGGCCCCGUUCGUUUCCAACUGCUGAUAAUAGUCCACGUCAUUUUACGUGGGAUGGUGCCCAGGAACUCCCGAAAUUCCUAGGUGAGGAAGCUGGCUUUGGAGGUGCGAGCUUUUUCCUGCAUGCCCUCGACGCUUCGGCCUGCUUGGCGGUUGGGGAUGAGUACAAUAUUGGAGCGUAAUUUGGGUGCAAUGGGCUUGGAAUGCGUUGGGGAUGACGGGGUCAGAACAUAAACGCAGCAGCAGUUGGGCGGAGCUGACGCUCCGGCCUAGGACAGGCCGGAUGGCCUAGCAAUUAAUGUCUUAGCACAUACUUGUGCUUAAUACAUGCUGCAGCACCCCGAAAGCGAAGCAUUGCACAGGGGAUUCUGCCGACCGCUGCCGUAUCCCAUCCGUACCCGCAACCUUUCGAGUGGGCAAAAUGCGCAAAUUAUGGGAUGAUCCAGAGGCGGUUAUUAGGCUGAGAUGGGAUGCGGGAAAAUUGCGCGGCCGAAGGCCGCGCUAAUUCGCGAAGUUCAGUGGAGUACACGGCGAGCGUGUGUAUCUUUUCCCUCGCCUCGCUGACCUCCCAUCCCACGCUCGCGGAAUUAGUGAGGCGCACCAUCAGGGCAGGUGCUUUAUCGCCACUGAGGCAAUGCAUAAACAUUCUUAAUUUUUAUGCAUCGUGCAGGCAGCGGAGGGGGUGGGCCCCAGUGAGGCGGUGCUGAACUUGCUGCCUUGUCCCCCACCACCAGCAGCCACGUUGCAGUGCAGCAGGACACGUUUUCGUGCUGCCUAGCGCCAUCACACUGGCCCUCUGAGCCUAUACAUAUGCACCCAAGCCGAGACGUGCAUGGUGCCCACGCCAAAUACUUGCUAGCGUGGCAUGCUGGCCCCUCAUUUCCGCUGGCCUGCCAACGGCUCCUCCCACGGGUUCUGACCCCCACGGAUCACACCAGUAACCCGUUCCUCACAGCAAAAAUCCACGCGUACGCUAUCUUAAUUUUGCAAAAUUUUCCCGGGGGCUACGCCCCCGGAACCCCACAGAAAUAUUGCUUGAAAGCAUCAGCUGCUUUGAGCGAUAAAGUAGGGGCGCGCAGCGGGGCGAUGGUAUGAAUUGUAGAGCGCUUUUCGUUGCAGCGGGGGGCGGAAGGAGUGAAGCACAGCCGGCGAAGAACGGGAGCUCGCGAAUUUGCGCUGUCGCGCUGCACGCGACCUUUUGACCCUCUAACAAUGGCCAUAGUUGUUUCUUUGAUACUUAUAUAACAUAUGGCAUCGUGCUUAGGAGUAACAGCACACUAGAAGGAAACUUGGGCACUCAUACUGUCCAAACUGGGGCCCUUGACCGGUUUGAAGAACGCUUCUACUAGAAACACACUUGAGAAUAACGUCUGCACUCAGCGAAGGAGGCUAGGAGCGCCAACAAAGUUGCGCGCUAAUUCCCGAAUUCGCGCGAAUUCCCAUAGGUGCCCAUGUGCCAUGCCGUUUCCUGACCAGGGCAAAUUGCGGGAAUUAUGGGGUGAUCCAGAGGCCGUUAUUAUGCUGAAAUGGGGUUGGGGGAACUUGCGCGGCCGAAGGCCGCGCAAAUUGCGCAGAAGUUAGGCGCGUACCCAGCAAGUACGAGUACCCACCUUGCUGCCCCUGUCGCCCCACGCCCAGCUUGGGUCAAUUAUGCAGUGGAUAGGAGCGGUGGCCCACGAUACAGCAGCCACUGCAGCUCAUACUUUGAUUUAAUAUUUACGCAGUGCGUAGACAGGGGGCAGGGGAGCGAGGGCGAGGGCAAGGGGUCCAGCGGCGUGGUGUGGCGGCGACCAGCAGCCACCUUUACCACGCUGCAGGAGAUGUAUCUGUCCGGCCCAACACUUCUCUCCUUGCCCGGUAGGGCCACACAUGAGUGUCCGAGGCAGAGGAGGUGUAGCGCCCACGCCCAGCAAGUAGAAGCAUGGCAGGCCGGGCUACCUGACCGCGUGUCUUGCCCACGGCUGCCCCCAGCAGUUUGUGACCCCGGCGGAGCACGCCGUGCCCUCCUUACCAACGUCAAAAAUCAAGUGUUUUGUGCCAGGGAUUUCCAAAAUUUUUCCCGGGGGCUACGCCCCCGGAACCCCCCAUAGUUAAUGGAAAACAACACAGCAGUAUUAACAUCAGUGUUCGUGCCGCGAGCACUUGAAAACGAUACCACAUUGGCAAUAAGUCAAUAGUGUGCUGCCGAUCCAUAGAGCGAAGCCUUGUCGGCGAAGAACGCAACUUGGCAAAUUUGCGCAGCCGCGCAUUCCACGGCUUUCAGCCCCAGAUACCGCCUACUACCAUUUCUAUAAUGACUCCUAAGUUUGCUGCGACCUUGCUUGGGGUCAUUAGAGCGCUACAAAGGGAUUUGACGGUCGUGCUGACCGAACUUGCGCCGCGGACAGGCUCUAACACUGACAACAAGUAAAGAAGCGUCCGGUCGCAUAAAUGUAAUUAUGCUGGGCGUGCAAGACAGCCUAACAAAGUUGCGCACUAAUUCCCGAAUUAGCGCAAAUUGCCCUAGUCGCGAAUUCACCCAUGCCAUGGCCCCUACCCCUCCCGUUUGCUGGGGCCGCUGGGGUUCGCCAGGCAGUCACGGGGUGCCAACGUGCCAACCUUUCGCCUUUUUGGGGGGCCCUUGCUUUGCCCCGGAGGGGUGCCCUUUGGUGUGCGAUGGGACAGCGGAAAGGCAGGUUGGUAAAGUCCCGUAGGGUGCAGCUGAUUCCCAGAACUUAACAGAUGGCACACAACUGGCAAAGGCAGGGCAGGAGUGCGCGGCUGGUCAAACGCCGGAGUUACUGUACCCAUGAGUUGCUGGCUAGCUGGAAGUUUGCUGACGCGCAUUCCUCACGCUCCGGGCGCCUGGCCAGGCGAUAGCACCACACAGACACACCGCAACGCCACACUGCAGGACUUCGCGAGGCAGAGCCGCAUCGCACCUGCAGGAAGGCGACCAGCGUCCACGGAUGAGCACUAGAGGCAACAGCAGGGAAAUGCAAUCGGAAUGCAGCAAUCCAGCAAAGCAAUGGCCGGAGGGGUGCCCUUGGGUUUUGGUGGCUUGUGCGGUUGUCCCUGGUGUUCUCCCCUGGUUCUGCCUGCUCGCUUUGCAGGUUAUGUGCCGUUGUGGUGCUGCGCCUUCCCCUUUCUUCUCCUUUGUAACCAUUUGUACCCCACUAACACACCUGCCCCCACCCGGCCGGCAGCCGCCGCCCCGUGCGGCUGCCGGUUUCAUGACGGGUGUGGGGAACCGCAAUGCGGUCCGCACCCGUCACCUGCCUGCUGUUUGCUCCCUUGCCUCUUCGUCAGCGUCUGUGUUUCCAGAGUCGGGCUUCCUGGUGUCGCACGGCAUGCAUCGCACGCGCCCAUACCAACCGCAGUGCGACCGGGAUGAGCCAUGCAGCGAUCGCGCUGUCGUUACUUCCUCGCGGUUUGCACCAGUUGGGCACUUUUUGUCAACGCAGGCAGGCAGGCACGGACAGGGGCAAUCCUGGGGGGCUUCGCCCCCCCUGGAUCGCUUCGCUCAGGGGUCUCUUAGAAAAAAACCUUGGAAGUCUUACUUCCACUGAAUCACUGAUCCCUGCUGCACAAUGCGCUUGCUGCCAGUCAGGCUGUCAGUCCACAGCGCCUUGAUGAAGCCACAGGCCAGGAGGGCCAUCGGGACAAUUCCCCGCUGUCCCGUACUGGCGCGGCUGUGUGUCUAUGUGGUGCUAUCGCCUGGCCGGGCGCCCGGAGCGUGAGGAAUGCGCAUCAGCAAACUUCCAGCCAGCCAGCAACUUGUCGGUACAGCAACUCCGGCGUUCGACCAGCCAUGCACUUCUGCUCUGCCACUGCAAACUGUCUGCCGUCUGCUUGGGGUAUGGGCGUCAGCUGCACCUUACGGGACCUCGCCAACCUGCGCCACCUGGGCCUAAACCCUGUCCCAUCACAAAAAAAUGAGAAGACAAAAUGAGCAGAGAAUGGACUUGGAGCCAGGUGCGCUACGCCAUUCUUAAAGCACUGUGCGCUCCCGGCAGUGCUUCACAUUUAGGACAUUUGCGCAAGGAUUUGGGCGCAGCGAAUGGAAAGACCGCAAAUGGCAUGAUUACGCUACUUUUUCCUAGCCGACCGCUGUUCUGCCUGCUGCGCUCAAUAUGACAACCAGUAUGCUCUCCCGUUCCAUGCAGUGCUCUGCUUCGGCGCCUUCCGGCGCCAUUCCCCGGCGAUCCAUCGCGCGUUCGCGGCCCGCGGCUCGCGUUGUGCGGACUAGCUCUGGUGCUGGAAACAGCGGCAUGCCUCCGCCCCGCGCUCGUGGCCACGGGGGCGCCGCCGACGAGGAGCCCGAGAACGAAGACCCCACGGUUAAGGCCGCCAAGAUUCAAGCGAAAGCAGCUCUGGUCCUGGGCGGCGCGAUGUUUGCUGGCUUCUUCGUGCUGGGCAGCGCGAUUUUUGCUGGCUCCUUCGUGCUUGCCGACGCCCUCCGCGGCGUCCCCGCUGGCUUUCGGUCAAGCUGAGCGGCCUACUCAAGAGCCUGCGCACGAGCCUACUCGAGAACGGUCCGAUGGUUGCUGCUGGCCUGUUCGCCCUGCUUGCCUUCCAAAAGGCCCCGCGCAGCUGUGAGUGGCUGGGCGGGAGAAAGCUUGAGGGUCCACGCGCAGCCCUGCAGGGCCUUUGGCACUUCCGCUCUCUGCUCCCGCUCCGCCUAACUCCCAGCCCCCCUUCCUGUCACUCCUUUGCCCUGCCUGUCACAGGGCGCCGUGAACCCUGGUGUGAGGGCUUCGGGUCCGCGGCAUCCAGCAAGGUGCGGGUGCGGGGCGCGGGUUCCAGGGCUCCGGGCUGACGGCCAUGGGUUGGGUGCUGCCCCUCGUGCUGCCAGAUGGAUGGGUGCAGGGACUGCAGAGGGCGGCGGUUCUGCGGGGGCAGAGUACCUUGAGAAUGAGGGAGGUGGCUGGGUAGCUAAGGCCGUCGGGAUGACGGCUGGAGGCACCAGGGGGUGGGCAGCUGGGUAGCGCAGGCCCGCACACCUCUCGCCCGGCACUGCCUUCUAGACCGGAGGCCAUGCUUUGUCCCCGCGUCGCACGCAUCGGCGUCUGCCGCUGACCCCUCCACCUCCCCUUUCGCCCCCCCCCAGGCGCUCCCAACCAGCGCAACCUGCUCCUGGCCCGGCAGCGGCGCCUCCGCCACGGCCAGCCGCCAAGCCACACGCUCGGCCACAACCGCUCCGGCCAGGCGUCGCCCGGGCCGCCCCCGCCCGUCAUGCGGGUGGUCCUCACGGAGACGGGCGACAUGCGCAGCGGGGCUUGACUGUACUGCGGCCGCGGUGGGCGGAGCAGCGACCCAUGAGUGCCGAUGACAUGGCGGCGUCGGGGAGCUUGAGGAGGAAGCGCAGGCGACGCGGGUGGCAAGCUAGGGGUGGGGUGUGUGGGGACUCGGGAGGCGGGCUAGGUAGGACGUAGGAUGCUGGCGGUGGGAGGUAGGCAAUAGGAGGUGUACGAUGUGUGCGGCCCAGUGUGGCAGGUGCGGCGUGUAUGUUACGUGUCGCGUCGUGUUGCCGUUGGUGAGCCGCUGGGCGCGUGUCGGGCGUGGGACAGGAGGACGGAAGACGGGGUGGAUGCUGCCGGGUGGCGAGGCAGAUCGAACGAGGGUGGAGGGGUGUUGCUGCGCUGGCUCAGAAGUGCAGUGUGCUUCGGGCAGGGAGCGGGCGGCCGAGAGCCUGCUUGGCGGCGUUGCUGUAGUACCUUGUUGGCGAGAUGCACCUUCUUGAUCUUGACCCGUCUCUUGGCCCGUCUCUUUGACUAAAUGACUUGACUAGCUGACUUGACUUGACCAGGGCCAAGAUUGGGAGGGCGCAGCGGGUGAAGUCGGCGUGAGCUGUGUGUGGGUUACCGCAUGCAUCUACGUGUAUGGUGGGUUCUGGGCGGUCAUGCUCUGUGGCGCGCAUCACCCAUGCCAGCCCCGCAUAGGCCGGCGAUCGUGUCAUCUAGUUGUGCCACACACCACCGCGUCCCAGCCAUCCCUUCUGUAGCCCCAGAAGCCAAACAACAAGGGGUGUCAGCUUUGUACAGCUGGAAAAUGGGCUGAGCCCUAGGAAUGUAUGGGCCCCAAUGAAGUCAUAGGCGGGGUGACUUCUGCAACCAAACCAGCUUUAGGGCCCAUGCCGACGCUGCACGAGCUCCGGCUCAGGACCACACAUGAUCUGUACUUGGCCACAGGAUUGCCAGCACAUCAGCAAUAUAAGAUGACACGCACGCGCGACAUGAGAGGUCCACAACUCUAGCUCAAUGUCCGUCGGCCCUCCACGCCCACAAAUACGGCCAGACGCUCCGCCAGCAGCUGCAGCUGCGUUUCGCUCAACCGCGGCAGCGGCCCAGACAGCCGCGCCGCCGGCGCCCCGCGAACCGGCUUCACCACACCCGGCCGCCCACUGCUGUUUCCACCAGCACCACCGCCUCCGCCUCCGCUGCCUGCGCCGGCCUCGAGGGGGCCAGCGCCCGUAGCUAUGGCCCCCGUCGCGUGCCCUGCCCGCUGUGCUCCCCGCUCCCCACCCCUCCCCUGUCUCUCCGCCUCCUUCUCCUUCUCCCCAGCCACCGCCCCCUCCACCUCCUGCUGCUCUCCGGCCAGGCCGCUUUUCUCCGGCCAGGCUACCGGGUCGUACCAGUCCCGCGGCAGCCCCACCAGGUUGCGCUCGCUGUGCUGGAAGGGGCCUUUGAGCAGGUCCGGGUUCAGGUGCAGCAGCCAACGCCUGCGUGGCGCAGAGUGUGUGUGUAGAAAGGCGGGAUCGUGAGGUGUGGGUUGGAUGCACAGACCAGUACCGGCCGGUGGUCGGGGGAAGGGGUGAUGGCCUGUCAGUCCUAGACCCGAAACCGAACCGCGAUGCCCCUGCUCACACACGCACACGCACACCCCUGGCACCCACCCACCCACCCACCCACCCACCUACCUGAACAGCGGCCCUGCUGGCACGCCCAGCGCGGCGCACAGGCGUGCGAACCAUGUCACGCCCACCGCCACGUGCGCCCGCUCCUCAGUCGCGAUCAGCGCCACCACUGCCGCGGAACGACUGUCGCCGUAGCCCCUCAGCCGCUGCGUUGAUCAUGUUGUGGGUCGCACCGUCACAUUGGGCACUGGUUCUCUGAAGCGGGUCGCAAUUGCGGUCGGCAUUAAGGCCUACCGGUACUUGAACUAGCCUCCAACCACCGGCACCCACCUGCACCAGCCGCCCGCCCGCAUCCAGCCCCCGGGCCUCCUGGGACAUCGGCACCACCGCCAGCCUGCGGUACGGCCCCCCGUGGGGAGCAGCAGCGGUAGGCGGAGGCUUUUGACGCAUGGACACCGGCCGGUCCGUAUGGGCAUGGUCCAGAUUGGCACAAUUCAGUUGGGCAUGUGCCGUAAGCGCCUGAUAAAGGCCAUGCCCAAGCAACACUCCACUCCUCUCUCGCUGCUACCGUCCGCAAUUACCCCCCCCCCCCCCCCCAAGCCCCUGCCCGCCGGCGUGCUCUACCUUGCCGCCACGUCCACCGCGGACAGCUUGCAGCCCUGCCACAGCAGGUCGUGUGCGGGCAUGUCGCCGUAGCCGCAGCCCAGCUCGGACAGGCGCUGCAGGCACCAGCGCAGGUGCCGGGCCUCGUCGUCAGCAACCCUGGCGGCGGAAUGGCGGGGGCGGGGAGGGGUGGGGUUGGUGUGGGGUUCCAGGCAUGACUUUUAAGACGGCGGUGAUUUCGGACCGGCACAGCGUUGCACCGGGGCCGGGGGAGCGGAUCCGAGCAGGUCGCGCACUGCUAUCGGUUGACCCGGGAAGUGCAAGACGAGCACGCCAGCGACAACCCCCCGUGUCCAUAUGGACUGGCGCGGCAAAAUGGCGGGAGCUCGCGGGAGCGGGGAUGCCCCCGUAACCCCCCCACGUGCUUACAAACGCAUUCUCCCCUUACUGACAUCAUGCCACCGUGCGAUAUCAGCCAGUAAAGCCACACGUUUUCCAACCACCUGUCCACUCCCUUAGCUACUGUCCGUACAACCCACCUCGCGAAGUCCUCAUAGAACUGGUCUGGCAGCUCCAGUGCUGAGAACCGCACCACCGUGUCUGCAAGGAGAAGCAGUGGGAGGUCGACGGUCAUGCAGAAAGAAGUGAUAAAUGACAGGUUUGGGAGAUACAAAGUUGGUACCGUACAAAGAAGUGUAUCAGAAGUGUGCGCAGCUAAUGAAGUCAGGCGAUGUAUACACGAUGAUCGACUCCACAUCACUUGCGUUACUCAUCGCUCCAUAAGCCAGCACCGGUCAGCACUCACCCCAUGCCAGGUCAAUCGCGUUCAGCUCGAUGUGCGCCUGCAGUGGCGGUGGCGGCGCCGGUACAGUUAAGAGACAAGCAAGCAACAGCAGGUAACCUGCAGCCUCCGGUACUUGCACGGUCCCGCCCGUACCACUUCGCCACACACAUCCUCGUCAUUUGACGGUGGGUCAGCAAUCAGCCAAGCGCGUUGCCGCAUGUAACUGAAAUGCGUAGAUGUGAAUGCGAACGCGAGUGCAGGCGGCAGCGGAGGUUGUUGUUGUCGCUUGCCGCAUGUAAUGCACCGCACGGACUUCCAUGUAAUGCACCGCACGGACUUCCAUGUAAUGCACCGCACGGACUUCCAUGUAAUGCACCGCACGGACUUCCAUGUAAUGCACCGCACGGACUUCCAUGCUGCUGCACCCACCAGGUUGUGCAACAUGUAGCCGUUGAGCCCCAGCGGCGAGUUCUCGUGGCCAGGGAUCUACAGGAAGGAGAUAGCGCGCGUUGUCAAUCCUACACAACAUGAUUCAGGCGUGCCAAUGAUCAGAUGUGUCCUGUCCGCACACUGCUGCAUACCGAUGCCGAAGGCGUCAAAGCCGCCUGCCCCGCUGGCACUUCAUGCUUUGUGUAUCGUGCGCGAGUGGCUACGGCACAAUGCCCAUUGACAGUUAUCCGCCCGCCCCGCUCACCUCCUUGGGCCGCACGAGCUGCGGCCGUUCCGGCCGCGCGGGGUGGUCCGGCAGCUGCUGCUCCAGUCGCGCCUUCACCUCCUGCCGCUGCCGCUGCCGCUGGCUCUGACUCUUAAGGCGGCCCUGCCAGGCCUCCUGAUCCUCAGCUUGAAGCCAUUCUUCUUGCUCGUGUAGCUGAUGUUGUGACUCCUGCUGCUGCUGCUGCUGCUGCAAUGUGGGCUGUAGCAGCCCCAGCAUCCCGGGCUGCUCCUGUGGCGCGCGCAGCGGCAGCUCUCCGGACAAGUAGGCGGACCAGGCCGCGUGCGUCAGGUCGGCCUUGGCCUGGGGGCACGCCGUGCGCAGCACCAUCAAACCCGCCUGCACCAGACUGGCGGGCACGGCUGUAGCAGCAGCGCCAGCAGCGCCAGCACCAGUGCUAGCAGCUGUUGCUGUUCUUGUUGCUGCUGCUGCUGCUGCUGCUGCUGCUGCUGCUGCUGCUGCUGAUGAUGAUGAUGAUGAUGAUGAUGAUGAUGAUGAUGACGUGGCGGAUGUGGCCGCAGUAGCAGCGUCAGGCUGGGCUCCACGGGCAGGCGGUGGCAGUAGCACCGAGGCCAGGCUUGGGGCCUCGCCUGCGCCCACCACCACAGGGCCACCAGCAGUGCUGCCUCCGGGAAUUGAGCCGUUACCGCCGCCGGCGUUGGCGGUGCUACUGCUGGCGCUGCUGCCAAUGUUACGGCUGCUGCUGUGGCCGGGCUCGGCCUGAGGCAGUGGCGACCAGCGCAGGCGGCGGUCAACCCCACGGGCGCGCCAAGCCCGCAAUCCGGGCCACUCGUGCCGAGCCGCCUGCAUGCCGAAGGGACCAACCCAUUAAAGAGCCCGCAGCCGUGAACUUAUGUAGGCAUGAUGCCACACAACGAUUGUUAGUCUAUUCAAAAGCAUUCCUAUCCUGGCAUGGAGCCCUCUACCAAUGCCCUGACAGUCCUGCACCCAGCGGCCUGCGACCUGCUGCCGGUUCGAACACACGCGCACCUGUGCUAUGCAGGUAGCCGCAUCAAAAGCCGCACUGCCAUGACUGUUGCUAGAUUCGCCGAGCAGCUGAGGUACCAACGAUCCUUCCGUAGCAACACCUGACGCGGGGCCGGAGGUCAGCGGCGGCGCGCUGCGGGUGCCGCGCUGAGCAUCGCAGGCGGACAAGUCCGGUACGCUCUGCAGUACGGGCCCCGGCGCUGCCUGCGCCGACAAAGCCACUAGUGCGCCAGCCCGGAGACGGCACCCAUUCACUGAUUCAGUUGGCCCGUGUUGGAGCGGGCGGGUGUCUCCGUUUCUGGAGAGCGCGCGGGCAGAGCGCCGCAGCUGUAGGUGGGGCGCGGUGGGGCAACCGUGUGGCAACGAGCCUGCCAUACGGCCCCCAGCCGCCCGGGCGGCCGCCCCCGAGUGAUUUGAGCGCUCCAAGCAAGACUGCAUAUGAUUGAUGCGGCGGGGCUAUUACAGCUAUGUUUCGUGACUAGAGCGGAAUGCGAUUGUGGCGCACACAAUGACUUCAGUCCGUUAUUGUAGAGGAAGUUGUUGGUUUAUGGUAUAUCAUGCCAUACUGCUUGUAAGGAGAGCAGUUGGUGCUUCACGCCGCUGGGGCUCAUGCUGCACUCGCAUGGCCGAGAAAAACUCGGUCCCCUUUCAUACAGCUUUGCGCGCUUCCCAAUUGUGUACUGCUGGGGUCUUCGGAUAUAUCUUUACGGGUUCUGUCUGUGUUGCCAAACUGUUCUACGACUAGGUCGUUUGACGCCCAGGCUGCCAGCCUGGGGCCAGACUGUGCCCCAACUUAACUCUAUAGUUACCACAUUCCCAUUGGGAACUAGAGACACAGCAAAGGAGCCAUGAGCGAUCCAAAGGGGCAACUCCCGCGCACGACGCGCGUGAAGAACAAGCAGCCUGCAGACAAGCAGAUCACUGCGGAGCAGCUUCUUCGCGAGGCUAAGGAAAUCCAGCUUGAGGAUGACUACAAGGCACCCAAGCAGAUUAUCACGGACCCGGAGGAGCUCGCCGAGUACCGUUUGUCUAAGCGCAAGCAGUUUGAGGAUCUUGUGCGCCGUGUGGGACGCUUCAAUGGCGGUGUCUGGGUCAAGGUAAGAAAGCCGCCGAUGCGGUCCCGAAAUGUGGUCUUCCCGGGCCGAAGAGGGCCUGCGAUAGCUUGCUAGUCCAUGCUACGGCAUGAGAGGUGGCUCCAGCAUAUGGCAUGCAACGAAAAUGCGAGUCAAAGACCAGUUUGCGAGACAUCCAGCCGCGCACAGCACCCCCACUGCCACACCAGCGCGUGGUGGGUUGACCAGGUCCCGCGUUUCCCUCGCUGCGCCCCGCCGGUGCAUGGCACGACGGCAAAGGAGGGCACACCUGCAACCUUGCUGUGCGCUUGCAUCCCGGCCGGACAGCUGAGCCAUGCGCCGUUCCUUAGCACGGUCUCCUCACAACCUACCCCGCCGCUGUUUCUGCAACGCUGUGGGACCCUGCUGCCUGACCCUCCCCAGCACCCCCAACAACAACCCCUCCACCCGCCCCACCUUUGCCUACACCUCCCACUCACCUGACACACAGUACGCGACAUGGGAGGAGCAGCAGAAGGACUUCCGGCGGGCGCGCUCGGUGUGGGAGCGAUGCCUGGCCAUCGAGUACCGCAACGUCAGCAUGUGGCUAAAGGUGCGUGAGGGCGUGUGUGCGCCUGUGUUAGAGCGACAGCACAAGGGAAGGAAACAAAUAUGCACGCGUGUGCGUUUGUGGAUUAGAAAAGCACGCGGGGAAAGGGUGCGUGUAUGUGUGUGCAGAACGGUAUGGGGUUGUGCCGGCGGGGCUCGGGGCUGGAGCAGGGGACUGCAAGGUACGAAGGCACCAGGCGGGCGAGGCAUGGGACGGAGUGGGGUGAUGGGGCAAGCUGUCGGCAACUCCGGGUGGAGCGAGGAACUGACGGCAGCAGCAGAUGGGGCUGCAGCGGCCGUUGCUGCGGCCGUUGCCGCUGGUGUGGAAGGACUGUGUGUCUGGCAUGGUAGCGGUUGGACUGAGGCCUGCGGUCGGAGGUGUGGCGAGCGAUGUGGAAUGGGAGGACGGAAUGGGUGCUGGGGAAUCGGGGCGCAGUACGCAGCGUGCGGCCAACCUGCCGCCGUGCCGGACGGAGGGUGCGAGGCCGGGCGGAGGACGGGUGGUGGUGGUGGUGCUUCGUGGUGGCCGCGGCCAGCACGGCGCCCGUACUCGUUUCAACACAAAACGCCUCUCCUCCUCACCACACCCCCACCACCACUAACAACGCCAUCACCCACACCCACAUCCUCGCCACCACUACCUCAUACAGUACGCGGAGAUGGAGAUGCGGCACCGCUUCGUGAACCAUGCGCGCAACGUGUGGGACCGCGCGGUGAGCCUGCUGCCGCGCAUUGAUCAGCUGUGGUACAAGUACAUCCACAUGGAGGAGAUGCUGGGCAACGUGGCGGGCGCGCGGCAGGUGAGGGCGUGUUGUUUCCGGGUUGGGGGUGGGGGUAAGUCAGUCCAUUCCCAACUGAACCAAGACCCACCGGGGGGUGGGUGGGGCGGGGGUUGGCUUACAGCAUUUCCAAGCAUAGGAAACCAAAGACACGCGGGGCCACGGGGCUAGCCGUCCUCGAUAGAUGAUGUGCGUAACGCACACGGUUUUGAUGCUGACGUCCCAAAGAGGUGCCGGGGGCUGCCGAUGGGCUUGUGUAUACGGUGGUCAAGCAGGGCUGGGGCAUGGAGGGUUGCGGGCGCGCUGUGUGUGUGAACAGAGUGUGUACGCCAGUGGUCAUGCCGGUGUGGUGCCCAUUCGCGGCGGGUGGGUGGGUGGUUUACGGUUGGCGAGCGGGGUUGGGGUGCCCCUUCUGGCCGCUGGCCUGGCCGCCACAUCCCAUGAGACACGCGUUUGCCUGGCGCCCGGCCGCCUGCGGCCCCGCAGGUGUUUGAGCGCUGGAUGCGCUUCGAGCCCGACCACACCGGCUGGAUGGCGUACAUCAAGGUGCGGGAGGUUUGGGGUUUGGGGUGGUUUGGUGUAGAUACGAGCCCGCAAGUACACCGUGCCCAAUGCAAAAGAGCGAGGGGGACAGCGUGGUCUGUGGGGUUAGCCGUUCGCAUGAAGGACGGAUCUAAUCACAACGGGGAGGGAAGCGUUGAAGCGUAUGAAGGAAAGCGGUGGCUGGAACCGCCCCCUGUAAGCUCGAGUGAGGAGACCCUGCUCAAAUUCGUGGUUGAGGGUGGGGUGUUCGUGCGAGGGGUACGCCGUUUUGCCAAGGGAAACCCGCGCUAACCCAGGGGGGUAGGACACGCAUGCGCCUGUGGGAUUGGACGGCCGACAUGGUCGGCAUGUGCGUGUGGCUGUCUUCGGCCCCUCCUUCGCCCGAACAUCCCUUCUACCCCUCUUCCCUCCACACACCACACCCACACGCGUCCACUAUCCUCUCUGAACACAGUUCACCUGCCUCUCCCCUUGUGCUUGUGCGCCGCAGUUUGAGCUGCGCUACAACGAGGUGGACCGGGCGCGCGCCAUCUUCGAGCGCUACAUCCAGAUCCUGCCCACUGUCAAGGUGGGGUGUGGGGGCGGGGUGGCGUUGGGUUGGGGGGAAAGGGAUGGUGGGAUGGGCCGGUGGAUGCACGGGCGGCUGGGCGGGCGGGUGAAUGGGUGGGUGGGCGAUUGGAUGGAUGGGUUGCUGGGGUGACCUGCGACAAGGGGAGUGUGGAGGGUUGGGGCUGGAGCCGGUGUUGGGGCGUGGUAGGUGGCGGGGGCGUGGCCAGGUGGCGUUGGCGCCAGUGCCAUGGACGGGAUGCUGGUGGGGCUACGGCCGCAGGGACCCUACAUGUACAACCGGUACCUCCCACCACACCUUGCCCCGCCGGCGGCUGAACUCCACACGGCCGCUCUGCGGUGCCGCUGCCCUGCCACUCCCCCGUCCUGGCGUUCCGGUUCGGCCAACCACAGUGCCUGUUGCAUCACCGCAAUCGUCCUAACUUGCCACGCAUUGAACCCCUCCGCGCCCUGGCUACAACUCCGCUACAAUGUGCCUGGCUGCAAUUUCUCUUCUUCUUAAGUAAUCAUGAAUGUAACCCUCGCGUUCCCCAGGCCUGGGUGCGCUACGCCAAGUUCGAGAUGCAGAAUGGCGAGGUGGGCCUGGCGCGCCGCUGCUACGAGCGAGCAGUGGACGAGCUGGGAGAGGACGCACAGACGGUGAGGCUGCGGGGGCCGCGGGGGCUGGCGGGCGGGGCGCCAGGCAUCGGGUGAGAUGCAGCAGGCGGCUCGCGGGUGUGGUGAGCACGCCGCAAGACGUCGCACGCCUUGCAUUGGCGGGGGGGGGGGGGCGUGCGCAUUCCGUUUCGCUCCCACAUGCCACUCCCUCCAGCCCCCGACUCCAGUCAAAAGCCCUGCACCUAUGGCCCCAACCGCCCCUGGUUUCUUUGGGAUUUGGUCAAACUAUCCUCUGUCCCCACACACGCGCAGGAGGAGUUUUUCAUCAAGUUCGCUGAGUUCGAGGAGAAGGCGCGUGAGGUGGAGCGGGCCCGCGCCAUCUACCGCUACGCCCUGGACCACAUCCCCAAGGUGUGUUUGUGUGUGUGGGGGGGGGGACUGCGGGCCGUGCGGCCGUAGCAAGUGGCCAUCGCAGUGGCCAAUAGCAUUUGCCCCCCGCAGCAGCGCGUGUGUGUGCAGGGGUGCCGGAGGGGCCGGGGCUGGCGGGCGGGUGUGGUGGGCGGGCGCUUCCUCGAUUACCUUCCUCUACUUGCGGCGACUUGCGGCGCGCCGCACUCAGCAGCGGCGCGGGUGCUGCCUGUCGCGCACGCACAGCCCACACCAUGCCAGGAUGUGCUCUCGCUCUCAUGUGCACACACACACACACACACACACAUGUUUGCCGCAGGCCUCCGCGCCCAGCCUGUACCAGCGCUUCGUGGCGUUUGAGAAGCAGCACGGCGACCGCGAGGGCAUUGAGCAGGUGGUGGUCAGCAAGCGCAGGUGAGGGGGCGGGUGAGGGGGCGGGUGAGGGUGCUGGUGAGGGGGCGGGUGGGGGCGGGUGAGGGGGCGGGUGGGGGCGGGUGAGGGGGCUGGUGGGGCGGGUGAGGGGGUGGGAGCCAUGAGGCGCGGCUGGCGCAGGGUGCCAAGAGGGGUUCACUGAGGAGCGGCUGGGGGGGGGGCGCGAGGGACAGGGCCAAUGGCGGAGCCGGGGACGUGGGCAUGGGUGUGAAGGCCCAGGCGGUUGGGAAGGGCAGGUGGUUUUGAAGUCGGGUCGAUCGAACACUCGUUUCCCUUACCGUGUUAGCACGCUCUCGCCCACACUUUCGGUUGUUCCACACGUACCGUACACCCGCACAGGUUCCAGUACGAGGAGGACAUCGCCAAGUCGCCGUACAACUACGACACCUGGUUUGACUACAUCAAGCUGGAGGAGGGCACCGGGGACAUCGAGCGCACGCGCGAGGUGGGCGGGUGCGGGUUUGUUGAAGGGGUCAAGCCACACGCAAAGUUGAGGUUAGAGGUGUGUGUGUAUGUGCGUGUGCUCGUUUGUGCCUUUGUGCGUUUGUGCGUGUGUGCGUGUGGACAUCGACGACUACCAAAAUGGAGCUUUGCGUGUGCAGCGCCGACCCCUCCCUCCCACCCGCCCUCCCAGCCACCCUUCCAACCACCCUACCAACCACCCGACCAACCACCCCGUCGCCACCCACCGCCCUCCGCCCUCCCCACCAGGUGUACGAGCGCGCGGUGGCGCAGCUUCCGCCCAGCUCCGCGGAGAAGCGCUUCUGGCGGCGCUACAUCUACCUAUGGGUCAAGUACGCGCUGUUCGAGGAGCUGGACUGCGCCGACCCCGACCGCACCCGCGACGUGUACCGCGCCGUGCUGGACCUCAUCCCGCACCGCCAGUUCACAUUCGCCAAGGUGCGGCGAGAGGCGCGUGCGUGCAUGCGUGCGUGCGUGCGUGCGUGUCCCGUGUGGUAGGGAGCAGCCGCGGGGGCCGGGCACGAUGGUGUCCAGGCUGGAGCGUGUGUUGGAGGCUGAUGCAGACGCGCUGUGGAGCGGCCACGCGGGCCUGCCUUCUCCGUGCCUUGGUCCAUGCGCACCCACGCACGCAUCUACAAAGCCGCACCCGCAGCCCGUAAAACCACGUGUGUUUACGCGGCUGUUUUCUUCCCCCCUCCACCUUUCCACCCCCAUCCAGAUCUGGAUCAUGGCUGCCAAGUUUGAGAUCCGGCAGCGCAACGUGGAGGGCUGCCGCAAGCUGCUGGGCCGCGCGCUGGGGCUGUGCCCCAAGGUGCGUGGUGCGGCCUGGUGACAGGGGCAGCAGCGAGAAAGGCGGGCAGGGACACGGGCAUAAGGGAGACGGCAUGCGCCUCAGAGAGCCGCGACACGUGCUCUGCUUGGCACGUGGGCGAUGGUGGGCCCGGGGUGCGGCAUCCAGUGACGCGCGGCCGUGCCAGCCCUCCUCAUGGCUGAGUGGCUGGCCAACACCGAACUCUGAACAGCAACUCCAAGCACUCCCAAAAUGAGCUGUUUUCAUGGUCCUUGUUGCCCCCCAUUAUCUGACUGUCCUUAUCGUCCUCACAUCCCAACCAACCAACCGCAGGAGAAGCUGUUCAAGGCCUACAUCGAGUUGGAGCUGACCAUGGGCAACGUGGACAGGUGCGCGCGAGGCAGGAGCGAGGCAGGAGCGAGGCAGGAGCGGCCGGCCGGCAGGGUUGCAUGGCAGCGGGCGGAAGCAAGGCGGGGCUGGCUUGCGGCGAGCGGGGUCAUGGACCCGGACCCGGACCAGGGCCCGUUCAAGGCACGCACUAACUGUAGCAAUUUUCCAAUCCGGCCCGACGGCAAGCGGGUUGAACCCCGGUUUACCCUGCGCACCGUACACCCGCACACCCGCCUCCCCCCCCACAGCUUGCACCCCCCCCCUUACACACACACACUCUUGCACCACCCACGCACGCACACGCACAGGGUUCGCAAGCUGUACGAGAAGUACCUGGAGUGGCGGCCCAGCAACGUGGGCGCCUGGGUUCGCUUCGCAGACCUGGAACGCCAGCUGGGCGAGACCGGCAGGUGGGGGCGGCGGCUGGAAGAGUGGGGUCGGGCUGGUGGGGUAGGGGCGGCGGGCUGGUUUGGUGGGGGCGGUUGUCCGGUUGGUGGGGGCGGUUGGUGGGGGCGGGGCGAGCUUGGGUGGUGGCGGCUGGAGGAAUAAGGUUGCUGUGGGGAGGUGCCAUUGGGAGCGAGGCGCUUACGCCCGCUGGGGUGCCGGCUGUGCAUCCGCAGCAGCAACAUUUGCAUGAGCCGGUUCCGAGUGCCCUGCGCGCAACGUAUUCUGCACUCUGCCGCGCUCUUAGGGCCGCCUGUCCUCGUGUAUCUGCAUUCUGCCGCGCUCUGAUGGCCGCCUGUGCUCCUGUACCUGUACAUCCUGUACCACGCCUACACCCGCGCACAGGGCCCGGGCGCUGUAUGAGCUGGCCAUUGGGCAGCCGCUGCUGGACAUGCCGGAGGCGCUGUGGAAGGUGGGGAGCGGGGAAGGCAGGAGGGAGGCAGGCAGAGGAGGGAGGGAGAGAAGGGAGGCAGAGGAGGGAGGGGGACGAGGCACGGGGAGGGUCAGGCGGAGGAAGGAGCUGCAGGGUGGGGUGGGGUGGGGUGGGGAGUGCUUGGAUUGCUAGGUUGCUAGUGCCGUUCUGCAGCCUCAGGCACGGGUCGGGCAUUGUUGUGAGUCGGCCCAGCUGGAGUCACUGAUUUGCUGCCCGAGUCCGCGUCCACCCUGACGCCCACAGUCGUACAUUGACUUUGAGAUCGCGGCGGGCGAGCGCGAGCGGGUGCGGGUGCUGUACACGCGAUUGCUGGACCGGACCAAGCACGUCAAGGUGAGGCGUGGGCACACGCGGGGCGGGGGGAGGGGCAGGCGGCUGCGGGCUCUGCGGAUGCGUGUGCAGCGUUUGCAGCGCGGAUUCGGGAAAGGGCGUUGUCCCUUUCCGUGAGGGCACGCGUCCAAUGGAUGUGCUGUAGCCAAUAACUGGGCAUGAGGAUGCGCGUGCGUUGCGCACCGUGCCACCCACCCCACCCACUGCAUUGGCCUGGUGUGUGGCACAUGUGCCCCCCCCCACACACACCGCCGCUGCCCGCGACUGCGCAGGUGUGGCUAUCGUUUGCGCGCUUCGAGGCGACACCCAUGCCCGCUGAGGGCGCGGAAGGCGAGGACGGGUGAGUACAGGCCACUGGCAUACAACUCUCCCCCGAAACCCCCGCAAACAAGACUCGCCCACACACACUCCGCCGUUGCCCGCAUGCUGUGUCUCUGCAUCAGCCAUCCCGCAACGCUCUUCUCCUUCCCCACGCUCCUUCCUCACGCCCCUUCCCUACGAGCAGGCAGCCCGCGGAGCCCGCGGAGGGCCCCGAGUCCGCGCCCGCCCGCGCCGCCCGCGCCCGCUCUGUGUACGACCGCGCCUUCACCACCCUGCGCGACGUGUCGCCCGACUCCAAGGAGGAGGCGGUGCUGCUGCUGGAGGCCUGGAGGGACUUCGAGCGGGAGCAGGCGUGGAGGUGAGCGGGUUUUGGCACGGCGGCAGCGCCCAGCCAGGGCAGCGGGAGCGCGGGGCGCGGAAGUCAGGGAGGUGCGGGGCAGCGUGUAGGAGAAUGUGAGAGGCAUGGGUUGCGGGGAGGGACACGAGCGUGCUGUUCAAGGACCACCGAGAGGCGGGGAAAGCGGCGGCUCUUAUCCCACCCCACUGAAAUCCUUGUGUUCCGACCACGUCUGACCCCCUCCCAAGAUAAACAUUGCCUGAGCUAAUCAUGAAUGUACUCCCCCCCCUGUAACCCUCGCGCCCCCUCCUCUCGCCUGCCGAGCAGCUCGGAGGCGGACCGGGCGGCGCGUGUGUCGGAGGUGGAGAAGAAGAUGCCGCGCCGCGUGAAGCGCAAGCGGCCCGUCACCACCGAGGACGGACAUGAGGUGGGUGCGGCUCAGGGAAGAGAGGGGUCACCCGGGGCCCGUGUAGGGGCCGUAGGGGUACUGGCUGGAGUGCCCCCCUGACUCGUCAGCUGCCACCGUCGCCAAAGCGCCGUCUGCCUAGCUGUGUGCUCAAGUCGCUGCGCCAGUCCUCACGCCGCAACCCGCCCACCCCCCUUCCAUUAACGUUAACCCCCUUCCAUUCACCGAAGCACCGCGCCCCUACUUGUCCUCUCCCUAAAUUACGCAACCCCGCCCCCCAUAAAACUACCCCCAUCCUCGAUGCUCGUACCCUGUUUACGCUGCCUUAACCCCGCAACCGCCACCCCGAACCCCUCCGUGCAUCCUGUACCGCUUUCCUAAGCAUCCUUGCAACCCCCUUUACCCGCACCAGGUGGGCCAGGAGGAGUACUACGACUACAUCUUCCCAGAGGAGGGCGCGGCGGCGCCGGGGCUCAAGCUGCUGGAGGCCGCCUACCGCUGGAAGCGCCAGCGCCAGGGCGCGGCGCCCGGCGAGGAGCCGCAGGCGCAGCAGGGGAGAGGGGGCGCCGGCGAGGAGGCGCCCUCGGCGUCGGAUGCGGCGCAGGCGUUUGCGGCGGCGGCCAUGUCGCGGUUCGCGGGCGCGGGCGAGAAGUCUGGGAGCGAGGAGCCGCGGCAGGAGGAGGAGCAGGAGCAGGAUGGGCGGCCGGCACGCGGCGGGCGGCGGGGCGACGAGGAGGGCGACGAGGUGGAGGAGGGACGGGCGCGCGGCCGCGAGGGUGGCGAUGAGGAGGAGAAGCAGGAGGAGGGCGUGCGGGCGGGUGAGGUGGAGGAGGGGCGGCCGGGGAGGGGGCACGGCUCACAAGCCGGGGAAGCAGGUGUUGAGGGCGAGGGGCCAGGAGCUGCUGGCGGCGAGGCGAUGGCGGGGGAGGACUCCUAGCGUCAGAGAUGCCGCUAGUGUGGUAGGCUACACAGGAAGGUGGCAAGAUAGGAUGCGUUGACGGAUGCUGCAUGGGUCGGGUGCAGACCUCGGGCAUGUGAGUGAAGCAGCAGUGGUGUGUGUACUACUGUCCGCGGGCUGUUCACGUCAGUUCAUGCUUAGCAGGACCUCUGUUUGUUUGCUCGUCUACGGGUGGUUAUGCUCGCUCAGUUGCCAGGCACGGUCGCUGGGGGCGCGCGGAAAAUAUCUGGUCAUAGCGCUUUCCAGCGAGAGCGCGGUUUUUAGGCCUUUACCUGUCAAAUCGCAUAACUACGUUUGCCUACAGAUGUAGCCAUGGCAGCGCGAGCGCACAAAGGGCCCCAGGGCGACGCUUUCCUAUCGUAGGUCAAAACUCUGCCGGAUUUCGACAAGUCCACCCACGCACAUACCCCAGCAGUACGCAUAUUUGAGCCAUUAUCAAGCAUACCAAUUCGCACAGCACCAAGCAUACAUAGACUACUGCGCAACCUGUGUCGGCACAACUUCUGGCAUCCUCAGAUUGAUGAGCUUGAACUGAGGACGUCAGAUUAAGGGCGUUUCCUUGGCGAGUGCGGCUUCUGGGGCCCUGGAGGACACCAGGUGAGACGCGCGACGGCCGUUGACAGUGUGCAUCCAGCGUAUGCUGGACGCGCUCGUCGCCAUAGAGGCUUCUGAAAUAAGCGAUACACUAUAUCUGCCACUGCCUGCUUGUGGCCCUGGUGUGGAACGCGUUUUGGUGCGUUGAAGCUGGCGCAAAGGCGCAGAGAGCACGCGCGCAGCUGUCUAAGGUGCCAUGACGAUGUCUGGUGGACUGAGGGCUCAUUACGUAGCGCCAUACAUUUGCAUACGCUUGCCAACGAACGCAAGUUGACCUCCCUUGCAUGACUUCGCGCACGGCUUCUGAGCGAUCUGAGUCCUGGGCCACAGAGGGGCACCAAUAGACAUAGCAGUCUUCUAUUCACGCAAUGAUCGUUGCGCGACGAAAAUGUUCUGUUUGUCUUGUCUGUUGUCGGGCGCCCAGCUCACCGCCCAGCACCAUAUGGUCACUGUAUCUUAAGGUAUACGUACACUCAGUAUCAGCUCCCGGGCCGUCUCCUGGUCUCGGAGCUCGUUUCGUCACCGCCGAGUUCCGGGGGCCGCCCGAGCUUCGACGAACGGUCCUUCGCUGGCGUUUAACUCUUUACAAGAGCUUUUGCCCAGGGAUAAUCUACACGUCGAAGAAACUGCUUUGCCUUUGCUACAGUGUGUCGCUUACGGCAGUGCAGCCCGAGUUCGAGUAGAACAUGUCCGCUGCGUGCACAUGGUCUCUGCGCACAGGUUUCGACUAUGGCUGCCCUCGCCCUGGCCGUUUGCUUUCGCAGACGCCAUUCCUAGCAAGCUGCUGAAGUGGAUCCAAACGCCGGAUCAAGAUGCGAUACAAGUACGAUGACCAAGGGCAGGGCCCCUGGACUGCAGAGGUGCGAUGCCGCGUGUGUGUUUAUACGGUUCGGUGCAGGGGCCUUGCAGGCGCCUUGCAAACGGCUUGGGAAAGGCUCAGAAAUUCUAGGGGCAUGCAGAUAUGCGUGCAGACUGUCCAAGGAUACAUUUGUAGGAGGGUUGCUGCUUGCACACAGUGCAUGCUGGCCCACUUGGGCGAAUCUCAGGAGGGGACCGAACCACACGAUUACUACCAACCUGAUGUUCUGCAGGAGGAUGCGGUCCUCAAAAGCCUGAUUGCUCAGAGGGGGCCACGGCAAUGGUGAGCGGCUGAGGCAUUUGCAGAAACUACAAAUACGCCUGAAGAGUGUUGAUGGAACGCGGGCCGCCAUGACUUGGAUUACAUCGCUUUUCCCGUCGCACAUUCUCAGCUGGCAACUUCGGAAUAUGCAUCACAGGACGCGCAUAGCGGAAAACAUUCCCGGCCGCUCCGGCAAGAGCUGCCGGCUGCGGUGGUUGAACCAGCUAAGCCCAGCGCUCAAGACGAGUCCGUGGGAGCCACAGGAGGUGGGAAGGGGCGAGUGGCACAGGCGUGGGUGAGGCAAGGCGGCGUACGCAUUGCAGUGUGGGGUUUAGGCCUGGCAAGUAGAGGAAGCCGGUGUGCGCCAGUACUUGGGUCCCACUGCAGCCUUACGGUACCUGUGCGCCGCUUUCGACUGGGUGUGAUCACGAUUGGUACCUUUGCACAACGUCACGCACGCAUGCGUGUGUGCAUGUGCUUAUGCCGCCUGUGCGAAACGCGACCUGAACGGCCCUACGCGCGCACACCUCCGCAGGACGCGGUAAUCCUGUGGGCGCACCUCCACUACCGCAACAGGUGGUGUGAAAUCGCCAAGCACCUGCCGGGCAGGUGAGCGGGGCCGUGUGCGUGGUUAGUUGCUGGCUGCUGCCUAGUGCCGCCCAGCAAGCUGGCAUCGCCACAGCAGCAGUGCCGACCAGCGCUUUUGCCAGUUUUGCCUGGUUGAGCUGUAUCAAUAUCUAAACGCUUGCAUUUCAAUCGCGCAAUUGCAGGACGGACAACCACAUUAAGAACCGCUGGAACUGCACCCUGAAAAAGCGCUUACCAUCGGUGCUGGACCUCCUGCGGGGAGUAGGAGGCGGAGCCGGAGGCGGCAGCAGCCGCUGCGGCCGCCGCAAGGGGGGCGCAGCGGCGGCAGCAGCCGCCGACGGCUUACAGGUCAAAAGGGAGGCGGACGACGGCGCUGACGGUGCAGGCAGCGGCCUCGGCGAGACUCAGGCUGAGGCUGAGGACGGCGGCCCCGAUGGCGGGGAGGCGGACGCCGCCGGGGGUGCCCAGGAAGAGGCAGGAGCGGCAGCGGUGGCGGCGGCAAAGGCGGCGGCGCAACUCCCUGUGACGGUGGAGCGCAUCUACACGGCGCUGCUGCAGGCGACAGGGGCGUCGGGCGCCGGCAUCUACAGCCGCCAGCACCACGCUGGGGGACACCGGGGCCUGGGCCGAGCGCAGCCGGUGCUGCCGCCGCCGUCGUCGCUACAGCCACCGCAGCCGCACGGCACCGAUGGCGUGGAGCCUGUGGGCGCGGACGGGCACCUGGCUGCCUCUGAUGACGUCGACGGAGGCGGCGGCGGUGGCGGCGGCGGCGGCGGCCAAUUUGGCGGCGUGGUUGGCGGUGGCGGUGCCGCAGGCGGCGGCGGCGGUGCCAGCGGCGGCGAGGACGGCUACGGCCCGGAGGGCUGCAACAACGAUGGCGACGUGGAGGAUCGCCUGAGCAUCGCAGACCUGUUUGCGUUAUCUGCCAUACCCAUCCCGCCGGCCCGCGUGGCGGAGGCGGCCGCCGCCGCGGCGGCGGAGGCGGCGGGCCUGCGGUUCACGUCGAUGGGCCCCGCCUGCCCGUCCGGCCAGUCGCCGCCGCGGCGCGUGGGCCGGCCGCGGGGCAGCCGGCGCAGCUCGGGCUCCAAGCGGCCGCGAGGGGAGGCGCCCGAGAGUGAUGGUGGCGACGAUGAUCAGGGCGGCCGCCGCGGGAACAGCGAAGGCGGUGGCGGUAACUGGAAUGGUGGCGGCGGAAGCCGCGGCCAUGGUGGGAGCGGCAGAAGUGGCGGUCAUGACGGCGAAGGCGGCGGCUGCGUCAGCGGGGGGACAGAUGAGUCGGAUCAGGCCUCGGAGGCUGCCGCGGCCCUAGAAUACCUGGCGCGGGCGGCUGCUGUGGCAGAAGAUGUGAAGCCGCUGUCUUCGCAGCACCUACAGCUACAGCCGCCGCAGCAGCAGCACAUUGCAUUGCGAAGGCUCAGCAACGAGGGUGCUGGCGGCACCAGCGACGAUGGUGCAGGCACUGCUGGCCAUGAUGACAUGCGCCGUGUAGGCAGCGGCGUGGGCUGGGUUUCAGGUGUAAGUGCAGGCGGCGGCUGCAGGGACCAACGCGUGCUGCUGGUGGCGGCGAAUGCCGCAGCGGUGAAUGAUGGCAUUGGCGGCGUUUCCAGGGGCGCGGACGGCGCGGGUGGCCGCUGGCGGCAGCAGCCAUUGGCAGGGUUUGCACUCGGUUUGAAGGAGGAGGAUCAGAAGCCGUCAGUGGCUCAGCUCUUGCUAGCGGCAAGCGGGGCUUGUGGCGGCGGCGGCGGCGGCGCGCAUGCAGGGCAGCAGGGCGUCGAGGCCGAGCUGCUGGUGCGGCUGCAGCGGGCGUUGGCGGCCGGCGCUCAGGCGCGGGGGCUGCAGGCGUCGUCGGAGGCGGGCGCGAGCGCGGGCUCGGGCCAGGAGCAGCACGCGCACGGGCAACAGGGGCAGGGGCGCGAGGGGGCGGGUGCCGCACUGGAUGGCGACUCCUUGGCGAUGACCUACGGAGGAGCAGCUGGCGGCGGUGGCGCCGCCGCAGGUGGAGGGGCAGGAGGCGUGCGGGGCUUGGCUGAGGUUCUGGUGCAGCGGCUGAGGCGGGAGCGGGAGCUUGGGUUGGAGGCGGCGGCGGCCGCCGCCGACGCGGGCGGGGGCUCCGGACUCGCAAGGCUGCGCGGGCCGGGGCCAGGCACUGGCGGAACGCCGCUGCCGCUGGGGCAAGAGGCGGGCGUUGAGGCGCGUGGCGGCCUGUUGCAGCCGACACGAAACUUCGCCGUCAGUGCGGCUGCUGCGGCGGCGGAGGCUGGCAGCCGCGUCGCCGACAUGGAUGCCAGCGGUGGGGGUGGCGAGCCCUUGCAGCCGCAGCGCGGGCGCAAGCUGCACCCUCACCCGCACCCACAUCCGCACCCACACAACCAGACAGGGGCGCCGCAGGCCGCCGCGCCGCCGGCGCCGCCUCCCGAGCUGGCUGGGUCGCUGUUUCGGCUUGGGCGGACGUUGCGUGCGGCGAUUGAGGAGGGCAACGACGUGGCGGCGAUGGCCGUGGCGGCUGCGCUGGAGCAACUUGGCACGCUGGUGAGGGAGGGAAAGCACUAGGGCAGCCCUGGGGUACGCGGGGGCAGCCUGGGGCAGCGGGGGUGGGGGAAAACGGGGUUGAACUCACAGUAAUGCUAGGAACCAGGGAAGAUUGUAGGUUUCAGCAUGGGGCUAAGGACUGAGAGUAGGACGAUUGCCUGUACACACGCUUGUGCACGCAUGCUUGCGAAUGCGUCUGCAGCUUUUGAGCCAUGCGGCGUUCUCUAACUAUUUUCCAUUUCGCGUUCCCUCCCGCCACGUCUGCCUCGCAGCUGGCGGCGCCGCCCCACUGCCAGUCGCAAGAGCUCGACCUAACCGGCGGCGGCGUAGCGACGGGCGGCUGGCACCAGCCGCAGCACCCUAACGAUGUGGAUGCGAAUGCGGAUGCCGACAUGGAUGACGUAUACCACGAGGACGGCGAGCUACUGCCGCUGCGCAUGCUGGGCCGCGCCGCCGGCGUGGAUGCUGCUACAGCCGGCCGCGCCGGCCUUGGUGUCGGUCUGGGUGUCGGUGCUACUGCCGCUGGCGCCUUUCGCGGCCACAGCCACCGUGACGAGUCCGUCGUGUACGGCAUCAGCCAGGGGCGGGGGCAGAGAGAUGCCGCCGCCCUACAGCAGGGCUUGCAGCAGCGGCACCACCUGCCGCCGCAGCAGCAGCAACAGCAGCAACAUCAGCACCGGCAGCUUGUUCAGCUGUCACACGCGCUGGGCAAGGGAGGUGGUGGCGGCGGUGGCGCCCAGGCAGGUGUGGGCCGCGCGUCAACACUGCUGGCCACGGCCGAAUGGGAGCCGCAUCAGCAGCAGCAGGAGAUGCGGCAGCAGCAGCGGCAGCAACAGCCACAGCAGCAGCGAGUGCAGCUAAAGCAGCAGCAGCAGCAGCGAGAGGACCUUGAGGAUCGACACCAGCAACAGCAGCAAGAGCAGCUGCUGCUGCACUUGAGGCAACAGGCGCAGCAGCGGCACAGCGCUGCGUGGGCUUCACAACCGCCGGGCUCAUUGGCACCCCGCGACCUGCAACAACUGCUUAUGGUGCAGCAACAACAGCAACUGCAGCAGCAACACCAACAGCGACAGCAGCACGGGCAGCAGCAGCAGUCGCUGCGCGUUGCGCGUCUGAUGGUGCCACUCGCGUCGGAUGGCGGAGGCCUGGGCAUGGCGGCUGGCGCGCUGAGCGGCGCGGGCCCGGGCGCCGGCACAGGCACAGGCACGGGCACCGGCACGGGUGCAGGUGCGGGCGGCAUUGGUGUAAGCCUGUCAGGCCUGGACCCGCAAGUCUUGCGUCAGUUGCUGCUUCUGCACUCGCGGAGCUAAGAGGACUGCAAUGUUCACAGCGCUGCGUACGCCGCUCGCGCUCCAAGCCAUUGCCAGGCUGUGCAUCGCCGCGGAACUCAUGAAUCUGUGUGUGGGUGUGUGUGCAGAAUGCUGUGUUGAGGUGCCGUCCUGGGCGGGCCAGUCAUCACGUCCUAAAAGUUUAAUCCAAUUUACAAAUUCAAUUCACUGCACAUCACCCACAUCCCAACCCUCGGCAUUGGCAAUGGCAUCCACGUGCGGCACGCAGUACGAGUUGGUUGUGCAAUAUCACGUGGUCGAAUGCGAUGGCCAUGCUGCAUUCCAAGUGGUGUUGCUGGCCACAUGGAAAGUAUUCCAUUCCCGCACUUUGAUGAUGGUGUGUUACAGGGUUGGGAGUGUGCGUCCCGGACCCAUAACACGAACUGAGCCGCAAGGGCUCCUCGUCUCCACAUUCCCACCCAAGCUUGGCAGGGCCGGCCGUCCGACGGGCUUGUGGCACGCGUCUGUCGCUUUGGUUUCAGGAGUUGAACGGUGUCCAAAACCUGGCAGCAUUUGCACGUGCGUUAGGUGAUUACGUGUGCGCUAAGGUGUUACUACGUAUGUCGGUGAAUGACCGACCAAGCUGUGAAGCGAGAUUGGCUACUUGCGGGCAUAACUGUGUACCAUUCACAUGGCGUCGUGUCUUCGAAUACGGGGGGCGGGGGCGUUUAAUGUGUCCGUUGGGUUGCAUGCACAGAACUGGUGAAGCGUGGGCACACCGCUAAAUGACAAUGAGACCGUGGGGCACAGGUCGCGCAAUGGCGUGGGGGCACUGCAAAGGACACGUGUUUCAGCAGGCAAGCGCCAAGCCUGCUGCAAGGCUUGGAUGAGGGCCCGGGUGGCUUGAAGUUGGCUUGCACCUUUGUCUGGAGACUCUGGACAGGGCAGUGGUGUUGCCCUUCUCUGAUCCUUCCUCGCAGCUGGCGCGUGGAUUCGUGGUGCGGGUUAUGGUGCCACAACAAAAAGCAUGGCAGGCCCUCACCUGCCCCGGCCUGACCGGGUCUCGCGCGCAUCAGCCCAGAGGCCGCGGCAGAGGUGUUGGUGUGAUGUUGGGGAGGAUUGCUGGCUGGGUGUUUCCAACCUUGGUUGAGGCUAUACAACAGAACCGGUGGAUGGACAGCAACGCAUACAUUUAUGAUGAAGUUUUGCACUCGUUGGGGGCACUUUCUUAAUAUCCGCUUCCAUCAUGUGCAUGGAUGGAUGUGUGGGGUAAAAGCGGGGACAGGGACUGGGAGGCCCAUCCUCGGGGACUUGAGGAUCUAAGCGUACACCACGCUGCCAAAAAGGACGCAUCAGUAUCAUUAAACGUUUGUGGGGUCAAUCGCAUGGUUUAUCAAAGCCUAGAGAUGGAGAUGCACAAAGCUGCAAGCAUAGUGUGGAUGGUUUGGCAGUACGUACGUUCCAAAGUCGCUUACUCCUACGCCCCUAAAUGUUAGCAUAAUGCCUGUGCGGUUGACAUUUAGUGUUUGAUUUUGAAAUGUGGCCACAUGGCACGGCCAUGCUGAAGGACUUUGGACUCACUUUCAGACCGUCUCGAUGGCGCCGGGCGUCGUGGCGUUCACGUGCGCGGCUCCCAGGACAUGUGGGCGUUUACGGGUGCAUAGGCUGCUAACCAGUUUGCAUGUGGGCGAUCGUCAGGGCGUAAAAAUAAAUACUGGCGCAAACCGCAAGUGCCACAUGCAUGUGAGUGUUUGGUAAUUGGAGCCUGGCCCCUCUGUGGACUCAACAGUCGGAGACGGUUGCUGCUGAUGGGUUGGUGGCGGUGUGUAUGUCCACAGCAACCCUCGCGCAUUACGCAAACGCACGCAUGCAUGCCUGCGCUGAGACUCGUUUUAUUGGUGCCCGAAAGCGUGGAGGAGCCAGCGCGGGCCGCAGGAGUCAGCUGAUUUAGUGCGGUGUAUGGGAACGGCAACGGUGUCCGCAGCGACAACAUUACAUACGGUAGAGACAUUCUUGGCAUAGCACCGCACAUACACCGCGCCGCAUUCUUGGCGUAGACCGCACACCGCCACAAGUGGAGUGGCCGUGGAAUUCGUGGGCAGGGGUCAUUGAUUGUUGAACGGUACUGAGUGGAAGGUCCCCCUUACGUUGGACUAUAUACCCUUACGUUGGACUGCACGGUCACCAGACGGUCACUGCCAGUGGUGUAAACAACACGCCUGCUAAUCAAAGCCCCAGCUGCCACUUGAGCUGCCAUAGGCUCCCACGGCGCCACCAACGGCCCGGGACGACUGAACCUCAGCUCGAGUAGCGACAGCGGCGUCUAUCGGCGAAUAAGCGAGCGACCGUUUGUUGGGCUGUGCGUGGGGCGCUGAGCCGCCGCUACGGCGCCGCCGCAGCCGGUACCCAUCGCCGUGCCUGCGGCGUCAGGCAUUUGGUGAAAGGUCCUGAACCCGCCAUGCGCCCAUGCUUGCCCUCAUCCACGCCUAGGCCGUCACCAAUCACCAUACGACUCCAGGUCCUACAGAGCUGGCAGGCACGCCGGCAAUCUGCCAGUGAGCUCAGGCGAACUGGCGAAGCGAUGCCAUUAUGCCAACAUGGGUAGGCGUUGGCUGCAUGUGGGAACAACACUAGCUCCACGACGGCAGUCAGCGUACGGCAGUCGGCGUACGGCAGUCGGCGGCCACAUCAGCGCAGCUCGCCCGCACAUGCAUGACACAUGGUCGAGAGCGAUUAGAGCGGUGCGCAGAUGCGGCAGGCGACCGAGCUUUUGCAGCGCGAGCGCCGCGGCCGUGCGUCAGGCACAGAGGCAAAGCGGCAGUCAAGGUCAGAUGUAUGGAUGCGGGUCAUGCAGCCGCCCGGCACACGAUGAUCAAGGAUACGGUCAUGACAUAGCUUAGAAGAGCUACUACCAUAGGAGUAGGAGAAUGCUUCACGAGAGUGGUUGGGAUUUGGGGCAGCCGGUGCAUGCGCAGGCAAGCUGGGGUGAGAGCAAGGGCGGGAGCAAGGCGACGCGCAGCGCGGGAAACGGCAUGAGCAUCGUGCCCAGGCCCGGGCCCUGCUGCGGGCCCUUCCAAACUAGCCGACAUAGUCAAUAUAUCAUCCCUAAACCUGUAGCCAGAUGUUACUGUAUUCAUACUGCCUUGACGAGGUUACGGUGUGACGACAUGGCAGCCCAAAAAGCUGUCGAGCUCCCGAACGAGCUUGCGGAGCUGGGAAUUGCAUGGAACGAGCCUUUACCUGAAAUUGCUGAGGUUAUUGCUGCGAAGCUAAUCUGCAGCCCUCACGCGCUUCUACAUCUUGCCGAGGUUUCGCGCUUCUGGCACGAUUUCCUCAGUCAGCCACAAGUCUGGGAGCGCCUUAGCGCCGCUCGUUUUGGCGAGGAAGCGGCGCCAGGUGAGGGUGAUGCGAGGACGCGAGACCAGACACCCAAAUCGACCAUUCCCUUUUCGUCCCUUUCCCACAACCACCACCGCUGCAAGUGCUCCCAUCCACCAACGCCCCUUCUCCUUCUCCCGCUCCCCAAAUCCCAUCACCUUCUCGCAGCUCCGCUGCAGCCGCCCGUGUGGUUGCCCGAAUGGAGCUUUAUUCAGGGACUGGACUCGGGUGGCAACGACGUCGCCACUCCUGACGACACCUGUACCGACCGCUCCCCCGCCGCGUUGGCGAGGCUGGCGGACGCACGUGGUGGUGUGGCAUUUAACACCAAUGGUGGGGCGAAUGCUAGGUUUGGGACCAGGAAUUCAGUGACUGAGUGUAUGACGGGGGCUAUGAUGGCACUGGAGGUGGCGAGGGGAGAAGCAUCAGCUGGAAUCAGGUGUCAUGGCCGCAUUGGUUGGAUUUUGUUUCGGACCUCCAGCCCUCGGGUCUUGGAGCGGGAAUGGAUGCCUAGCACGUAUGACAAUGUUACAGAGCCCAGGAGCCCCCUGUUGCCAGCGCAGCAGCUGCUGACCUCCCGGCCAAAUCGUUCCUUGUCUUGCGCGCUUUCCCAUGGCUGCUGCACGCAGGCUGGGUGAAGCGCGCGCUGCUGCCGUUUGCGCGCUGGGAGCGGUUCAGUUACGAGCCUGGGGCAGGUUCGUGGUUGUUUAUUUGGUUGGAGGGUUGGUUGCUUGGGUGGGUGGAUGGGUGGUUGGCAACACGCCGCAACCCACGUUGCUCCUACCUCGCCGCGUGCCAGACACAUCGUGUGCAGCUCUCCCACACUCCCGCCCCUCCUCCGCUCUGUUGCUGCCUGCCUUGCUUCCUGUGCCACAAACCGCUCUCAACAUACCGUAUGACCGCACCGCUGAUUGUCGCACACGCGUGACAACAGGCAGCUACGUCCGAAAACCAUUUCAUGGCGCAUCAUUUGCCGGCACGCCUAUAAAAACAGGCACGUACGUCCGCAGUCGCGCGCUGGUGCACCAGCUGGGCAUGCCGCCGCGGCCCGAGCAGCUGCAGGGCCCAGAGGAGGCGGAGGGCGCCGGGGCGGGAGGGGCAGGUGCGAGGAGGGGAGGAGGGGAGGCGCGGGCUGGGGCACAGGCAUUUUGUUUGCUGGCGAGCACGCCUAAGGAGUAGCGGAGAGAGGGCAAGAUUACACCGGGCCGAACCCCAUUUCGGCGUGUGUGUGUAUAUGUGUAUGUAUGUGUGUGUGCUGAAGAGCACACACGGAAAACAUUGCGCAAAGACAGUGUAUGCGAUGCAGUGCGAUGCAGGUGUAUGUAUAUGUGUGUGUGUGUCUUCCACCCAACCCAAUAACCCAUUCUGCCCUGGUGCCCCUUCGCAGUGCUGGCCCGGCCGCCCCAGUUCCCGGGCUGGGUGUAUUACGCGCUGCUGGACUCGCCCGGCAGCGACGUGCGCCACCCGGCUACAGGGGAGAUGCACUUCCGCUCCAGGCGAGAGAGAGAGAGCGUGUGUAUGUGUGUGUGUGUGUGUGUGUGUGUGAGAGCUCUUUCUGAUGAACUCUUUGGUCUUGCGCAUGUGGGCGGUGCUGACUGUAGGGGGGAGGGGAACAGAGGAGGGGAGCGAGGAGGCGAG
Molecule: long non-coding RNA, 106997 nt
Filed under: Chlamydomonas reinhardtii
Lineage: Eukaryota; Viridiplantae; Chlorophyta; Chlorophyceae; Chlamydomonadales; Chlamydomonadaceae
Description: long non-coding RNA (CREI_LNC001144)
Source: RNAcentral